GGCACUCCAGGUUCUUUCAUACACGGAAGCGAUCGAAAGAAAACAAAAAAUUCCAACUAACAUGAAACUGGAAUUUCUUUUUCUUUAUUUCAAAGGAAAAAAAGUUGCAACCACCCAUAUGCACACAAUAAAAAAGAUCUCUCACGUCACGACGCGUCGCCUGCCCUUAUCGGGUCUCACAGCUUUGCUGCUCCCCACACCCGCGAAGCCAUCACGACACGACUCCUCCCAUCGCAUCGGGCCGAACGCCUCUCGUCGCCGGCGGCCAGAGCACCGCCGCCGUCAGGUGUCGGCGUGAGAUGGCGACGCGCCACCUAAUCACUGGCCAGAACAACUGCGCCCCGGAUGGCGCGUCUUCGUCCAACCCCUUCGGCGCCCUCGCCAACGCCCUCCUCGGCCAGUCCAGCAAAGCGCAGGUGAAGCCCUAACCCCUAGCUCGGCUUGGGUUAGUCUCUCUAGCUUUAGGGUAACAGUCGCUGCUGCUGUGCUGACCGUUGGACUUGGAUCAAUCGGCGUCGUUUAGGUCGGUCUUCUGUGUGGUGGACUAGGUUUUUCCUGCCGGUAUGCUGCUUUGUACGACAACUGCGAUAACUGUGCCAAUUUAGUGGAAUCGCGAGUUCACUGAAUUCGUGAGGGGCAAGUGGAUCUAUGCUGAGAGAAAUUCCGAGUCUAGAUGUUCCCAAUUAUUGGCCAAAUAUCGUUGAUCCAUGUGUUGUGCUGUCGCCUGCCUCUAAUUGUGCGGGGCGUUGGUCUAGACUGUGACGCAUGGAUCGAAGGUUAUAUAUAUAGUUGUUUCCCUUUAACAUACUUUCAAACCAUGUUCCUGAAGUUCUGGAUACAUGUAACAGUCACUAGCAUGCUCAUUUCACCAAUUAAGUGCUUGGCGAAUUAUGUUCACGGAGGAUUUCUUAUUGACCUAAUUAGUUUUGUGCUACUAAUCAAUUGUGAAGAAACUGUUUUUGUCUCUCACCAGUUCCAAUGUUUCCUUAUUAAGAAUAUGUGCGGAUGGAAUUGGAAAAGCGGGAUGGUUAACGUUGAAAUAUAGUAACAAAUAGUAGCUUCAAACCAAGAGAACAUUGUCGAUAACCUUUUCUUCGUGCAGUCAAUAAAGGAACUUCCUGGAGCUUCAGUUAAUGUUCCAACUACUUCUGAUUAUAGUACAUCUGCUCCCUUGUCUACCAUCCCGGGUUCAGAGAACGAGUUCAGGCAAGAUCAACGACCACCUGGAUGGGUAAUGGUGAUUCUCAACUCUGUUUGUGUUUGCCUUUUGGGCAUUCCUAACUGUAAUUGAACACCUGCAGGGUACCGAAUUCAUUCAUGGUGGUUCUGCGAAUGAUUGGGUCGAAUCUUUUCGGCCUCCAGGCCAUCCUGUAGUUGGAGGGCCAGCACCAAACUUUGCAGAAUUUGAUCAAAUUUACAGCAAUGCAGGCACUACCUCUGGACCAGCCUUGGAUGGUAGAUUUCUAUAUCUUAGCUUUUCUGUGUACUGGAUGGUUUUCUAUUCACUCCGUGAUACCCAAAUACAGCACAUCGCAAUGACUCCAACAUAUGUUUCAGGUCCACCUCAAAGGGUUUUAUCUGGUGUCCUGCAUUCUUUUCUUUCAAGUGGCCGAGCUGGUGUGCCAUUUCAACCUGUUCCAAUACCAGCUCUUGGUUUGUCCGAAGGUGACAAACAAUGUAUACGUGAUCGUAGCUGCAUAAUGGCACGCCAUAUUUUGGCUGAUCAGCCCGAAGAAUAUAUACAAGCACAGGUUAACUUGUAACUUAUUACCUUUGAAAAUCACCUUGGACCAAGUUGGUCUGAACACUUAUUUCUGUCCCCUUUUCCAUUAGAUCAGCACAGUACCUUACUUUUUAACUUGGUUCUCGUCCCCCUGUGCUGCUUAUGUUUUGUUCAUAAAUGAUGUGACAUUCUUUUCUCCCAUAUCAGGUCAAUACGUUGCUGCAUUCUCUUGAUAUUGACAAUAAUCAUCGAAUGAGAAACCCCCUUCAAGGACCGUAUCCAGAGAUGGAGGAGUACUGGAAUCAAUCCCAAAAUGCUUUGAGAUCUGCUCCAAUGCACAAUGCUGCAGAUCAAUGGAUUACUGAGUUUGGCAAGCAAAAUAAUAACCCUGAUGAUUGGGCACACUCUUUUGAGCAGCACCAUGGUCCCAAUGGUUGGGCCUCUGAGUUUGAGCAGGUCAGAGCCUUCAACACCUGUUUGAUAUUUUUACAAGCAUCACUCAUGAAGCAUGCCUUUAUAUUGGUCUAGUUAAUCAUUGCAUCCUACAAGCAAGUUUAACUAUACCGAAGAUAUUGGCUGACUUUGUACCCUGUCACCUAUGUUGCAUCGAUACAGUUUUCUUUGAAUAAUUAGCUAUUUUAAAUCAGGUAGGAUUAUGUUUCCACAGAUUUUUUUCUUCUUAAAUUUCCAUAUCCUAAUCAAAGUCCUUAUAUUCAGUUGAAUCUGGCUCAAUAAAUAAUGUAUCCACGUAUCCAAAUACAGUUCUUAAGUUUAUUUGUAUCUGCACCAUAUCCCUAAAUCUGCAGUGUUCUUUGAGUAUUUUCCAUUCCUAAUCAAGAUUUUUAUGUGAACAAUGGAGAACUCUGUGCAAGUUGGAUUAAUUCUGAUUCCUGUUGGUUCAAAAUUGUGAAUUUUUGCGUUUGUGAAAUCCACAGGUAACACAAUUCAAGAAAAUAAUAAUGAAACACUCAUACUGGGUCCAAGUUUGUAUGAAAAUGUAUGGCUUUGGUAUAUGACCAUCACCCAGUUAUUAUCUGAUCUUUCCUUGACUGUACCCACUAAUAAAUAUAUGGAAUGCUUGUUCAUUGCUACGGAAGAUUUUUAUUCAUAGGUUUUAAACGCUUGUGUUAUCAUAGUCCCUAACUUGUGCAAAUAAAUAUACAUCAAUGGAUGAUAGCGGUGGCAAUUUCUUCACAACUUCCAAGUUAAUCUCAGUGUUGGUGAAUGGACCGCCACUUUCGAGAUAUCUAUGUGUUGUAUUUAAAAUAAAUUUUAAGAUAAUCUUGUGUAAAUAUAGUAUUAUACUUUUUGCUUUAUGUGCGUAUUCUAGAACAUGAAGCAACAGAAAGUGCAAUUUCUUUUAACACAUCUGUGUUGAAUGUUGACUUUUUUGGCUUACCUAAAAGGGAAUAAGACAAAGCCAUGCAAUUUUUCCUAUGACAAUCUGCAUAAUUAUCCUAUUUCAAUAUCGUUAAUUAAUAUGUUCAGUUCUUGGAUAUGUGGUUUAAGUUAUGUUAUGUGCUUUUUUGUUGUCUCAGCAUCAAUCUCAGAUGGGCAUGGGUCAGAUGGGAGGAGCAAAUAUGGCAAAUCUUGCAGCUAUGCAGCAAUCCCGUAUGCUUGCACAAACAUUAUCAAGUAAUAAUGACCCAAAGUUUCAGGUAUAUAUGACAACCUGACUUGUUCAUGUAGCUGUAUUUUGUUUGCACAUUCUGUUUACCUUAGUGAAAAAAUGCUUGACCGUAACUCGUGCUAAUUUAUUGAAGCCAGAAGUCUCCCUUUAUUUACCAUUGUACAUUUAUUUAUUUUAUGAGGAAACAUCCUGCUCAUAUUAUCUAUGCAAUUGAUGUAAUUGCAUAUCGGCAUGUUUAGGCUAUAUUUACCUGAUUUGCUAUUGGUUUCGCGGUUCGCAAUUCGCUAUCCCGUACAUAUUGGGUUCUUUAAGGGGGUAUACAUCUACGAUUCGUGAAUCAGAGAUUCGGUUUGCGAAUCCACAGUUUCCGAUCCAAGAGACGAUAGUAGGUAUAAUAUGUGUAUGUAGUAUAGCAAACAACCGUAGAAUAUCCUAGUAAGUCUUGUACUAGUUGAGCUGGACUAACAUUAAUAAGCUGUCGGUUCCCAAAUAUGUUUGGAGAUUAAAUGUCACCCCAUUUAGUAAAGUGCAUUGACAUUGCCAGCCACAGGACCCGUCUUCAUCCUAAAAAACAAGUCUCCUCGUCUUCUUCAGUUCUUCACAGGAAAAAUCCCAACUCCCGAGCACUCUCUCCCCCUCUUCCUCCCUCCCUCUCUCCUUGCUGCUGCUGCUGCGUAUCCUUAGCCACAGCGAACUACGUAUCAGGACUGGAUGGUGUCCUCUGGACAUCUGUGGCUGAGAUGCACCACGAUGCAGGCUGCUGUUGUGCUUCUCCUGGAAAACCAUAAAAGGAGGAAAGGAAGCUGCCAUUGAGCAUCCACGACUGCGACGCGCUGGCUGCUGUCACUUCUUCACAUCACUCUUUUCGGCAGAACCAGGGUAACCGCCAGUAAUUUCGUUUUUGAUGUCAACCGUUGACUUCGAUUUGGUUUGUUGGUUCUCCUGGAUUCGCAGAUUGGAGACCGAAACUGAACCGAUCGCAGCGAUCUUGAACCCCAUCUGGUUCGGUCAGGAUCGCUGUUCGAAGCCAGUUCCAUCAAAUUCAGUAAAUAUGGUUUGGGCUAAACCAAAAUGUUUCUAGAAUGAGCCUAGCAUGCCUUAAUUACCUGAAUGAGUUCCUCAAAAAAUCAGAUCAGACCUCCUAAACAGGAUCUAGUUUCAAAAGUGAUAAGGGUUCCAUUGCAUGUUGCUCAUAACUGCUGUUUUGUUUCCUUGUACUGCCGUACAACACCAUUACUUUCAAUAUAUCGUGUCAUAUAUGCACAUUUGUUGUUUGGAAUUACUAUUAAUGCCAAAAAUGAUGACUUUCUUUAUAGAAAUUAGAAAUAGAAUGAUAUUAAAUUAUAUUUACUUACUAUCUAUGUUUUUUUGAGAAAACGCAAAAAACUUUGCGUCUCGAUGCAUUGAUUAAGAGAGAAAGGCUUGCCCAAUGGGGCAACACCCCAAUAUUACAACGCUACAUGACCAGCUGCUAAUAGUCCGUCGGGAGCAAAGCUCCGAGCCCAACUGCCCCAGCACUAGCCCAAAGCUUAGCGCCUGUCUUGAUCAGCUCGGUGAGUAGGGCGAUAUUGAAAGUCGCAAUGUCGAAGAUGGCCACGUUGCGAUGCUUCCAGAUCCACCAAGCUGUGAGCAUGAUGAGAGAAGCAGUGCCCUUCCUGAGCUGUGGAAGGGUGGAGCUGACGGUCGCCUGCCACCAAUCUGCGAAGAGGACAUCCGCGGUCGGCGGGACACAAGUGGAUUGGAUCCAAGAAAGUACCUUAUGCCACAACGAGCGGGAGAAGGGGCAACUGACCAGGAGGUGGUUUGGCAGGCCAGCCAAAACUUAUUAUCUAUGUUUUGCUAGAUAUUAAAUACACAAUAUUUCAUGUUCCAAAAACACAAAUUUGUUUAUAUUGAAUCAUGGGAACUCUUUCUUAUCUCUGUAUCUUUUACCAGUGAUAUGAUUGUUUCUAGACUUCAACUCAACCAACCUUUUGCUUGCAACCUUAUGAUACUUCCUUGUCCCUUUUUGUAAGAAUUUUAAAUUCUUCCAGUUUGUAUCAUCUGACUUCAGCACCUGAUGGUACUUCCUUUUCCCUUUUUGUAAGAAUUCUAAAUUCUUCCAGUUUGUGUCAAAGAUGAGCCGUGGUGAACUUAUUAUAGAAGAUAAUCAAGUAAAACAAGGUUCAGCAUCCCAAUCCAGUGGCUGGGCUGAUGAAUUUCAAACACAGUACAAUGCUAAUGCAAACUCUUGGGCAGAUCAGUUUGUGCAUGAAGAGGUAAUACCAGAGAGCUGGAUAUACAUAAAUAUUUGUGUGUCAUGCAAAACAAGGAUCUAGUUUUCACCAGAGAGCUGGAUGUAUGUAAAUCAAUUUAUGUCAUGCUUAAUGGGGAUUUAGAUCCGGGCAAUGUAGAAAAAAAUGGAACAUAUAUGAUGAUAUUGCCAUUUAGCAUAAACCUAUCUGUGCUGUAGCAUACUUGGUGGUGGCAACACUGAUGCCUCAUCUUCCACGCAUAUCUUCCGUGUGCUGAUUAUUUUCUCACUAAUAUUUCUUCUCCAGCUUUCACAAGGGGCAGACAAGUGGGUUAGUGAGUUUUCUAGUGAACGUAAUCAGGGUGGUCUCAAUGAGAAGUGGGCUGAUGAGUUCUCCAAAUUGCAUGUGGAUGAUGAAUGGGCAGAGGAGUUCAGUGGAGGAGCUUUUGGUGAAAGCUCUGCUGAUCCAUGGGCAGAUGAGUGAGUACAAAUCAUUUGUUCCUCUGUGUCUUUGCUUUGUCAUGCCAAUUUGCUAAUGUUAUUAAGGUUUAGUCGACCUCUGUUGCUUCUUUCUCGAAAUGUUGCCCGACCUAUCUUUGUCAGAUUUCUAUAAAAACACUAGGUUUGGUCAAUAUGGACAACUGUUUGGGUUCAUUUAUUUCUACCGUUUUUGUGUUAUGCUGUUUUACAGGAGCUCCUUUGGUAUACUUACAUCUUACCAUCAACUAUUUAUCAUGUUUUGCUUGUAGGUUUCAGAACCAAUUGUCCGCUUCCAAACAGAAUUCUGGUGCUUCUCGAGGGGUUUAUGUUUUUUCCGAGAUGAACCCAUAUGUUGGUCACCCUAAUCCAAUGCAGGAAGGACAGGAGCUCUUUCGCAAGGGCCUCUUAAGUGAAGCUGCUCUUGCUUUAGAGGCUGAAGUUUUGAAAAAUCCUGAUAACGCUGAAGGUUGGAGGUUACUUGGAGUAACACAUGCUGAAAAUGAUGAUGAUCAGCAGGUGAUUGUGUCUCACUAGCAUUGUUAUGUUCACAUGCCAAGUAUUAACAUACAUUUUUGGCACUCCUGUUGUACUGAUUAUUCUCGCUAUGGUUUUUCAACAUGGAUGCGUUGCAUGUUUCUGUGCAAUUGUGCAUCACUUCUGUUCACCAUUGAUUUUUAAUCAGAUCAUUUUUUACGAAGUAUUGUUUUACCUAAUCUGAGAGGCCAAAGCCUGAAUUUAUUCAGGGUAGCUGAAUUUGUUGUUGUUAUGUAGCUCCUUUGAUGUAGUAUGCUUAUGCUCUAGUUUAGUUUUGUAUACCUUGCAAGACUUGUGCAUAAAGUAAAAAUGACUAUUUAUGGUAAGUUUUAGAACCUUAAGAUCAGUGGGCUGAACUCCAUGCUUUUUCUUUGCUUAAGGAGACUGCUAUUUCUAAUUUAUUGCUUUGCUUUCAGGCCAUAGCAGCAAUGUUGCGUGCACAGGAAGCUAAUCCAACAAAUCUGGAAGUCCUUCUCGCUCUUGGUGUCAGUCACACAAACGGUGAGUUCUUAUUAUGAGGGCAAUUCAGUGCCAUGCUCAAUCUGCUGAGGUGCUCUUCAAUGAAAUGAAGUUAAAUUGUCAUUGGAAGUAAACAGGUUUCUGCAUUAUGCAAGCUAUUUUUUUUUGCCAGGAAUUGUAAACAACUAAACUCAAUUAGUCCUUGUUCCAGGGAAAUUUUUGUUUUCUUUUAUAGUUAAAAAUAGUUCUCCCAUGGUCCAAGCUUCCUCCCUGAGUGUCAAUAAUAGUUAUGCCCACAACAUCUUUUUAUUCAAUAUUCUGAAGUUUUAUUGGAGCAUGGAUAUUUAGGUGUAUUAUUACCCUGAGAGGAUUUAUUUAUUCUUGCAGAAUUGGAACAGGGAGAGGCAUUAAGAUAUCUUUCGAGGUGGCUUCAGAAUCAUCCAAAAUAUGGGGGUCUCGCCCCUCCACAGCCAACAGAUUCAUUUUAUGGUCCAGAUGUCAGUGACUAUAUAUUUUCAUAAUACAUAUAUUUCAACUUACUCGUUGUUAAAUCCUGGCAUCUCCAGCUUCCAAAUAUAUCAUGCAUCUGUUUUAAUUUUAUUGUAGCUGUGGUCAUGUGCAAUAUGUUUUCUGAAAACUUAUCUCUCAACAGGUUAUUAGAUUGUUUAAUGAAGCUGCCAAGAUGUCACCUGAGGAUGCCGAUGUCCAUAUAGUUCUGGGUGUCUUAUACAACCUAUCAAGAGAAUAUGAUAAAGCUAUAGCUUCAUUUAAGACGGCACUACAGUUGAAGCCCCAUGACUAUUCUCUCUGGAACAAGCUUGGUGCGACCCAAGCAAACAGCAUCCAGAGUGCUGAUGCGGUACUGGCAUAUCAACAGGUAACUCGGCAACAUCCUUCAACUUGCAACUUUGGUGAAAGUUUUGUGCAUAAGUAUAUUUAUAUGUUGGUUCAAAUAAGUGCAGCACAUUGUCGCUAUAACAGUUGAUGGUUAGAAUAGUCACUUGAUCACUUUUUGUCGAGCUCUAGUAGUUGCUACUUGGGUGGAAACUGAUUCUUGUCUGACAGAAAAUCUAUUUAAUAAUAUAAUGUCCCCUAUGAUGUUUCUACAUGUUAAACUUGUUUGAAAAUCUAUUUAAUAAUAUAAGGUUGCAUCUUGCAUGUCACAAAACUUUGGGGCAUCGCUCUUUGAUGUGGAUUAAGUUUCUGUAUAAUUCCCUGAUUGGCAGCAAGAUUGUGUUUGCGUGAAGAGUUCAAAUAACAUGCUAAUGUGCUGCAUUCCAUUACAUGUCAUCAAAUUAUUCCAAUACAAUGAAUUGCCAUUGAUUUGACAUCAAAUCAUACUACGGAGUAACACUCUUUUUCCAAUAUAUAAACUUGUUUUAUUCUGGAAGUAUAUGUCUGAUCAAAACCAUCUUAGCGUACAGUACAGAAAAUGCUGUAGACCAUGGAUAUCAGGUCUUUUAGGGCAUCUCCAAGGGUGAGCCCCCAUUUGUCCUUCCCAUUUGUCCAUUUGGAGGGUGUUUGGACAAAUGAGGGUGGAAAAAAUAUCAAGUUGUCCAAUGGGAACCCCCAUUUGUCCUUCUCAUGAGUGUUUGACAUGUGGGCCAAGUGGACAAGUUUUGAACAAAUCGGGACUCCCUAUUCUCUCCCCAAAUUUGGGGAAGAAAUGAGGGGUUCCCAUUGGUUUGUAUAUUUGUCCAAGAACCCCAAAUGGACAAAUGGGGAGAGUUUGGGGGGUGCCCUUGGAGAGGCCUUUAGCUUAUUAUCAUCAUUGUUGAUUGUCCCAUUCAGAUGUCCUAGCACUUGAGGAAUGCAAGCAUGGAACUAAUCCCAUUUUGUUGCGUUUUAUUUCAGGCUCUAGACUUGAAGCCCAACUAUGUCCGUGCAUGGGCUAACAUGGGAAUUAGCUAUGCCAACCAGGUAAUUCUUUUCGUGCAGCCCGCUAUCUUAUUGGACAUGCAAUUUCAUUUUUCAUAAAUACCUUCUGAUGUGAAAUAAGAAACCAUAUAUUGAUGUCUGCCAUCAUUACAUAAGCGACUCUGAACAUUACCCCACUAGUACACUAACUGACUGACAUGCUUGCCAUCAUUAUAUAAGUGAGUCUGUGUUUUGACUUCUAGUGUUGAAAUGGUUGUGUUCUGCUAUCUAGCUUUAUCCUCAGUAUCAUGAAAACUCUGGGUAUUUUUCAUGCAAUGAAUGUCAUCUAGUGACUACCUACCUUAUGAAUGGCUGAACACUGAAAUUUAUUUUUUAUCCGUGAUAACUGACCACAAAUUUUCAUUAUAAUAACAGAUUGUAAUUGUCCACAUAUAACCUGUCUUGUGAUGAUGUUUUCUGCGCCUGCUUAUGCAGGGUCUGUACGAAGAUUCUAUUCGAUACUAUGUGAGGGCGGUUUCCAUGAACCCAAAAGCUGACAAUGCCUGGCAGUACUUGAGAAUUUCUCUUGGGUAUGUCUUGGUCAUUUGCUUUAUCUAAGUGUGAACCUUGACGACAAAAGAUGAUGGUUUUAAUUUACUAACACAUGUUUUCUCUCUCUUUCCAUAUCAGUAAUGCUUCGCGAAGUGAUAUGACUGCCGCAUGCGAUUCCCGCAACCUUGAUGUCCUGCAGAAAGAGUUUCCUCUCUGAGUCCCAGCAUUAGAUAUUAGCGCUUGCUCAUCAGAUCCUUAUCGUGAAGGGGAAGCAGAGGGCUAGCAACAUGGGAUGGCUUUUUGGCUGCAUAUUCUGGAAUGGGAAGGAAAAACUAGUGCAAAUUGUUGGUCAUUGCUUUACCAAGAUGUUGAGUGUAUAGAAAGUCAGAUUAGCACCCAUUUUUUAGAUGUGAAAUUCCAUGGAGGAAAAAUGUUGCAACCGGGAGACAACAUAUGUAAUUCUGUAAUCUCUAUACAGGAGGCACAGAAGAAUAAAAGAGGGGUCUCAUAAAAUGUAAAAUUUUCGUGUACUGUACAACAAGAUUUCUAUACUGCUAAUGCAAUAAUAAGUACAUCCUAAAUUCUUGAUUCAAAUUUGCUCAAAUAUGAAUGAUGUAUCUAUUCUUAAAAAACGUCUAGAUACGUGUAAUAUUUCGACAACAAUUUAGGAUCGGAGGGAGUACAAAAUAGCUUUCUGCCUAAUAAUAGGGCGUGCCGAGCAAACCAGUGUACAAGGUUUACUCACCAAAUUAGAUGAUUUUAUUAUCUAUUAAUCGGUUUUAUAUGUAUAAGCGCAAGUCAUAGGCACGUUGCUUAAUGAAAAAUAUAUUAAUAAAACUAACUAUUUUGCUUUUUUUAGACUAACUAACUAUUUUGCUAAGCACAUCUUCUGAGUAUUUGCAGUGCAUUUCCCCCAGGCUCCAGCUAUUUGUCUUUGGCCCACUUGCAUGCCUCUCUCAACUGGGCUGCCAGGCUCUAAACGACUGAAAUGCCUUCCACACACAACAGUAAUAAAGAUAGCCAAUUUAUCCUGUACAGUAAUAAAAUGAUGAUAAUAUAUUGGCAUAAAUUACUUGAUUAAAAAAUGAUGAUCAUGUAUUGUACAUAAAAUAUUAAACUUUCUUCAGGUAAAAUACAUCAUACAAACAUAGUGUAAACAAAACAUGAUACUGACUGCCUGAGUUGCAGUGCCAGGGACUUCACCGCCUGAACGCAUUGCGCUCAUGCGUAUCACGGCCACCUUGGGAAUAAUAUGCGCGGCGCCGGAUGCUCUCCUCGAUGGUGGCACUGCCACCUUUCUCGGCACCAAAUAUGCUCUUCUUUUCAUCCUCUAAGAAGUUCUUCCCUCUGAACUGGUUUGCAUUUACAGUGGCCGCCUCUUUGGCGUCGUCAUCUGCAGCCUUCUUGAGUCUCUUCCACCUCUGCUCUUCGUGGACCUCGGCAUCAGCCUGCAUUUGGCGCAGACGUGCUUCCCUCUCCUCUUCAGACAUAUGGUGCACGCCUCCUCGACGACGGUUGAGCGUAGGGCCGUUGCUCUUGCCCUGUUGGCUUUCUUGUCUUUGCCGGUCUGCUGAACCAAGUUCUCUUCCAUGCUGGCUUUCUUGUCUUUGUUGCUCUUCUGAACCACCUUCAGAGCAGGGGCGGUGAUCAGAAGUGGAUUUGAUAUUCUUCCGGACAUCUCCAAUACUUCUUUGCUUUGAGUCUGAGUUGUCAUGCUUUGGAUAAGUACGGUGGCGGUCUGAUGCUGAAUAAUGUCUCCUCCUAUCAUCAGCAUCAGAACGAUCGCGUCGUGAACGCUCAUCAUGCUUGGAUAUCUCCUGCCGCCUUUUCCUUGGCUCAUCAUCUUCUGCUAUCUCCUGAUAUCUUCUCCUUGGCUCAUCAUCCAGUGCCAUUUCCUGCUCUCGUCUCCUGGGCUCGCCAUCUUCUGGUGUGUUCUGCUGUCUUCUCCUUGGCGCGUCAUCUUCUGGUCUGUCUUGCUGUCUUCUCCUCGGCGCAUCAUCUUCUGGUGUGUCCUGCCGUCGUUUCCUCGGAGCAUCAUCUUCUGGUGUGCCUUGUCGUCUUCGCAGUGCAUCAUCUUCUGGAGUGUCUUGCCUUCUUCUCCUCGGUGCAUCAUCUUCUGGAGUGUCUUGCCUUCUUCUCCGUGGUGCAUCAUCUUCUGGAGUGUCUUGCCUUCUUCUCCUCGGUGCAUCAUCUUCUGGCCUCUCCUGCCUUCUCUUCCUUGGUUCAUUGUCAUCUGUAUCUGAGGAAUCUUCCCUGCUGUCUUUCUUCACCUGCCUUGACCUUUUCACUUCCCUCUUAUGCUCUACAGCAGAGUGAACUCUCUUUCUCCCUUCGUCCUUGUCAUCACUUUCAUCUGAAUCGGAAUUUUCAGUUGUGUGACGCCUUUUACUCUUUGAUUUAUGAUGGCGAUGCCUUUUGUGCUUCCUCUUCUCUUUCUUUUCUUCCUUCUGCAUUUUCUCUGCUUCCACCUACACAAUAGACAGAUUUGUCAGGGGUGUGUUCAGAUGAAAAUCGACUACAAACCAUCAGUGUGCUGCUAUGUGUAGAUGCGUUUAUAAUUAAACUACACAGAAGCCAUGAUUCCAUAUCAAAGAAAGAAAAAUGACUUACUGAUUUCUUUAUCUCGGCCAUCUUGACUGGAUUGUUCUUAAUCCUUGCAAUGGCAUCCUGUUCACGCUGCCUUAUUAGCAGCAGAGGAUCAGAGUGAAGUUUUCUCCAUGUGUCAUUUGCAGACUGGGGCUUCUCCUCAAAUAAAGCUCCCAGUGAAGCUUCCUGAAUCAUCCAAACACACAAAUAAGCAUUGUAACUACAAAAUCACUUCAAUAUUAAUAGUGAUGUGUUAAAUAGGUAUCUUUCUAAAUCCUCAACUCAAGUUUUCCAUCUCUAUAUAGCCUAGACAUAUAGCUGGUAUAAUUUAGUGCAACUGUUAAGGGCCCUGAAGUAUUUUGGCUACAGAACUACUAAAGCACAUGAAACAAGUGAACCGCUUCCUUGAGUAAUUCAAUACAACUACUAAAGAAGAAUAUCGAUUUGAAAUGUCAAAUGUUGGGCUCUUGCAGUGUAUAUCACCAAAAGAAAUCCUGCAACAGAUUUGGAAACAAGAACCUUAAAACCAACUGUUGUGCCCAGUGCUUUUGUGGGACUUGUGGUCUUUGUGAAAUAAUGUUAAUGAAAAUGAGGAACACGCAGAUAUAAAAGCUGUUGUUGUAGUGUGAGGCAGAACUUUUGGAUGUGUUUGGCAAGCCACCAGCGUGGAGCAGAGCUGGGACGGAAAUCAAAUUCCGGCCUCAUGCCCAUGAACUCAAACUGAACUUUGAUGGGUCGAUACGGGAGCAAUCACCUCAGGGAGGCUGGGGGAGCAAUUCUCGGAGAUUUUACAGGUGCAGCGAUCAUGGCAUGGGCUGGGAGGCUAAACAACAUGCAAGAUGCUUGGAUGAGUUGUUACUUGUUAUAGACACUGAUGGCAUCAACCUGCGUUACGCUCUGUUGUCCAAGGAGUUAGAUGAGGGUCCUAAUUAUGCCUUAAUUGGUGAGUUCCAAAGUUCUUUCUCCUUUGAUUUUGAAGGGUUGAUCUGUCGUAUUGCCAAGAGGCAGUGAUGUAAUUGCUCAUAAACUUGCCAAGUUCAGAACAUAACUAGACUUGUGGCUUCCUGCAGUGACUUGAUGAGCUAUCGAUGCUUGUUACUGAUCUGGCAACUAGCGAUCUGGCUGGUUCACUAAGUUGGAAUGAUCCUAAUGAACUGUAUAAUGUUUUGUAAGUAAAUAACAAACACAAGAUUUACAGAAGUAAUAUAGCUAUUUUCUUUCUCUUUGACACUUGUUUAGGCCAAAAAAGGUGCAAAUCCACAAAGAUCACUGGACUAGAAUCACCAGAGAUAAGAAACAACUGCAGUACCUUGGAAGAACCAGCACUCGCUUGAGCAGAAGAGGAAGCUGCUGCUGCUGCUGGGCCAGGUUGCUGCAGUGCUUGGAAUCCAUCGGAGCUACCCUUGCCGACGCCCAACCCUGACUCGUAGAGGAAUUCCAAUCUCUCUUGCCUCCUGCAAAAAACUGACAUCACAUAAGCAAGCGGCAGCCCAAUUUCCCACAAGCGGAUAUGGGGAUUUCCUGACAGUUCGUGCGAACAAAUCAAAAUGAACAGAUCCAACCAAAUGCUUAGCCCGUGAAACAAAAUAUAUCGGAUCACCUAAAUUUUACAAACAAUCGAACAUGACUUCAAAAUCCCGCAAAUUUUCGCCCAAAUCACACACGAAUCAUCACAGGCAAAUCGAAGCAGCCCCAAAAAUCACCAAUCCAAACCCUACACCGGAGCCGCCCGGGAACUCAUCGAUCCGGCGGAAAAUCUCUACCGAAACUCGACUCCCCCACACCGGAGCCGCACGCACGAAACCCUAGCAAAAAAAAACGAACACAGAUGGAUGGUACGAGUUGCUUACGGCUUGAAUCCGGCCUUCUCCUGGAUGGCGCGGAACUCGGCCUUCUCCCUCUCCUCCUUGAGCUGCUUCUUGUACUCCUCGAUCUUGCGCUGCUCGUCCUUCUCCUUCUGCUCGGCCACCCACACCUUCUCCACGUUGCGGAGGCUCCCCGUGUGCCACCCCUUCUUGUUCAGAAAUUUCAUCCCCAUGGUGGGCAACCCUCUCCUCUUCCUCCGCCCCCUGCUGCCGCGAGCGCGCCUCUUCCCCCUUCUCUCGGCCUCUCGCUCCUCUUCGCUGCUUCGCCCCCUCCGCGUCUGCUUCGAAACGAGAGAGAGAUCAGGAAGGAGGUAGCCGCCGCUUCAGCGCCAGCGACUAAUUAAACGCUAAGCAAAUUUCUCCGCUUCCAAUUGAGGAAGGCGUAUUCCAGUUGGAAAAAGAGUUGGUUUGUGGAGGCCCAUCGAGAUGUAUUGGACCCAACAGGCCCACAAGAUGUGCAGUCUGGCUUAUUUGGGCUGAGUCUGGGCGGAAGCACAUGACUCUACAUGAUGGGCCUGAGACUGGGCCCGAUGGGCACCGUUUCCCUACGCCGUGGCAAUUGUUUUGCUAAUCAUCAGUUGCUUGAAAAUCGCUCAAAAAAAAAUCAGUUCCUUGAUAGUUUUAUAUAUCCCCGCCACUAAAUUUGCACGUCAUUUGGCCUAAAAUUUCUUUAUUUAAGGUGUGCCAUUUUAGCAAAGGGUUAAGGUACACAUGUCAUUACUCAGAUUUGAAAGAAACUUCAAACAGUUUAGAAAUAGACGAUUCCUAUAGCAUUUGAUUUUUUUAGGUCUCUUGCCAAACCUGCCUCAUCCACUUGUCGUAUAUUGUCUGGCACAUAAGAAAAUAUAGUAUUCAAUAAUUAUCAAUUAUUGUACUUCCUCCGCCUCAUAUUAAAUGACUCAAAUUUGCCCAAAUAAGAAUGUAUCUAUGUCUAAAAAACGUUUAGAUACAUGUAAUAAAAAGUCACUUAAUAUAAGACAGAAGUAGUACCAAACAUAGGGAAGAAUUAAUUGUGCAGCUCAUAUCUUUGUGUUAAUCCUUAUCCAAUGCACGACAUUAAUAAUCAUCCAUAGAAAUCUUGUACACUGCUAAUUAUAUUCAAUACCUUUCUAUUUCGAGUUUCAUCGUUAUGUAAAGGCGACUUGUCCCUAAAACUCUGGUAUUACUCGGCCAAUGGUGUUCCGCAUGGAUAACUUUAAUCUUUCUAUUGUGGUUUUGUGUAGUCUUCUUCUGACCGGUGGUGACAUAGUUGGAGGUAGAAUUUAUGCUGCAAAUCAGGUGCGUAUGAAAUCUGCAAUCUGCGGUACCAUGUUAAUUUGUUCUAUCUUGACUUGGUGUGCAUGUGGUCUAUAAUAUAAACUUGUUUCUCCACUUACAAAUGUUUCUCUUCUUUUUUAUUGUAGGAGAAACUCGGCAGCUCAAAUGCAGGAGAAGCACCAUUGGGCAAGUUAAAUCCAAGCAACCUAACGACCGAUGGUUUGGCAUCUUCUUCUGCAGGUCUACUAUUCAACAUGAUCAUGAAUGGUUUAGGCACAGUUCAAGAGCCAGACAAUCAAACUUUGGUAACACUGAAUGCUGCCCCUGCCGCCUCCUCUUAUGUAAGUAGUAUGUUGUUUAUAUACCAAAUAAGGCAUAGUUCAAGAGUCAAAAAAUCUAAAGGUUCUGUUGGCACCAAGUUGAGGACUUGAAGUGGAUAUAUAUCACAAGAAUUGAGAAAGAAAUCAAUCACCAAAAUUUAGGCAUAUAUGAAUAGUGGCAAGUUGACUAAUUAAUUAUGCCUAAGGUGGGGACUACGAUGGUGGCUUAGGGCAUGUACAAUGGAGUGACGUCAGCCUUCUCUUAGCGAUGCCACAUAAGAUAAAAUCUGACGUAGAAGAGAGAGAAAUGAAGAAAAGACAUAAGCCUUUUCUUAAUUAAGAGAUGAUCUCUUCACAAGAAUGAUAAGGCAAAAAUAAGGCAAAUUUACCAUUGUACUAUAUUUCACGUUUUCUUAGCAUUUAUUUAGUUAUAUUUAUUCAUCUAAACAUUAAUUUUAAGAUAGAACACUAAGAGAUAACCCAUUGUACAACAUGUUUUUUUGUCUUUUCAAAUUGACGUGGAAUGACUAAGAUAAGACAGUCUUAUCAACCAUUGUACAUGUUCUUAGGGGCUUAAACCUUUUUCUCUGUGCUAGCAAGCUAGGGGUUUGAACCUCGAAGAGACUGAUAUCAUGCAUAUUUCUCAAAAUAGAUGGAAAUGACCAUUUGAUCAAAUAUGUUGGUUUUGUAAUGUUGUUUUUAAAGGAUUUUUUUAAACCUACUGCCAUACAAGUAGAACCAUAACUAGUGGUGUAUACCAACUUAAAAAUACUUGCACAUUUUAUUUGACAGGUUGUGUUAUAUGGAACAGAUCAGGAGCAGGAAUACUACGGGAUCGAAAUCUACGAUAGAAGUAGAUGGUUUUACAUUAGAUGUAACAGAAAAUAGUGGAGCUGCGUUGAUUUUGAAGAAUAGACAAGGUUUCAAUUAUUUUUCUGUUGGAUGGCAUGUAAGUUUUAAUUAAAUUUUAGUUUCCUACGAAAAUCAUAUUCUGUAGUGUUGUCAGCUCUUUAGUUAAUAACAUGUUGUUCCCUAACUUUAUAUACAGGCUCCUCCAGGGUUGUACAACGGUGAUUUGGGGACACAUUUUUUCGUUUUUUGGACAGUAAGUACACUAUAUCAGUUUUCUACAUGUUACCAAAGUCUUGUGUUUUAUACUUUUGUAAUUACACUACAGUGGGAUCGAUAUGGAAAGACGGGCUGCUUCAAUUUAGACUGUCCAGGUUUUGUGGUUGACAAAGGCGCGACUAUACUUCCGGGAAGUAGACUGCAAUUAGUUUCUCACCCUUACGGAGUCAAGCGUACCAUUACCUUGAGAGUUCUUAAGGUUAUUUUCUAUUCUAAUACUAAUCAUUCUCAUCCAUAUUACUACUAUCUAGUAUUGAUUUUGUUCCAUACUCAUUUCUUUUUGUCUUUUAUAUAUAGGAUAAGGGCAUGUAUAAUGGUUGAUAAGACUGUCUUAUCUUAGUCAUUCCACGUUAAUUAGAAAAGAUAAUAAACAUGUUGUACAAUGGGUUAUCUCUUAGUGUUCUAUCUUAGAAUUAAUGUUUAGAUGAAUAAAAUUAACUAAAUAAAUGCUAAGAAAAGGUGAAAUCUAGUACAAUGGUAAAUUUGACUUAUUUUUACCUUAUCAUUCUUGUGAAGAGAUCAUCUCUUAAUUAAGAGAAGGUUUGUGCGUUUUCUUCAUUUCUCUCUCUUCCACAUCAGAUUUUAUCCUAUGUGGCAUCACUGAGAGAAGGCUGACAUCAUCUCAUUGUACACGCCGUGAAGCAACCGGAGAUUGGCUAAUCCAUGGUGGAUUGGAUUAUGCAAAGCCACAUUUGAUUGGAAGCUUUCCAAAGUCCUUGCUUGAGAAAGCAACCGAGAUACAGUUAAGUGGAUUUGUGUCUAGUUUGAAAAGUCGUCGUCUGGUGCCAAUGGGAAGCGGGGUUCGUCCUGGCAAUCCGCAAGCUGCGUCAUUCAGAAGCUGCUACCUUCUGGAUCAAAAUGGACAGAGGAUAAGAUCUUCGCAGCAUUUUGUUCCAUACAUGACAGACGAGAAGAUAUACUCCUUGUCCCCGAUGAGUCCCGUGGGUGCGUUCUCGUAUGGCGGGCCGGAUAUGAAUGGCAUGUUAUCUGUAUCACAUGACUAGAUUGCACAACAAAAAUAUUUUUGCCUUUGGUUAAAUGUCUCCAAAAACAAAGUUUAAACAUGUGAUUUUACAGCAAUUAUGAAGAAUUAUUAAUAAUUAUUUUACAUUUAACACGCGCCUUCGUAUCGCGUUAUGUAAGUUCCCCAAGCAUGGAACACCUCCUGACAAAGAGCACAAGAAAGAACAAACAAUCUUCUUGAAUGUACAAGCGUUUAUAUGCAAGCAUGUGAAAAUAAAGUACUCCCUUUCCUUGGGAUUGUGUCGCAUCCUUCAAACAUUGCACAAUUACAGCACAAGGUAAAUUGCUUCGUUCAGGAGCAGCCACCUUCUAGAUCAAAAUGGAGAGAGGUUAAAGGCUCCGCAACAACAUUUCGUUCGUCACAUUACAGACAGGAAGAUGUACUCCGUGUCCCGAAUAAUGCUCCGGAGGGUGCGUUCUCUUACGGCGGGCCGUCGUUUUGAACGACAUGUUUAUCCAUAUCAUAUGACUAGAUUUGUACACAAAAAUAAAUAAUCUGUGUCUUUGUUUACAUGUUUUGAGUUCCAAAAACAAGAAGGUUAAGCAUCUGAAUUUGCACUUAUUAUGAAGAAAUAUCAGUAUGAUUUUACAUUCAACACGCCAAGUUCCUGCCUUCGUAUCACGGUGCGCAGGUUCCUGUCAAGUUAAGGAAUUAUGGACAUUGAAAAUGAUAAUCUUGUGAAGAAUCGGUAGGAAUAAAAGCAGCUUUUACAGACUUUCGAGGAGAAUAUCCAUAUGACAUACAUACUACACAUGUAGGGUUGAAUCCUUGUUCUGGUACAACAACGGUAAGCGAACAUCAACCCAUCUACCGUUACAAAGGGAGACCUUAGAUGAUUUACAGAAAAAAGCUUCUCACAGAACAAAAACUUUGUUAUACACAAACAAGUAAAGAAGCCCAAGCAUGGAACACCUCCUGACAAAGAGCACAAGAAUGAAUAAACAAUCUUCUUGAAUGUACAAGCCCUGCCAGUCCGGAACAAUCUGGGGAAGGGGCCUAAAAUUGGCUAGAACAAGUCCCCAGACCGAAGAAUUUUGCACUCGGCUGAAAAUGCUUGUAUCGGCUGAGAUGCGCCUAUGUGAGUACCCUGAACGACUUUCACCGGAGCAGAUGGUUUUUUUCUUGGUGUUCAUUCAACGCCGUUUCCUCCAGCUGGUCGAUCUCUUGUCACCUGACAGUUUUCUAGGGAGGUUCAAGAGGGAAUUUACCCGUGUCACGCCUUCAAGCGCAGACCAUUCCUCCUCCUCGUUAGUGGAUAUGCAGUCAGCCAGGCUACGUGCAGAGGCGCACCUUUCAGGUUCCUUCAAGACAGGAGGUUCGUCCACUGGCAUAAUCUCAUCAACGUUUCUAAGCGUGGAUGAGUGUUCCAAUGUGGGCUCGGGGAUUUGCUCUUGACUGGAGGAAUGUACAUUUACGUCUGCAGUGUUUUCAUAAACACUAGCAUCUGGGAUCGAAGCCUCCACGGCAGGUUCUUCUCCAUUCUUGGCUUCAUUCUCUUCAACCGAGUCAGGUGAGUUUCCAUGGUCCAGGAAUAAGCAAACAGCAGCGCAGUCAUCACUCUUGGAUGUUGGGAACUUCAAUCUCCAUGAUCUGACAGCACAAUCAACAAGAGCCCUGGCGGCCGUUGCUCGAGAUGGGGCUGCAGCUACAACAUCAACAGCCUCCUUGUUUGAGAGAACGUCCCAAACCUACAGUCAUUGAAUUUUUCCGAAUAUAACAGGGUUCAAGCAGGUGAAGGAUGUAACGCGUUUAUAUGCAAGCAUAUGAAAAAUAAAGUACUCCCUAUCCUAAGGAUUGAUUCGCAUCCGCCAAUCAUUGCAGAAUUACAGUACAAGGUAAAUUGCUAGAUUUUGUGUGCACCUGGAACAACAAAUGGACAGGAGACCAUAUCACCUUUUAUCACAUUAACGGAUUAUUUGGAAGGAAGGGGAUAGGCAGGGAAAAUCAACUAAUACCAGCAUCCACCCAAAGGGAUCGGUCUAGUCCCUGCUUACAAAAUAAGCCCCCAGUUUGUCACAAUGACAAUGUGAACAUGCUGUACAGACUCAAAGCUCGAUUAUCUAAACCAGAGGAUUAAAGUCAGUGUCCAUCAUUUUCUGGUUUUAGUUAUUUUUGAGUUAACUUCUUGUUUCUGAUAUCCUCAAGGGCGACGUAUCAAGUGAAACCUCAGUUCGGUGAAAACUUCUGAUCCUAACGACUGGAUCUCAUAAACGGAUCGGAUGAAAGGUGGAACCUCUAAUCACUUAAACGUAUUUUAUAUGAAGAAAAAAACUCAUCACUAGAUGUCCAGGGUUUUUUUUCUUCAUAAAAUACGUUUAAUGAUGAGUUUUUUCUUCAUAUAAAAUACGUUUAAGUGAUUAGAGGUUCCACCUUUCAUCCGAUCCGUUUAUUUGAGAUCUAAUGGCUAGGAUUGGAAGUUUUCAGAUUUUCACUGAAUAAAGGUUUUCACCUGAUACGCCCUCAUUCUCAAGACUGAAGCCAUGUAACUAUACCAAUAACUUGUUCCAUGUUGCUUCCUCAAAGCACAAAUUAUGUAGAUCUAUGCCUGGUCCUCAGAGUGAUGCUACCAAGGUUCAGACUUCAGAGCAAAAUAUGUCAGUUUAACUGAAAAGUAUAACAGGAAGCCUAGAAGCAAAAGCCCUAAUCCUAGGAUGUGAAAGCUAGAAGUGUAUGCUGAAUUUCCAAGCAUAUUUGCUAUCCGUGAGAACUCUCAUACGUACAUAGAAUGAAGUUACAAUUUAUUUAUCCCUCGUAAAUUAGCUGGUUGGAGAACUCAGAUGCAUGCAGUUGACAAGUAAAAAUAAUAAUUUGGAGGAUCAUUUAAAGAUGAUAAGAAGCAUACCCCAUCAGUGGCUAAUAUUAUAAACUCAUCCUUUUCAGUCAGACGGCGAUAUGAUAUCUCCGGAACAGAUAUUAAACCAUAAUCUUUAAGGCAGAAGUCUCCAAAAGCUCUUGCCAUUGCCAAUCCAGGAGAAUCAUUAUUUGGCAACCAUACCCUGGAAACUUCUGGUUCAUCCUGAAGAGCAAAAACUCUUCCUCUACAUUGCUGGAUCCUCGCAGCUUCCUCUGAAGAAAAAGAAACAAACAUUAAAGUCUAAAUUAACCAAAAGAAAAUGAUCCAGUAUAGUAAAUGAUACUUUGAACAAGGCAUAUUGAGGGACGAAAUGGAAGAAAAAACUCAUAAAUGCAAAAAUCAACAACUCCCAAAACCCAAGAAACCAAAUGAAAUUAUCAGAGAGAAAUGAACAUACUGGGAAGGUUAGGCUUCAAAUCAACAGUGAGUUGAACAGCAGUUAGAUGGUUAGAAGCAUCCCGUGUCGCCAUUAUUGCUCUCGAGUCCCCAAGAUUUCCAACUACAAGAUCCCAUCCCUGGAGAAUAAACCAUGUCCAGUUUAUCCAUCAAUUUAAAUUCUAUUGCGACAACUUUUUUUCAAGAGCUUCAUUCAGUAAUUUAUCUACAAACACCAAGGGCUUGUUUAGAAGUAUCGAUCACCUGUUUGACCAACGUGACUGCCGUACUGCCACUGCAAAAGCAAUCAAUUGUAGGAUGCAGCUUGAGCUCCUUGUCCAUUAAUUUGAAUGCCUUCAAAUAAGACUGCUUAAGUGGAACGAACAUCUCAGGAAGCAUAUCACUCCCAUCAACAUCAACAGACUCACCCCAUUCAUCAUCAAUAGCAGAUGCCGUUUCUUCAGAGUUCAAACUUGCGGAAAUGCUUCCGUUUAGUUGAGGACUAGUACCCCCAUUACCACUGGUUUUCCAUUGUGUGAGUAACUUGACAGGGAGAGAAUCUCUAACUUUCUUGGCCACAAAAUGACCAUAUGGCCCAUGACCAUCAAAGACGCCACAGAAGACACUAUCACUUGAAUUGAAAUUCUGCAGUAAAAGCAAGGGGACAUCACAUAGUUGUUAGUUAGAGUUUAAUGGAAUACAAGUGUCUUCUUUUCCAUCACUAAGUCAGUAUCCAGUGAUCCGAUCAGCUAGAAGUGACUAUUGUUAAUUAAUUUCUUAAAAGCAAAUGCAGCAAUGCACUUACUAUUUCCACAAAAUAUACUGAAGAGAUGGAACGAGUUACGGUAAACUGCACAAUGCUCAUCUUUUCACCAUAGAGUUAAGAAUAUACUCCCUCCGUCCCAUAUUAAGUGACUCAAAUUUGUCCAAAUAUGAAUGUAUCUAUCCCUAAAAAGCAUCUAGAUACAUGUAAUAGAAAGACACUUAAUAUGGGACGGAGGGAGUAGUAUUUGUGAGCGGGCAAGUGAGGGGAAGUGCAUAAAGGAUUUUGAAUGGAUAAAUGUAUGAAAUGUUCCUACGAUGGAAUCAGAUAAAAUCAGAUAAUAGGACUUCAAAUAGUGCCAAGAAACCAUGGAGAAACUCAACACCUAGUCACAAUAAACUCACAUAUGAGAAUAUUCCUACAUCAAAGAAGUUUCUAAUACUCAAAGACAAUGUGGAAAGACGAGUAGGAAGACUUCCUGUAUAACUUAACAUCUCAAAGGAAGAGGAACAUGACACAAAAUAAUCAAGGAGACGAAAUAAAAACUGGAAGAUAGAGCUAAAGGCUGAUUCAACUUGAUUCCAACAUAAACGAAAAAAAUAUGUGUCAAGGGAGUAUCUCCCACUCCAAUAAAGGAAGUACCUUUUUGCUUUGAAUAUUAUCGAUCCACAGCACUAUCCUGAGAAUCUACAGGUAUAAACUCUCUUCAUUGUCAUCUUAAGUACAUGAUCCUUCAUGCAUCUUAGAAGUGAAUGGCUUUACUUCAUGUGGACUUGCUAAAAUGACGCACAAAAUACAUUUUCAAACCUACAUACAUUUUGGCUGGCCCUAGGUCUUUAAAAAAGAGAAAAAAUAAACAUAUUGCACUUCACCCAUCUCUUUAGUUAACCUCCUGUUAUUAUCAAAACCUACUGUUUAAGGAACCAACAUAGCACUUAUUCGUCAAACCUAAGCUGCACUGGUAAUUGAUUAGGAUGGAGCCUAGAUGGAGCAAGCCAGCUAUCAGUUGCCCCCGCUUCACUUGACCUCUCAAUCACAUCAAUGUCAAGAAAGGGACAAGAAUAUAUCAUUCUUUAAAUAAAAGAGAACAAAACAAAGAAAGGUAUAAACAUUUGCUAAGGAUCUUGCUUGCAACAUAGACAAUGUCUUGAACCAAUGCAAAGACAGCCGUAGUCCUUCAAUAUCACAACUAAUUCAUGUCCCAUCUAUCAUACAGCACUUCUAAAAAAUUAUCAAAAACUUUGAAGAGCACACAGCAACACACCGAAAAUUGGUGUUCUGCUCGUUUUCUUACCGAAGCUCAAACUAUCCAGCACAGCAAAAAGGUGCAUCCUUUGGAACCAGAUCAAGAAAUGCCCCGACUCCAACCCAACUACAAAUCCAGACCUAUCUGAACUUAAUCGAUAGCAACCGGACGUUAAUCACCAUGCUGGAGCAAAAUCCCUCGCAUUUCGAAUAAAACAAUCCGUUACAUAAAGUAGUUUCUCCCCUUGAACCAUACAACAUCGAAAUCCAAAUCGAUAAUCACAGGCACGAACCAAGACAUUAACACGAAGAAGACUUCGAAGAGUAAACGCAAGGAGUUGACUUAGUGAGGCGGCUCUGUUGGUGCUCAGAAUCGCUAAUGGAACGAGCGCCGCCGCUGAUCGGUGCUCCGAAUCCACCGGGAAACGAGAGAAAAUAACGAAUAGCGGUUUGUAGUAGCUCACCUCCCACACGACCAUGGCGUCCUGGUUGGUGCCCUUCCGCCCCUGCUGCGUGUGGAGGCACGCCACCGCGCUCGCGCCGUUCGCGCACGUCCUCCCGGCGACCCGCGCGAGCUCCUCCUCCGUCAUCUCCCCGCCGCCAGGGAGCUUCUUGCCGCCUCCACCGCCACCGCCGCUGGAGAAGAAGCCGAAGCCGCCGCCGCCGGCAGCCGCGGCGCCCUCCCGCUCGUCGCCGCGCCUCUUGCGCCACCGCUGCGGCCACGCCGCCCCGUCGCCGGGCUGGGUGGAGAGGCAGGAGCCCAUGGGCGGCCAAUGGGAGCGCGGCAACACGGCGGAGCACAGAGUUGGAGGGGGCAGCACAGUAACUGCUGCGGCAGCGCUAUGCCUAUGGUGGUUGUAGGUUUUUGAGAUGCUUGAUGUUUCCUCAUCUUGUAGCCUUUGAGCUUUAUUACCCUUUCUGUGUCAUUUGGUUUGCAUGGUCUUCUUACAUGGAGAUUUGGGCUCAAAAAAUAAAUUAAAAAACUGUCAUGAUUUUUAAGUGGGGUUAGGUUGGGGGUUGUGCAAUUGAUUAUGUUUAUCAUGAAGUAGCCAUGGUGUUUCACCUUUUGGGUGGAGGAAUGAAGGUAUCCUAGGAUGAGGAAAUUGCUACUCCAAGAUAAAAUCUUCUCCAACUCUUGCCAAUUAUUUUCAUAUUUUGUCCAGUGACUAGUCUGAUCAUGCCAACACAAAUGGUUCUAGCUACACUCCUUAAAAUAUAAGCUGAAUUUUAUGUGUGUGUUUUUUGCAUGGCACAUUUAAUCAUUUUUUUCACAUGCCAUAUUUUUUAUAACAAUAAAUUUAUUUGAGAAUUGCUAGGCAGUAGCACUUGCAAUACUUCUAAUUUAAGCUAUUGUUUUGAUGAUUUAUAAAUUCAGACAGAUGGUACAUAGAAUUAUAAUGACAGUAGAAAAUCAGGAACAUCGAAGCCAUGUACCGCUAGCAUUGGCGCAGUAGUAAGGAAAAUCAAAUCCAAGUACCGGUGGUAUUGACAUGAACAGUAAACAAAAGCAAAUCCAAGUACAUACAGUAGCAUGGAUCCAAGGUCCAAGGGAGGGCACAGCAAGCAUGUGGCUCUGUCUUCUUAGCACAUUGAUGGGCGCAAGCAGUACAAAAUUUUAGUAGUAUUAUAUUUUGCAUUUGCAGAGGUCGACUAAUCUUAGAAACUGAUAUGUAAUUAUAAAUUUUUUAAUAACCAGAUCCAGCACUUCCCAACAUGCCACAUGAUAUACAUACAUAUUCCUUUUUGUAGCAUCACUGGUGUCUUUUUGGUGGAUCAGAAUAAGCAAUAGUAUGCAGACAGAGCUUAGAGAAAAAUGUACUAGCUUGAAUAACUAUCCAAUAAUAAUCGACACCUCUUAAUCAAUUUUGGAGGUGAAUCAGAUUUCUCUUAAGCAACUGCAUGAAGAUAGCAACAGCAUCGUUGCAGACCGGUCUUCCUUUCAAACUUCUUUUGAGCACCCUUUCAACAGAAAUGAACUCCUUUUUCAGCAAGGAGCGACCUUUUGGCAUGCCUUUUCUUGGUUUCCAGAUUGUGUUUUCUUCUCCCACUAUAGACAUGAAGAUUUCUCUUUUGGCAUAGUCUUUUUGUGUGCAUAGGAAAAAGGCGACUAUCUUGUAGGUUGUUCUUUGUCCUCAUUAGCACAAGUACUGACAAUGGGACUACUAAUUAAUACAUAGUGUCCCUGUCAUAAGAUUUUAAUAUUAAGCCACUAUUUUUUGCCUAAUGUACAGUGAUGCAAAGAUAGCAAACAGUUGUAUUGACAGUGACACAGUUGUGUAUAUCCAUGCGCAUAUAUUUCCUCUCUUUUAUUUUUUGAGAGUGAGAAAGAUGUACUACAGUAUUAUCUUUAUUAUACCUUUUGCUAACGGAAAUGCAAGUCAAUGCUGGGUGCUGCUUUAGCCGGUGUUGAACCUGUGGGCGUGUUCAACGGUCAGAUAAGUUUUUUUCAGACUUGGACUGUUACACAGAGGAUCGAAAUAAGUCGUUUGUAGAUUGAGUUGACUAAUUAGCCAUUUGUUGUGGUACAAUGAACAACAUUUUAUGACAGUGAUUUUGUAAUUAAGAUUCUAACAAAGUACAUAUCUUAUGGUUGGACCAGAAGAUACUGUUGCCCUUGGAGCUUAGCGCUAGUAAUAAACAAGUCCGAUCAGUCUGAUCCUGCAGGACUUCGACUGCAAGCUCGCAAUCUCUUCUAAGGGAGUGCUGUCAACAACUUAGAAUUAUUUGGUUAGGUUGAACGCAAUAUAUGUACUAUAAACUCAUUUAAAAUGGCAACAUAUUGCACCAGAUCAUUGACCGGCCUCUAUUUUGUUUAGCUCAAACAAGGAAACACUUAAUUUAGCAGAGCGUGGACGGCCGAUCAACCAGAGCACCAUGGCUGGCCAAACUACAUAUGGUUGAUCCUUAUGGAAGAACCGUUCGGAAACGAUGGUACACGGUUCGAAUUUAGAACAUGAUCAAGGAUUGGUUGGGGAUCAAAAUGUUUAACCCGAAAGAUUGGAUUAAUGCAGACAUUAGCAGGCCUGGAUGGAUAGUUGUGGUUUAUUGGAGGGAAGGGCGCCGAAAAGCUAACGAACCGUCGUAUCCUCGCCUUGUUCAAUUAUCGAGAGAGCAGUCUAAUACCAAAAUAAAAUAAAAUUUGACAGUAUAUGUAUCUUUUUUUCUAGCAGAUCGGUUUUUUAGAAUAGAUGAUUAUCUUAACAUGAUAUCAGAGGUUGGUUGCUACUUAUCUUAACGCGAUGCACGCAGACAUGCAAGGGAUAGCUACGCUGGCAAAGACCGGGAAAAGGGAAAACACGAAGCCUGAUCUCCAACAGUGACCCGUUGCUGUAAGUCCCGUUUGGCCAGGGCCAGACAGAACCGAUGGAUGAUCCACCGUCCGCAGCAGCCAAAGCUUGGUCGAUCUCACUCAUCUGUUGCAUGCAUUGUUAUAGGCACAUGGACGAAUGUUUGGUCCCACUCCGGACCCAGGGUGGUGGAGUUGAUGGCAGUGUUGUAUGCAUUAUCAUCGACGGAUGGGCCAACAAAGCCAUUCAGGGGGGGCACCAACAGUUCAGUUGCCGGCCGCUCGAUCACUCGCCUCCGGACAUCACCGCCAGCAGUAAUAUAUCUCUUGUGACCAGCGAUCCUUAGAGAUGUCUUUCUUUUCUCAGUAUGUAGAAAAACAGUAUUGCUGACCGGCACAAUUUACACAGCUUCAGUUGGCAGUGAUGAAAAGGAUCCCGCUUAUGUCCCGAUUCUAGCCACCAGAGAUUUGCUAGUUUAAUGUAAGGGUAGUAAAGGUUCGUCACAGUUCCGAAAGCACUUUUGACGGAAUCAUACCCACACAAUUACCUUUACUUUAGAUUAUUUUUUUGCCUCAUUGAACAUAAUUGCUCUAGAUUUAAAACCCCUCUUUUUUAUUGUCUUUGUUGAGAAAAAGGUUGGCUCGCGCUGACCAGUAGAUGUGGACACGCCGGAGAGAGCCAAGAAACAAGCUGCCGGCUCCGUCCCUCAGGUCGGUACGGGGAAUGCUGCAUUCCGAAGGAAAAUUAAACAAAAAGCGGUGAAAAGUUCUUGUCACGGAUAUUGAAUGGCAAGCGACCAAACCCAACAGCACCGCCUAUCCCAAUCCCAGCAGUUAAUGCGGCCGGCGACGAUCGCCGCCGAGAUCGGUCGCCGGAUUUAAGAAGCCGAUGGUGACAGGAAUUACUCGAUGACCACCCGUAAAAAUGCAGCAAUCCAAAGCAGCCCCCUGAUGAGUGUAGUACUAUACCUGAGACCGUAUGGUGGACAAACAAAGCCGACAGCGGUGCCUGAGUGUGCGAAGACGGCAAAGGAUCUGCGCAAGAUCUCAUGCUUCCGUACUGCGUCUAUCUUUCUACUGUAGCCAAGAUCCGUUUUGUGCUAUCGAAAAGGGAGGGAGGGAGGGGGGGUUGCAGCAGGCUGGGCCUGGGUUUAAAAUGAGGAUGCAUGGAAUUCUUGCCGAUUUUCUUUCUCACACACGGAGCUGGAUCGGCCGGAGCACGCCAACUGAAAGAAAUCAGAUGAGAAGCGGCGAAAAUAUUCGAAAAGGCGCAGGCCUCAUCUGACGCGGCAACACGACGGUCCAGAUGCAGGCAUGCAGCAAUCUGCUGCUCAAAUAUCAUACUACUCUGCUGACUUGCAACUUGUUGGGCUUUGCCUGUAUUACUAGCAGCUAACGAACGAGUCUGAAAGAGACACAACGCAGGGAGACUUGGUGGAUUGAUCUGAUCCCUUACCCUAUGUUGGGGUGGACUGGACUUGUGGCUCCUCUAAUAGUCACACUUGCAUUGCCAUAAAAUUCAACAGAGCAUCUUCCUUGACAAGGACUCUGAGUCUUACUGAACAUUCAACUACACGUUUCUGGCGCGGGGCCACUCUCUUCCGCGUUUCAAUAGCACGAGGAGAGAAUAUCAUACCGCCGCUCACUCCAAAAAUAAAAGAAGUAGAAGAAGCGACGCUGAUCAUUCGCAUUUCAAUACCACGGCAAGGUUUGCAAGCUCAUCGACGUAGCGAAUGAAGAUCUGACUCCCUUGACCAUUCUGUUCAGAUUGUGCGCUAGGUCCCCGUGAUGAACAUUCUUCGACAGAGGUCACAGAGCCGGUGAAUUGGAAAAAGCAUGUUGCUCCUUUGAUUAUGACUUCGUCAUGUUGGACUCGUCGUCGUCAACAAUGGACAGCCUAGAUUACAAAUCAAUUAACAACUGAUUUUGGUCGUGUAUAACCAGCUGCUAAUUGCCUCCACAGUUAAGGAUUCAUCCCUCAGGUAAUCGUAUUUCUUAGUGAUUGGGGUGGUACCGGGACGGAGGCAGGAAAAUUAUUAUAAUGGGGGCCACAUUAUAAAUUAUUACGGAGGGCCAAACACGAAAAUAAACACCUUGCAAAAGUAGGGAUCUAAGCGUAAUUUUCAGACCUUAUUAGUUUAAUGAAGGACAAUGGACGGUCCUCGCCAUUCUUAGGGUAAUGGAAAAGAGCUCUGUUUUAAGCUAAGUCUGUUUAGCCUUGAUGCCUGACAUAUUACCGCAUGCCAAAUGUGGUUAGCAAUUAAAAAUAUGACUGUCUGAAUCUGUGGAUGAGGAAUUUUCCUCGAAAAAGAAAUUUGUCUUAUCCAUUUUUCUUUGAAGAAACAACAUAAGUUUUGCUAUUUAUUGCCUUUAAUUUUUGGAAGCUCAAAAACAUGCCCAUUUCUCAGUUUUUAGGAGCAUGUAUCAUUUAUGACAAGCCAUUGUCUAAUUAACGAGUAGCUACAUAUUUCUAUCUUUGUGACUAUAAUUCACAAGAGCAGAUAGAAAACUACUCCCUUCGUUUCGUAUUAAGUGAUGAAAUAUUACAUGUAUCUAGACGUUUUUUAGGUAUAGGUACAUACAUAUUUGAGAAAAUUGAGUCACUUGAUAUGGGACGGGGAAUAUAACAUUACUCCAAUGCUCAUUGGUUGUUAUUUCCUUUACCUUUUCACUAUUAUACCUGUCCAUUUCUUCUCUUUCCACAGUUAUGUGAUUCCCAAGUUUGCAAAACAAUAAGUUCUCGACUCGUAUACCGAUACGAUAAGGCCGGGUCUGUUUGUCGGUGCUGGUUCCAUAUCAUCAUCAUUCAACGAUGUUGUCAAGUUCGAACUUACCUCACAACGGACUGGACCAGGCUACAGAAAGUGGAGAAAAAUGUUAUAAACGUUCGUAUGGAUACGUCUGGUCUCUAACAUCUCGUUUGGCAUCCAUCUUUUCAUUUCAUUUGAAAGGAAUGAAAUGAAAUCUAAUUUUUAAUAGGAUUUCAUUUGAUUGAAUUUGAAUUCCGGUUUCAAAAAUUAUGUUUGUCUAUCACAUGGAUUUGUAGAGCGAGAGUCAAUUCAAGGAAAAUGAUUACUUCUAGAGGGGAAUUGAUUUUAAUUAUAGUGUGAUUCCAUGAAAUUCGAGAUUGAAUUCUUGUGGUCAAUUCCGUGCCAACCAAACAAGACUGUUUUUGAAAUUUAAAAUGAAUUCCAAAAGGCCAAAUGAUGGGUGCCAAACGAGCUAAGAGAAAACCACAUACUUCCUCCGUCCAACAAAGGAUGUCUCAACUUUGACUAAAUUUGAAUGCAUCUAUACACUAAGCCAUGUCUAGAAACGUCCAAAUUUUGACAAACUUGAGACAUCUUUUGUUGUACGGAGGGAGUAGAUUUAAUACCAAGAUACUCCCGCCGUCCAACAAAAGAUGUCUCAGCUUUGAAAUUUGAAUGCAUCUAUACACUCAGUCAUAUCUAGACACAUCCAAAUUUUGGCAAAUUUGAGAUAUCUUUUGUUGGACGGAGGAAUAGUUUACAUGACAGCUCGUUUGCCAACCCUUCUUUUGACAGGAUUUCAUUUGGUUGAAUUUGAAUUCCGGGUUCAAAAAUCAUGUUUGUCUAUCACAUGAAUUUGUAGAGUGAGAGACAAUUCCAAAGAAAUGAUCACUUGUAAAGAGGAAUUAGGGUUAAUUAUAGUGUGAUUCCAUUAAAUUUGAUACUAAAUUCCUGCGGUCAAUUUCGAGCCAACCAAACAAACUUAUUUCUGAAAUUCAAAAUGAAUUUCAAAAUUCUAAAAUUCAAAAUGAAUUCCAAAAUUCUAGACCAAACUACGAGUGACAAACAAGCUAAGAGGAAAUCAAUACUAAGAUAAGUUUACAAUGAGAGUUUUCAAGCUGAAAGUCUUGUUUAGGCCUUGUUUGGUUAAGUUUAAUUUUGUGCUUCUGGGCUUAUAAACAACAACAAAAAAUCUGACAAAACGAAAUUGAGUGGAUCCGGGUCGGAAAGGAAUGAAAAGGAACGGAAAACCAGGGAGGGUCAGCAGGUGAGCAAAGCAAGGUCAGCAGCAGUGAUCACUCCGACGCACAAAAAUGGGCAAAGCAGUGCAUGCGGCGGAAACACUACUGCGGCACCGCACAGCACAGCAGUAUCCCCAUUCCCCUCUCCUGCUCCUCCUCCUCACCUUUCCCCUCCCCUCCCUUCCUUCCCCUGCCUCGGCGCCGCGCUGCCCUGGAUCCCCGGCCCCCUCCACACGGUGAGUAGUUCCCUUCCGGCCUUCGAUUCCGCGCCCCGCAACGCCCGAUCCUUGCCCCGAUUAGGUGGGUAUAUAUACAUACGUACAGCUCGCUCGGAUUUGUGGGGAUAACUGGCGGCUUGUUUGCUUCGGUGAUCGUAGAUGGGUGCGUGCUUGCGAUUCGGUGAUAUCCGCGUGACGGCGUGAGUGAGUGAUGUGAGGCGCUUUGUGGGAUUUUGCUUGGCUGUGUGUGGUUGGCCUCCGGUGCGGUUGUUCCCUUUGUAGUGCCAGUUCGUCGAAUGCGCGAUCCGAUUCUAGGAAGGUGCGAAUUUAGGUCUACCCUUCGUGUGGGUAUUGGUCUAGGUGAUUCUAGAAUUGUUCUAGGUUGACUGUUGCCCGACAAAAUGGGUCAUGAUGAAGUUGUGAUAUGUUUUUAUCUGUUUCGGUUCGUUCCUUAGAGAGGGUUAGAUGGAUUUACUUGUCCAAUGCAUGAAUUUUCAUGGACUCAGUACUGUAGUUCGAUUAGUGGAUGCAAUGUCGCUAUGGCAUAGAUAGUGCUGUUACCAUACAGUCAGUGUAGGCUGUUAUUUCCAGUUCGUGGAAUGUGUGAUCUGAUUCUAGCAAGUUGCGAAUGUAGGUCGGUUUUUGUGAGGUUGUUCGAUUGGUCUAGGUGAUUGUACAAGCGUUCUCGGCCACUGUGCAAUUUAGCUGAAUGGAAUGGUAGAGUAGUCAUGAUAUGUUUAUCUGGUUUUAGAGAAGGCCUUGAUGGAUUUGUCAGUUCAAUGCAUGAUUUCUUUUUAUGGAACACAUAAUUAGUUCGAUUACCAGAGGCAAUGUUGCUUAUGAGUUAUGACAUAGUUCUACAAUGAAAACUAAUGUAUGUGGUUGUUUUCAGUGGUUUUGGUUCUGGUAUACAUUGUUUGUUGGUGUGCCUGUUCAUGAAGUGUGCUCCCCUAGCUGAAGCAUUUUUGGGUGCUAAUAUGUGAAUUGUUUUCCUAACUUCUCUCUCCACAGGGAUCUUCCAAGAAAUAGUGUGGCAUACUGCUGUAGUAACUUUUGCUUCUCCUCUUCUAUGAUUAUCUCCGAUACUGAUAGGUGUAUUGGACUCCUCCUUCUCCAAUGGGCAUCGUGAAGGUGGCAGAUAGUAUGCUGGUAACGAAGAGCGUUUACAGCUGUGGAAAUGAGGACCUUACGCCAGAGGAGAGAUCGCUGCUUCAGACCUUUCCUGGUCAUGAAUCUGAUGACCGUGAACAUACAGAGGUCGGUUGCGAGCUUGCGAUGUCUGGAGGUCUAAUGUGCAAUGUUCCUUAUGAGCUGUAUGAUCUGCCUGAAUUGAAGGACAUACUUUCUCUGGAGACAUGGAACUUAUGUCUAACAGAAGAUGAUAGAUUCCGUCUAGCAGCCUACCUCCCGGACAUGAACCAACAUGACUUCUUUACAACAAUGAAUGAGCUGUUCAGUGGUAGUGAUAUGUUCUUUGGGAGUCCACUUAGAGGGUUUUUUGACAGACUAAAUGGUGGGUUUUAUUCCCCAGAAGUUUCUCAGGCAAGAGAAUUGCUGAUGAUGUUUCAAAGACGAAAGCAUUAUCAUUUUCUGAAAAUGUAUCAUGAUGGCAUGAUCUGGAAGUUUGCUUACAUGGACAAGCUGUGGAGAAAAAGUGGUACGAGUACCAGUCUCGAGGAGAAAGUUCACAUUUGGCACAGCUGGAUACAUCAGAAGCUUCUCACAUUUGCAGAUCCAAACAGUUCUCCUGUCAAUGCAAAUCUGUCAAUCGUUGGCAAGGCUGAAGCUGCCGGUUCUUCACUAUUGAAGCGAGCUAAACUUAUGGAUGUGACAGUGACUACUAAUUAUUCAGCCAAACACAAGGAAAUAGUCCAUAGAGCAGAAUCAAUGGAAAUGAGCUCAUCAAAAAGUCACAUGUUUCACCUUCCGAACGAGCCCAGUGAAAAAUGUAGUAAACUGCCAAAAGGUGUGCUGAAAAUAAGGACUGAAUGUGAGUCCCUUGCUUAUGGCAAUGCAAGAAUUCAUCAUGCAGCAGGAUUGAUACCACUCGAUCAGCUGCAAAUGCAGGUCUCUAGCUUUUCUCCUUAUGCUUCUGCACAGGAUGUACAUAGUUUUGCUGGGAAUUCAUCUUAUCCUUGUCACAUAAACACAAGCAGCAGUACUUGGGGCAAUUCAGGCUCAAAUCCAUUGCAGUGGCAGGAUGCAUCAGAAACUUAUCCUGUCUUGGUCAAAACUCCACUUGGAAUCCAAGCUACUGUUCUACAGGAGCUUGGAAGAGGCAGCCGCUCUGGGUAUCAUACGGCAGCUAAACAUACCUUAAGUUAUUCCAAUGAAGAAAAUGACACAAGAGAAUCCCCCCAUGAGAAGAACCUCUUGAAGAACUUUGGUCCACAGAAUGCCAUAAUUCCUGGAAGCUCUUUUGGCAUGUUCCCAACAACCAUUGUUGAUCAUCAAACGAGAUACUUAGACAGUCCAACAAAUGCUGAAAUUAUUUCUGAGAUGUUGACCCUUGGUACAAGCACAAACCCAUCUUACACCAACUUCUCAGAGCAGACUGAAUAUCAAGAUGGACCGAAGAUGAAGGCUCCUCCUGCCAUGGACUCUGUUACAAAAGUUGAAGACCACCAGUUCCCUUAUACAUACACAAGGAGGAAGCUGCACAGGGGGCUUGACCUUGUGGACCCUGUCAACAAACCAAGCAUGGUUGGUUCGGGGUCACCGAGUGUGCUUGCUAGCAUGGAAAAUGUAAAGGUGAAGGCAAUCAGGCUUUGAAGCUUGCAAUCAACAAACAAGGAGAUCUGAACAUAGAAAUGGGGAGCUGGGGACAGGAACGUUUUAGCAUCUAGCUGACAUAGUAAAUAAGUGUAAUCGUCGCUUUCUCUGCAACGCCAGAGGAUGAAGCCUGGAUAUGUAAGCAACAUUUCUGUAGGUGAAGUGUGUAAAGCAGACAGGUCUCACUUCCUAGUAGUUUCCAAGGGAACUUUUAUGCCAUUAUACACGUUCUGGAAGACAUUUUCUUGUUGUGAGCUUGUUCACAGAGAAUAGUCAGUAGAAUGUCUGGACUUAAUUCCAUUUUCCAACCACUGAGUUUUUUUUCUAUGUUUCCAAUUCAGUAUCAUCUCCAUUUCAACUUCUCAUUUAGUACUCCCUUCGUCACGAAAUAAGUGACGUGGGUUUAUAUAGCUUCUUAUACAAAUCCACGUCACUUAUUUCGGGAUGGAGGGAGUAUUUUCAUUUUUCCGCAACUUGUAGAAUUCGAACAAUACAGAUCAUCUUUAACUAUUACUAUUGUUCUAGUGAUGAUGAGGAUAGAAAUGGGGUUGCACAGCAGCCCUAAAACAAAGGCUGCGCAAUAUACGCGCAACGACCUAUUAAGUACUUUGUACUUAUACUAGAUAAAAGGAAAUAUAUGAGCUAAUUCACUACUUGGUUCCUCGAGAAAUCCACCCUUCUUUUUUCUUCUUUUGCGUAUUGUUGAAUUUCUGAUGCGUAGUAAGUGUGGAAAAGUUGCUUCUCUUUGAUUUCUUAAUAGUAGUUAGGUGUGUAGAAAUAUGUGCUGACGAACCUUCCAAUUUCCCUUCCACAGGUACAAGUACAUGAAUAACAAUGUUUCGAAGUCGAGUGCUACAGACCACUUAUUAUUGUGAUAGUUGCUAGCAAAGUGUAUAUAUCAUUCCAUAGUAUCACGGGUGAAAUGCAGAACCAUUCGGCAGCUUUUAGGUCAAUGCACAUCAUUAUGCUAUGCCGAUCUUUCCUUUUUUCUAAUCUUACAUCUGGUCCGAUUUGCCCAUGGGUACGUUCUUUUGUAAAGAAUAACUGUUAAGGGAGAGAUAUUCCAAUGGCAGGCUCACAAGGGAAUACUAGGUAAUGAAUAUGCCUACGUUGUACCAAGCAUCAUCUUAGAAAAGCUUACGUUUCCAUGUAUUCGAAACAUAGGCUUGCUAAAUGAAGAUGGUCCAGCCCAUAAAGUUUAUUUAACUUAUAAAUACCUUUUGACCAAUUAUUGUGGUUGGGUUUUUGACCAAUUGCUUGAGAGAAUUUCUCCCCACAAACUAUAAAAGGAUUGUGUAGUGAGCUAGUGUGAAAAGCAUUAUUCUUGUCUUACUUGAUGUUCACAUUUUGCAUAUUGAAAUGAAGUUUUGUUGUUUUAAUUCAGUUCCAUUGUCUUAAUGCAGUACCAAGUAUGGAGGGAAGGAGGAGGAGGAAGGGUUGGACAUGGAAGGUGGAGGAAGGGUUGGCGGAGAACGAGGCUAUUUCUUUAGCGGGCGCCAUGGACACGACAAAGCGUCUCUGGUGAGUCGGCGGUGCCAUGAUCUCGAGGUAAAGCCGCUUUCUCUUUAGUUGAACAGAUGUCUGAAAUUGUUAAUUAGGAUCUCUUUUCGCUCCAGAAAAUGGUUGAUGAAACUCCACUGUAUUUUAACUUGCAUUGUUCAAAAAUUCAGGUAAGCACCAUACCUCUGAUGCGAUUACGUCGAGCUGAAACCUGCAGAAAAGCACUAAUCUCUUAGUGGUCAUGUAGAGGGUUUUUUUCUUGUAAAGAAUUAAGCUUCCUGGGUUUAGUGCUCCUUGACGGAAUGAGACUCGGGCGUCAGAUACUAAGCUGUGUGUUGUAGGUUCAGGUUCAGGUUCGGGGGUAUUUAGAGCAUUAUUGCCAGUCUCGUAUGGGUUGCACAUUUUGGUGCCAAAUAUAUACUGCCUGUGGUUGGGGUGUUUAUGAUAUAAGUUGCGUACUUGUGCAUCACUUUAUUCAGAUAGUAUAAGUCUCAAUCCCAAAGGGGAAUAGUUUUGCGCUUCCUCCUUCGUCCACGGUAGUGCGCCUGUUCUCCGCCAGUUUCCUUUUUGCGUUUCCGCGUGCGGGCAUGGCCCUGGUGUCAGUGGCUGCGGAUGCAUGUUGAUCGGGCUGUCAGUGACUGCGGUCUCCUCUAGGCGGUGGUGGUCUGGCAUCGUGAGUUCUUGGAUCGUUCUUGUCGUGCGACGCGUUGUCGCCCAGGGUUCUUCUCGGCGCUUAGGUGUCCUGGCGUUCUUCCUGCGCGUCACGCUGGCGCGUCGGCAGUGAUCUGGGUUCUUCUCGGCACUUAGGUGUCCUGGCUACGCGUCAAUCUGCUGUGUGCUGGCUCCUGCGUGGCCCUGGCUAUAUAAACAGCUUGAGCUAUCGGGUUUCGGCAUCUCGAUUUCGAUUGUUGUAUCGAUUGGCCGCCGUUCGCCGUGGGCUGUUUUUCUUUGCCUGUUGGUGCUUCGUCUUCUGUUGUUCCUGGAUUGCGCCGCUGCGCCCUGACCUGGCUUUCUUUUUUGUCGCUGGCGGCUGCCCCUGCUUUGGUCGAUCGGAAAGGUAUGGCCGGUGUAGUUUCUUAUGUUGUUUAUGUGGCGGAUCAUUUGCUGGUAUAUCUGUGAUUGGACUGUAGUGCGUGCCCCCUGUGUGCUUUGCAGGUGGAGAAUUUGAAGGCGCUUCUUGAGGUGGAGGUAAGCAGGGCCUGCAGUUUCCUUUUUUUUUAGAUAAAGGCCUGCAGUUUCCUUGAGAGUUCUAUUCCAUGCUUUGCCUUGAUUGAUUAGACCUCAAUUGUUAGUUUUGUCUGUGUGUUGCUAGACUUGAGUGCCAUGCUGCUGCUUCACUUCAAUGGCAGGAGAUGAGCAAAGCUUAGAAUCUCAGCGCAAUAUGAGUCCAUGGUGCUGAUCUUGUAGUGAUGGUUUCCUCCGAUAUAUAAUAUAGAUCCGCUUGUUGUCCUCGCGUACAAGCAUAUGAUUUUGCAUGAUUUUUGCAAUGAACAAACUAGACAUUGUAGCACAAGAAUCUGAGAGUGAACAAGUACAUAAUAGAUGAGCACAGCGCUGCUAGGAGACGUUGAAUGGUUCUGGAUCGAUGCAGGCUCUUGACUGGGAUGUAUAGAUGCAGAUAUUCCGUGCUUGCAGUGUGGUACGAUGCCUCUACAAAGGUUGGGAUUCUGAUUGGCUUUUCUUUCUAUCUGGUAAGGUUUGGAUCCUUCAAUGAUUCAGCUCAUUCUCGAUAUUGAUCUUUGCUAUCAGAGUAGAGCAAUAUUAUCCAAAACUUUAUUUUGUAAGUGAAUUUCAGUGCUCAGGUGACACAGUUACUAGAGUUUGCGCAUCCAUCGUUGUUCAUCUUUGAUAGAAAUUAAGCUAUAACUAUAUGCACCAGGUCAUAUUCAGCCACCUUAAUUUAUAUGUUCUAAUACAGCAGCAGGCAUCACAGUACUAUCUGCUAGCUACGUAGUUGGUUCUCAAAUCUCAAUUGAUUCAACAUCUAAAUAUUACACUGUAUUUUGAUUUGCAUUCGGGGUUAUUAUUUCCAAUUGCUUGGGAUAACCCGACACCUCUUUUGGUAUUUCCACACACCAUGUGGAAUGCAACGUGAUGUUUCUUUAUUCUAAAGGAAACAAGAAUUCCGCAAACACAAUAGUAAGUCUAUAUUUUGGUGAAAGAAAUUAUGGCUUAUGUUGAUCUUUCACAACUAUGUUCUGCGUUCCCUGUGCUGAAAGUUUGGGUGCUCCUUAACUACUCCCUCCGAUCCUAAAUUGUUGUCGAAAUAUUACAUGUAUCUAGACACUUUUUAAGAAUAGAUACAUCCACAUUGGGCAAAUUUGAGUCAAGAAUUUAGGAUCAGAGGGAGUAAUAAUCAUGGUAGUGGUGAUUAAUAUAAAGGAACCGAUCUAAAAAGUGCAGCAAGAAAAUGUGAACAAUGCUUUGGAACUAAAAAAGCAGGCAGAUGAUUGAAAAUAGCACUGAAGACGUCGAUUUUAGUUUAAGUGGUUGUGUUCUUACUGGAUGGGUUAUUUGUAAACUGAAUUGGGCAGAAGGAUGUUUUGAUGUCAACAAGAAAUAUUUCAGAUGCAACAUAGAUUAAAAAAAAAUCAACAGACACUUUUCUCUUUGUUCCACUACAAGAUGUAGGCACCAGAAAAGUUGCCUUCUAAAACUUGGAUCAAAGAAGACUCAACGCAGUGAUGAUGGGAAACCUGUUGCAGUUAAAAAAUGUUCCUUAUCCAAGUUUCAGAUUCGGUGAGCUUCAAUGCCAACCUUAUUUUAAAUGUAUAAAUUCAGAGGACAUUGUUGACUUGUUUUUAUUUCCUAGAACUGUUCCCUUCACUCUUUUAAUUGCACCGUGGUUACGAUUCUGAGAUUUGUUUUUGAAAAUAAUUACGUUCUGAGAUCUAGCUGCUGAAAUCAUCUGUUGAGAUUGCAGUGUUGUCAUUAUUUACUUUACUGUUCACGUCGACUUUUAGCAGAGCUUACAUUUCAUAACUCCUUAUUGUGUGACUGCAGUUCUGGGACUAAUUUGCUGGUGCAACUGAGGUCCUGACUCAUGACCAACAAUCCAUCUAGCUCGAGCACUAAUUUGCCGAUGAACCUUGAGUGUUUGGGUGGUCCCAUUUUGAUCUUCUGUUUUACAGUGAUUGAGAGGCUCCUGAUGUGGUAUGCUAUAGGUUAUUUGCUUUAUAUGCACCAUAUGCUCAUAAAAGGUGAAAGCAGCAAACAAAUCUCUGUAAAUUUUCUAUGAUCUCUACUUUAAGGGUAACUAAAUAUAUCGACUGGUUCAUAUUUUAUCUCUAUUUUAAUUAUUAAAAGCACCAAUAAAGAUGCUAUGUUUAGAUUUUUCUGAAUGAAAAUGACCUGGAACUCUACUUCUCCCUCCGUUCCUAAAUACCUGUCGCUGUUUUAGUGCAAACUUGCAAGUUAGACAGCACUGACUCCCUUGAGCGGAUACAAUCACCCUUAACUCCCUUGAGCGGCAAGCUAGACAGCACUAACUCCAGCAAUUACAACAAAUUGGAUGAUUGUUGACAGGUAACAGUGUAGUACUAAUGGCAACCUGCUCAAAUGAAUUCAUGAAUUUAUUAUAGGUAUUUGUUGUAAUUGCAGUUUAGUUGUAUGGUAUUCUAUGGAAGAUGAUGUAGCUGUAGGUAUUCGUUGUAAAUUGCAGUUUAGAUGUAUGGCUCGAGGAGGUCCUGCAGCAGCUGAUUCUGGCCAAUCAGUCUACAAAUGGGCCCUUGCGAGCAAAGUAUAAUGCAAAAAACUCAAGGAAGAGGUAUCAUAUGAUCAAGAGGAAUUUGUAACAGUUGUUGCUUGUGCCGUGGUAUGGUUUAUCAGAAGAGUUCUCAUGCGUGGAAGGUUAUCAAUUUGUCAUUAUCUCUUCUUGUUUUCUCGACAAGUGUUGUCGACAUAGUCGAGCUGCCUUAAUUUGAUUUACUUGUUAUAUACGGAGUUGCUCCUAAAAUGCAACUUUUAUUCAUUUCCCAUGUAUAUAGAACUCACUUUUUCACUUGGAAUCUUUUUUAAGGAUGAGUGUAAUGGGGCAGUUCAAGUGUCAGAUAAAUCUUGGCGAUGUCAGUCUCAGGGCGUGUGAUGCAAACUGGAUCGAUAUGUCUGUUCUACUUGUCUUCUGAUCUUGACAUUGGCAGGCUGAAGGGUCACACGUGUAUAAACCAAAUUAACAUGGUGUCUAUUGCAAUUGCGUGGAAAAUAUCUUCAGUAGUUGCAUUUUGUAUUACGAUAUAGUAGUAUUAUACGAUCAAUGUUCUGAUGCAAUGUUUGACUAAAUAUUCCUGAUCAAUAUUGUCCGACUCCAUAUUUAACCUUUACAACAAUCUAGGAGUACAUAAAUUCCACUCCGAAGACCACAAUUCAGAAUACAGGACGAAGUCCGUAUCCGUUCCGUUUUCGUAAUAGACCUCUUUGUAAUAAUAUCUCGUUCGUUCGUCUUCUUUCUUCCAGGCGUACGGUACGGUCGUCCACUCGUGAGACCAUCGAUUCGCAUCCCUCCCUAAAAUAUCCCUAGCCAAGGCAACCAGCCCUAACCGGCUAACCCUCGCUCGCUCUGCCCUCCCUCUUCGCGGCGGCCGCCGUCCUCGCCGUGUCCACAGAUUCCGGGUGUUCCGGUGGAGGCGCUCCCGGCGCACCAUCUCUAGAUCCGCCCCUGACCAAGCACCAUGUCCGUGGCGGCUGGGGUCAGCGAUGCCGCCAUCGCGGUGCGCGACAAGCUCCGCGGCAAGAUCGGCCAGACCAAGGUGAAGCGCUACUGGCCGGGAAAGGCGCCCGAGUGGGGCGGGGAAGACGCCGAUGACGACAUCGAUAUCCGGACGGCUAGGGUUUCGCUCGACAAGGCGUUCCCCAAGGACGACGACGGGGGCCGCCCCGCCAAGGAUGACCGCAGGCUCCGCCGCCUUGCGGAGGCCCGCGGGGAGAGCAAGGAGGAGCUAAGGGCCGAUCACCGCCGCAUACGGCAGGCUGAGAUCGUGUCGACUGCGGAGGAGGAGAGGGAUAGGCAGGAGGCUGAGUUGGAGGAGGAGGGGGAUGAGGAGGCCCAGGAGGAGAGGAGGAGGAGGAUUAGGGCCAGGCAGCUCUUGAGGCAGCAGGAGGAAGAGCUGCUUCCGCAGGAGGAGGAGCCGGUAGAGGAGGAGCAGGAGGAGGAUGGAGAAGAGUCUGAGUACGAGACUGACUCGGAGGACGAGCAGAUGGGCAUGGCCAUGGUGAAGCCUGUCUUCAUACCAAAGUCGCAGCGGGACACUAUUGCUGAGCGCGAGCGACUGGAGGAGGAGGAGCGGCAGCUUGAGGAGCUAGUCAAGAAGAGGCUGCAGGCUAGGAAGAUAGAGACUAGGCAGAUUGUGGUGGAAGAGAUUAGGAAGGAGGAACAGAUUCACAAGACACUAAAUGAGGAGGCUAGCAUUGAGGAUAUCGAUACGGAUGAUGAGUUGAACGAAGCAGAGGAGUAUGAGUCAUGGAAGAACCGUGAGAUAGCAAGAAUCAAGAGGGAUAGGGAGGAAAGAGAUGCACGGUUGAAGGAGAAGGAGGAGAUCGACAAGGUGAGGAAUAUGACCGAGGAGGAGCGCCGGGAAUGGGAGCGGAAAAACCCAAAACCACUUCGUCAGUCCAAACAGAAGUGGAACUUUAUGCAGAAGUAUUACCACAAGGGUGCCUUCUUCCAGGAAGGCGCUGAUGACGUGAGUCAAUCAGUUGGCAGGGAUGAUAUCUACACCCGUGAUUUCUCUGCACCUACUGGAGAAGAUAAGAUGGACAAGAGCAUCCUGCCCAAGGUCAUGCAAGUCAAGCAUUUCGGACGGAGUGGCAGAACGAAGUGGACACAUCUUGUUAAUGAGGACACUACUGAUUGGAAUGCACCGUAAGUACUCAUUUCUGUUGCAUUAUGGUUUUCUACUUGAAACUAUUCAGUUGGCUUGUUUAAUUUUCUUCCUAUUGCUUUUCAAUAAAAUUGUGCUAUAUAGCUACUAUGGUUGGUAGUUGGUACAAUGCUGGCCUAAAGUCAUACUCCCUCCGUCCAACAAAAGAUGUCUCAAGUUUGUCAAAAUUUGGAUGUUAUCUAGACAUGACUUAGUGUAUAGAUGCAUUCAAAUUUAGUCAAAGUUGAGACAUCCUUUGUUGGACGGAGGAAGUACGAUUUUCAAUAGGAGACUAACGACCCGUUUCUAAUUCAUUUAUUUGACAUACUUGCUGUAGCUUUUUGUAGACAAUGGUAGCUGAUUUCCCCAAUUUCAUCAAAGCCUAUCGGAUGUUAUUUAUCAAUUAAUUAAUUUCUCAUGUUUGCAUGGUUAUGUUUUGAUCUGAUGACAAGGAAAACAUGGCCCUUACUUAUUUCUUGUUGAAUUUCAGAUGGUCUACAAAUGGGCCCUUGCGAGCAAAGUAUAAUGCAAAAAUGGCAGGCAUGAAUGGGCCUAUUGCUAAACCAAAGGGAAGUAAGAAGAUGAAGGAUUGGGAUACAAAACAAGAUGAUUAGGCAUUUCUUUUGCUGGCUGAACUGGUACUGCUCCCCUACUGCGAUAUGAACACUUGCUGAAAAUGGUGUUUAUGCGGAUAUGUUUUGUCUUUUUGUUGUCCGCAUAAGACACACCUUCUGUGCUAUCUUAGUGUAGCUGUGCUGCAAAAGUUCUUCAGCAAAGUAUGUAUGAUACAUGAAGGAUCUUUAGUCUUGUAUUGUGGAUGCUUUGGCUGAGAAAUAUUCUGUACAUAUUUGUUUCUGUACGCCAAAUGUCUUUUAGUUGGUUUUUCCUUUUCCAUUAUUACAUAGUUGUGAUCAUCAGAUUGUCGAAUGUAAUACUAUGUUGAAGUGACUGCCGGAUGCAGUUCUAAUACCAAUGUGUACUUCUCUGCAGUAUGUCUGUUGUACUGUGCUUUUACAUUAUCAGAUCGUGCUAAAUUGUGAUCCUCACAUAUGGACAGUGUGUAGGAACUUUAUGGUCAACCUUUCAUGCCUAUGUUGAUUGUUCUGACACCUGUUAUUGUUUUGAUCUCUGUUUAGGUUCUUCCAGAUGGCAUAAUUUGCUCUUUAUUGUUGACUGAUGUAUGAAUCGUGAUUAUUAGCAAGCAAUGGACAGACCUGUUGGUAUCCACAAUUGUUGUGCCUGAGAAAAGUUCUAGUGUAAUGAAUAAUGAGACCACUCACAGGAGGAUUAUGAGUUAUAAGACCCUUUGCCAGCGGCGUUGUCCUCCAACCCAGUGGAGUUCAACAGCUUCAGGGAAAUCUCAAUCCGAGGAAAGGCUCUGGCCCAUCCCAUCCCAAUAUGGAAAAAGUGACUGCAUAGAAAUGUUGAAAUCCUUGUAUAAUCUCAAUACCAACUUUUCAUUGGUCAUGUUUCCAUCUUUGUACUGACGCAGAAGAGCAGAAGAAACCAUGUAUUUUAGUCAAAUUAGCUUAAAUUUACUUUGCUUUUUGAACUGGAUUCAUCGGGUUGGUCAACUUCUAGUUCUGUUUUCACAAAACACUGCAGCUGAUCUAGAGUUUGCCAUCUGUGGAACAGUAGCGAACCACUCUGUAAUCUGUAUUUAUCACACUAGGAUGAUUCAGCGGAAUCAACUUGGACUUGUGUUCAAGGUUCUGAAUUCGUUUAGCAAGGAACGUCUUCAAAUGAGUCGCUCUGCUGAAGGAGCCCUGACGAAAACAGGGCCAAAGCUUUUGAGUUCCUGCCGGCUGAAUUCUAAGUGCGGAUAAAUGAGGCUGGAGCUCAAAAGCAACUUGUACUGCUACAAAAACAUGUGUCAUGGAUUUCUUAAGAUAGUGUCACAGUAAGUUGGAGAAAUCUUUGUCACCAAAAUCACUGGAUUUCUUUCGAGCAACAUUGCCAUUAAUAUAUUCGAAAGAAUAUAAGGUGUAUACAUAUAUAUAUGUUCAAAAGUAAUAGUCACAAACCAUAGCUCGUAACUACUUUUGCGCUCACGCAACCAAGUAUGUCCGUUGUACUGUGCUUUUACAUUUACAGAACCCAACCAAGUUUGUGCAAAUGUUGUACUUGCUCACAACAAAAGUCGAAUAGAGGUAAUAGCACGCAAAAUGGCACAAGUAGCAGAAGAUACUACGAUCCGGUGUUCCUUCACCAGAUCCUUAAGGCGACGCUCCUCACGGUACUCCAACUGCAGAGUAGAAAGCAAAUUGUCAGUGGCAAGUAACACGCCAUAAGUUAUCAGAGAUAGCUUGAGUACAAAAGUCAGAUUUACUGCAGUCUGAACAUGAAUACUGAAAGUAACAACACAGAACUAACAGAUGAUUAUAAUGGUCAACUAAACAACGGAAAGGCUUUGACAAUAUGUAUGUGGAUAAUGCAUUGUAUCGACUAAUUCAAUUUCACAGCAAUAGUUGUUUACACAAUUUAAUAGCAAUGUCAAACAUUGAUAAUACUGGAUCAUUAUUUACCUCAACUAAAUGACUAAUGGUGCAUUUUACGCUGCAACAAAUUUUUUGUUACAAUCCAUGUGCCUAUUCUUCAUUAUUUACCUCAACUAAAUUGUUUCACUUUUCCAUACUAAAAAAAGGGUGCAAACAACAAGUUUAUUUGCAGGUCUAUCCUAUCACGUUUCAAUUGUUUGGUUACAAUAGCUCAAAAAAGAAUAUAAGUAACAGAAUGGUGAUAUUCAAUCCAUAAACACAAACGGUUUUCCAUGGGCCAAAUGAAUAAACGAGUACUCGCAAGUCAAAACACGCUGACCAAAUUAGCUUGGGAGCAGAAAGGAGCUGUUCUGCCUAUGUCUUUGCUCCAUCGCGGCAAUCAGCCAGUUUGGUGCAGAUGAAUGGUAGUAAUCCGGGUCAUCAGUCCGCAAUUCAUAUUUCACAGUCUCAUCAGUUUUACCGUGAGAUUCCACACUCCAAUUUUGACCUCACAAUGUAGCAUUUUCUCAUCAAUCAAGAUCACUAAGCCAUGAUGUUGAAUCUGGUAUGAGAAAUCAAUCUUCCCAAACGGUACCCAUGCCAGUUUCAGAAGCCAAGCUUCCUAAGAUGACAUUCAGUGACAUCAUAUGAUUGUGUUCCUCAUUCAAUGUAGAGCGACUCAACUCCUGAGUCCUCCCCACUGUCGGCAUCAUCGUCGUCAUCUUCAGCACCAAUUUUCCUUUUUCGGCCACUUGCAUCCCCAAGAAACUUCUCCCUUAAUUCUUCUCCUCCACGACGACCACCGCCAAGCUCGUCCCAUCCACGACCCAUGCUGGUGAACAUCCUGUCCAGAUUCGCCUUCUCUCGGCUCAUCAAGAGCAACUCCUCCAGCUUCCGCCUUGCAGCAGAUAUCUCAUUGGCCUCAACGAGCUCCCCUUUGUAGUACGCCUCCCGGAGAAACACCGUGUGCAGCUUUCCUUGGUUUCCCCUCGUGGAUAUGUAAAAUAUGCCCUGGUACUUGAGCAAGAACUCCUUAAUCUUCUUGGGCACACCAAGGGCGUCGCGGAAGAGUGCAAGACGCUCCAGGGUGGUACGCUUCUCAACAGUGAGAGAGAGCAGCUCAUGGACAGCCGCGACGGCACGCUUCUCCAUGCGGCGUUUCGCCUCGAGCGAGCGCAGGUCGUGGCCAGAGACAUCGGCGUACGGGGACGCGUAGGGGAGGCGCUGCCAUUUCCAGACAGCAAUGCGGAAAUACUUGCCGAUCUUAAAUCCCGGGGGGAACCGGGUGGGGAACGCGAAGCGCGCGUCCUCCUCGCCGGCGCCAGGAGAGCGGUGCUCGCGAUAGUGCCGCUCCCGGGAGCGCUCGACGGCGGCGACGGUGAGGUCGGGUGGGUCGGUGGUGGGGGAGGGGACAAACUCGACGAACUGGUCAGGGGUGAGCCGGAAAAGGGCGGGGUUGGACAGGAUGAUGGAGUCGGCGAAGUCGUCGGGGAGGCCGAAGUCGCGGCGGAGGAGGCGGAUGUGCUCGAGGCGGAGACGGUGGUGCGGGGGCGCGAGGAGAAGCAGCUUGCGGAGGCGGAGGACGGCGGCGGGGCGCGAGGAGGCGAUGGCGUCGGCCUCGAGGCGCAGCGCCGCGGCGGCGCGCGGGGUGAGGCGGGCGUGGAGGAUGCGGUGGACGGGGUGGAGGAAGAGGUGGAAGGCGUGCGGGUGGCGCAGCAUGAAGUGGCCGGCGUCGAGCGGCUUGAGGCGGAGCUGGCGGCGCGAGAGGGCUCCGAGGCGGGAGAAGGGCACGGACACCGCGCCGGCGCCGCUCUCCCCUCCUGGGGAGGAGGAGAAGGCGGUGGGGGAUGCGGCGUAGAGGAGCAAGGCGUUGAGCGCGAGGAAGCGGCGGACGCGCUUCUGGACCUCCAUGAUGCCGUCGAAGGCAUGGUCGCGGACGCGCUGCUGCUUCUGGGGAAGAGAGGUGGAUUUGGAGGAGUAGCUGGCCCCGGCGCCGGCCUCACCCACGGGCGCUGCCGCGCGCGUCGUCGUUGGCGGCGGCGGCCGGAGCGCGGCGAUGCGACGGAGCAUCGGGGCUCGGGGAGGUUUCGGCCGAGGAGAAUACCGUUGGGCUUGUUUGGUGUUUUAUUUGGGCUUCGUUUGUGGAGUAUUGGAUAGUUCAGAUUGGUUGGGUUUGUUGGGCCUUUGGGAUAUUUAUUUUCCCUUCCUAUUUACUCUACGUCUGUUAUUCUCAAAAAAAAAAAUCUACAUUUGUUGAUGAUUCUUAGGGAAAAAAAUUUGCAUACGUUGUUGUCAAUGUAUAGUUGAUAGUGGAGAAAACCAAAUACUAACCGUCUGUUUUGAGAAAGAUUCAAUCUCGGGCGGUUCCCUAGUCAUCGACAAUCUAACAUUGAUAGCUAUUUUUAUCUUUUAAUUUAUGUGCUUUUGGAGGUGGCAUCUUGACGUGAAGAUGUCAUUGUCUAGAAGAUUAGUAUUAUGGCUUUGUCCUUGUCCUCGUGUAGGCCAUGGUCGGCAUCAACCUCUCCGACCCCAAGAGUUGGACAAAUAGAUUCACCGAACUGAUUGUAUUCAUCAUGGGUGAAGAGUAUUUAUAUUCAUACAUGUACGACGGCACGAUUGAGUUACGUACAACAUAAUAGGAAAGCGUGGCCGAGAGGGGCACGCAUACGUGAGUGGAGAUAGCGAUCACCACGCCCAUGACGCGAGGCCGGAGUCUAUACUCGGUCUAGGUGGUUGAGAGGACCGGUCGGGUGCGUGCCUUGCUGAACCGGAGGUGCUUCCAACACCAAGGUCAGCGAUUCGCAGCGCGCUCCGAGUGAUGUUCGAUUCUUGCAUUCCGUUCUGCUCCUGCAAUAAUGCUCUGCUCUGCUCUGCUCUACUCGCCUCCAUCAAGCAAUCGACCCAUGAUUGAUCAAUCGAUGAUCACCAACUUUAAAUUGCUAGCUCGAGUAUCAUUCAUUAUAUAGCUUUGAUAACGGCUCAAGUUCAAGUUUGUACGGUAGCAAGCAUACAUGCGCCUCGAGUCAGUCAAUCCUCUGUCCUUUAUACACCCCUUUUCUUAUAUACACAUGUUGUGGUCUCUGCAUUGUUGUGAACAACACCAAGUUAAGUAUCCAUCCACUGCUUCUUUGGGUUAUGUCCUUCUAUAAACAAUCUUCUUGUCACUUGGUUUUGUUUCGGAAGUUACUUGCAAACCGCAAAUUUGGCCCAACAUGAAUCUUUUCAGAAGUUUUUUUAUGUCAACCUCGUGAAGGCAAAGAGCAGAGGAUAUUCUUUCGUCCAAAGGAAACCAGCUGCUUAUAAUCCAUACAAAGCAAUCGGGUCAAAAAAAAAAUCCAUACAAAGCAAAACAUAAUACUCCAUAAUCAGGUCUAUGCAGGGGCAGAGUAGCUUUCUGUUAAGCCUAGAGCCAUUGCUUCAAAUCACAAAAUUUACAAAGCAAGACCUAAGCUAAAUCUUUAAAUUACCGAGCCCUAGGCUGUGGCCUGAGCUGCCCGGGCCCUGUCUCUGCCCCUCGGUCUAUGGCACCAUCGUAAUAGACACACCAGUAAAGAAGGAUCUUGUCAGUUUUGUUCAAUUGUGUCCUUUUCGUGCCAAACUUUAGUCAAACUUUUCUGAUGGGCAUCGAGACCAUUAUCAGACUCAAGGAGCUCCUCGUUGUAGACAGCGUCCCUUUUGUACACACUAUGAAGCCUGCCGAGAUGUCUUAGGCAUAGGUUUCAAGUUUAGCAUGAUCUUGUAUAGCACGAUCUUGUAUGUGCGGAUCUUCUGGGUUUAUCGCACAGUUUUGUGAAGGCCUGUGGUCAGUUCUUCAUGUCUCUUCAACUUAACCACCACACCAUCGACGUAAAGCUUCCUGGGUAUGUGCAACCCGUGUUCCUCAACUCGAAGGGCGCAUCGUCUUAUAACAAAACAUGCACGCCAACGGGUGUGAUGAAGCUUGUGUGAGUCACGUAUACUUUUCUCUCAAUUGGAUCUUAUGGUACCCAGAGUUGGCUUUUAUUCAAUUUGACAAGCAUUCCUCAAAUUGUUGGUUGAAGUAAUAAUGUUUGAUCGCACACCAUACAUUUUGUAAAUACAUGUUCCUCUUUUCAUCAUCAACACACAAAUCAAAGGCUUUUAGAGAAAAAAAAAACAUGAGCAAUGCAUGGCUAUAUGUAACAGUCAUACUUUUAAUGCAAACUUCAUGACUCAAAGACUAAAAAUAUCCAAAUUAACAUGCAUGUUGUUGUCUCAAAGAGGUUAAGCAAAAUAGCCUAAUUGACAAAUAUUUUAACUAAUGGAAAAGAUAACUAGCUAUCUAUGUCAACAUGGCAUUACAAUGGAAGCCUUAUUUUGAACCUAAUAAAAGUCCCUCUUAAGAUGUGCCAUCAUCAUCUUUCCCACAACAAGAAAAUUGUGUUGGUGCAUGAGUUGAUCCAUCAUUUCCCAUGUGACCUUGCCCUACAUCAGUACCAUCAUAGCCCGAGUAAGUUUCUGCCUCUAGGAAUCUCUUGUAGUAUGGCUGACAUAUGCCCAUUGGUCAUAGCUAAAUGGAUCUUCAACAGUUAACCAACAAUGGCGGGUCCUGGAUGUUAUGCUCAAAGGUUGAGAAAGGGCUGGAAUUGUUUUGAGGUGGCUCCAUUGUGUUGUAAGGACUUGCAGAGUUACGAAGAGGCAACUGCAACAAUGAAGGUGACUCAUGCUCUUGACCAGGAGUUAGUGAUGAUGAAGCCAAUUCAGUGUGCUGCAACAUUUUUUGUGCCUGCAUAGGAAAAGGUUGAGCCAAAGUUUCAUGCGGCACUGGUUGUGGUUGAAUCAAUGAUGGUUGAUGUGGAAGCAUGUGAGACCCCAAUGGAUGCAUCAAUGAAGGAGGAUUCCCAUUGCCCCCCCGUGAUUGAACUCUUGGUGGUACGAGGUUUAAUGACACGCCUGAACACAAGUCAUUUGUUCAUGACCAUCAUGAAGCGGAGGUAGACGAUGCACCAUAUCUUGCUGAACACACAAGAGUCCAUUGAAGAUCUUGUUGAGAUCUUCGAGAUUGAGAUCUUCUUUCUUGGAGAAGAGAUGGUUUGCCACCAUGCCUAGGUUCUCAUCUUGGAUCUCCUUAAUACGCUGGAUGGAGAUUUUUUUUCUCUUUUCCUCCAUGUGAUUUUCUCUGUCCAAAUGAUCCAUCUCGCUCUGCAGCCAUGCAAUCCUGGUAUUCGUCGCCUCAUCAGCAAACGACUUUACUGGUGGACCUCCUAACAGGAAGGCAUCAACAAUAGCGUUAGCUGAUGGGGUUCCGAAUGAGUGCAUUUUCCCAUCGGCUGCCGCCAGGAUGACAGCAGCCCUUGCACCUGUGAUAGCAGAGAGGUCAGCAAGACCCUUGAACAGACCAAAGCGUCGCCUGAAGAAGGUGACAUUGCGCUCUAUGUCAUUCUCAAUGUACACAACACCCGACCACCUUCUCCUCGGCAUAAUCAAAUGGAAAGUGGCGAGUGUCUACUACAAAUUGCUAGCUAGAGGAGUCUAUGAAAGUUACGGAUUUACCACUACCAUUGGCUAACUAAGAGAUCAAUAUGAGACAUGGAUGUGUUUUCACAAAGAAAUAUGAGGUUGAACUCUCCUUAUAUAGAGUGGUGGAAAGGGUUGUAAGUAGAAAGAUCGUUCUAAGGAGCCCAUGGCUUGCACAAGUAUGUUUCCUACGGUACUAACUAUUACCAAUAUUCACUGACAUGUGGGUCCGCUUCUUUGUAUCGGAAUGUCGGGUCCAUUUGUUAGGGAGUCUCGUAGGACAACGUGCUGGAAAUUUUGGUACAAAUUAUACUUUUUAGGGCAGAAAUGGAAGUCUGAGGCCAUCCUUAUCUAUAUGCACCCAAACCAAGUAGCUUUUAAUGUUUGAAUAGACUCAAAUCCUUCAACUCUUUAAUGUUCACUAAAAUACAUAGUCAACUAUAGUCACUCUUAAUUGUUUUCUUAGUAUAUGAUGUGUGAUUUGUUAAUCGAAUACAAUUAUGGGAUGAAUGCAUAACUGGCCAUGGGCAGCUGUUGCGCCCGGUCCGAAAAAACCGGGUCGGGCUGGGUUUGAGCCUCAAUUUGAAGCCCGCUACAGUUUUCGGCAGGUAUCGGCUUUAUUUUGCGGGCCUAAAUAAACCCGGCCCGGUCCGGUAUGGAUUUGAACUGCACAUAGACCACCAAUUUGCCAGGCCCAUCAGCCGAUCCGCCCAGCAUCAAUAGCAUAGCCCAACAGCAGAUGAGCAGAGGGCGAAUCGACAUCGGUACUUGACCUCCUAAAACCCUAAACCAGGCGGCGGCCUCCGUCUCUCCGCUCCGCCCCCAGACCAGAGCCUUUCCUCCUCAGCUCAGCCCACGGCCACCGCACUUGAACCCCUCCGCCUCGCUGGGAAUGGGGCACGCCAACGAAGACCUCCGACCAGACAACAACGACGGCCUCUCUUCCGACAACGAGCCCUGGAGUGAACAAGACGACGACGAGGUUCGCUACUCUCUGCUUCCUCCCUCCUACGAUUUCUAUCCUUACAUCAUGGAUUGCUCAACCUGCAGGGAUCGCUCUCGUUCGAUGACAGCGGCUCCGACGACUCGGACGAGGACGAAGCGGUGGCGGGAGAGAGCGACUCCUCCGAGGAUGAGGUGAUUUAACUGCUCCAACGAGCUCUGGCAGCUUUUGCCUUGUGUUUGGUUGGGGGCUUAACUUGAAAGCUGCAGGUCGGGCCACGCAACACUGUCGGGCAAGUUCCGCUAGAGUGGUACAAGGACGAAGAGCAUAUCGGCUAUGACAUCGAUGGGAGGAAGAUCAAGAAGCGGGACAGGGAGGGGCGGAUCGAGCAAUACCUCAGGAAUGCCGAUGAUGCUAAAAACUGGUACCAACUGACUUUGCGCUCGAUCCACAUUGGACUGGAUUAAAUCAUGGUCCAUAUGCGUAACUGAUAUCGCAUCACCAAUUGAAGAAUUUCUUAUCAACUUAAUCUUGUCAUGCUCCAAAACUAGCUACCUUACGCUCAGUCCUAGCUUCAUCAUUUGUGCAUUGAACCUAUAUCAUGCCAAAAAUCCUGCUGGACCAUCCGGUUGCUCAUCAUGAUAUAGUGCCCCAGAUUGCAUGCUUUUGCAACAUACAAAAAAAAGGCCUAUCAGCAGAUGCAUUUUGCUCCACCAUUGCUUUUCUCCUUGCGUUGUCUGAUGUUAUCUUAGAUUGCUCUGGUGUUUCCUACUAAUUAAAUGUUCCGUCCUUGCUUUCUGUUGUUGCCAAGUAUAGGAGAAAGAUCUAUGACGUGUAUAAUGACGAGGAGGUGCAGAUUACCAAGGAUGAAGCUAAGAUAAUCAGUAGAUUGUUGAAGGGGAAGACUCCACACGCCAAUGUUGAUCCAUAUCCAGUAUGUGUAUCUAUCAUGUAUUGAUUUGAGGUGCACAGUUUGUAAUUACUAUGUUAAAGAUUACCCUGCUGUCCAGCUUAGUGGUUACGUGUGCUGCAAUCACUAUACUUGUGUAUUUGCAUUCAUCACUAGCUCAGUAGCCUAACUCUUAUAAGAGUAUCCAUGUCGGGCCUCACCGAUGUGUGCCUGUAUACGAAUAUUAAUUUACAUUCAGUAGUUAAAUGCCAGAGGUGGUUAUGUUCAUGCAUACUGAUUGAAGUUAUUCUUUUAAAAUUGAUACAUUCCUUUCCUUUUCUCUGCACAUAAUUAUAGUGCAUCUUGCUAGACAUGGACAUCGACCGAGUAAACUUUUCUUUCAGGAUUAUGUUGAUUGGUUUGAAUAUGAUGGUAAAGGUCAUCCACUUUCUAAUGCUCCUGAGCCAAAGAGGCGAUUUGUGCCCUCAAAAUGGGAGCAGAAGAAGGUAUGCUCUCAAUUUUGUUCCUUUUCUGCUAUGUUAGGCCAUUGCAUUACUUAUAUUCUCUUCUUUUCUUCCAAUAUUAAAAUAAUUACAAGGGUAUAUUAUUACUAAAUUCAUUCGAGAUUGAAAGUAUCUUACUUAAUAAACAUAAUUGAUAUAGAAAUUUGUUAAAUUGUGCCUUUGUGAAGCCAUGGAUGUUGGCAGGGCACAGGUUCCUGCUUCAGUAAUUCAUAUAUGCAUGGACUUGAGGUGUUUCUGAUUUUCAUAUUUGUUCUUCAUUGAACCGUUUACUUUCUAGUCUUUCAGAUUUCACUGUACUAAUUUAUCAUAUGCAGUACGGAAGAUAAUUUCCACUAUUUUUCUGUUGCAUAGCUUUUUUUUGUAGCCAUUGAUAAGACUGCAUGCUGUCAGUACUGUUUAAAUAGACUCAAUAGCUAUUGGACUAAUUUCCUAGUUACUCUCUGAAACUGCUUUGGAUUCUGUCGCAUGCUCCUUUCUGUGUCGUAAGAAUCAAAGAGAUCGCGUGCACGGUUCUAGUCAAACAGACUCAAUAGCCAUGGCACUUAAUUUCUGUAUUUUCUUAUUUCUAUGUGAAACUGCUUUAGAAUUUUAUUCAACUAAUAAUUAGUUGGCAUAGCCAUUUAGUCUAUCUUAUAGCUCAUGUGUUUUUCUGGCAGGUUGUUAAACUUGUUAGGGCCAUCCGUAAUGGAUGGAUCAAGUUUGAUAAGCCAAAGGAGGAGCCUAAUUAUUAUCUCUUGUGGGGAGAUGAAACUGAUACAGCAGACAAUAAGCGGGAAGGUUUGAGCUACAUCCCCGCACCUAAACCAAAUUUACCAGGUACCGUGCCAUCAUUUUGCAAAGUUUGUCACGCUUAUAUAAAGAACUUUUAGGGCAAUUGAUUUGACCUGAUGACUUUAUGUUCCAUGGAAAUAAUGUGAUACUGGCUUGCACUCAUGUUACAACAUAGUUGAAGUCUACAUUCAUUAUUUGUAACGCAAUUAAUUUCAUGUAUUCAGGUCACGAAGAGUCGUACAAUCCUUCUGUUGAAUAUAUUCCCACACAAGAGGAGAUAGAUUCAUACCAGCUUAUGUAUGAGGAGGACAGGCCAAAGUUCAUCCCACGACGGUACAUUUCAUUUACUUGUCGUUAUGGUUUUUCUUAUGUAUGGUCUGAUUUGUCUCAAGAUUUUUAAUUUUGUGGUUCCUCUGUUUUGUUUUGUUUUGUUUUUGCUGUGGAUCAUGCCAGAUUUGAAACACUGAGAAGUGUGCCUGCUUAUGAGAAGGCACUUAGGGAGGGAUUUGAUCGGUGCCUAGAUCUUUAUCUAUGCCCUAGAACUCGCAAAAAACGUGUAAGUGGAGUACUUGUGUUCUUUAAAUGAGGAUAUGCAGUUCUUAUUUCGGAGGUUUCAGUUUUACCAAUUUUUGUCAUUCUUCAUGAUGAUCUUUUGCAAUGCAUGAUGAUUAUUGAUUUAUUUGACAAUCCGCAGAUUAACGUUGACCCCGAGUCACUCAAGCCAAAGUUACCUAGUAAAAAAGAUUUGAGGCCAUAUCCAAGGACUUGUUACCUUGAGUUCAAGGGCCAUAAUGGCCCAGUGAAGUCCCUUUCAGUAGAAGCAACAGGGCAGUGGAUAGCAUCAGGUAUAUACUGUCGAUACUGAUUUUUCUGUGUUCAUCCUGAAUAUAUAUGCGGACUACGUUCUGAUGGUUCAAAUGUUAUACUAACUAUUGUUAGCAAAUGUACUAUGAGCUCUGAUGUUUUGUUUUCGGUCCAUAUCAUAUUAGGCCCUUUUUGCACUUUCAAGAUCAUUAACAUUGAUGUAUGCAUGAUACUUAAAAUAGUAAAAAUAAUAGUUAAAAACUCGACUGAAACAAAACACUGCCUUGAUCUCAAGAAUUGUUAAAAAAAAGGUGGUGUUAUAUUUUGAGAAGGAUGACUAACUCGACAAGCUAACGCCUUGAAAAUGCUCCUCUACUUCAGAAAUGUUCUCAUCAUCUUGCGCAUGACAAUGUCUUAAAUUACAGCUCUUCUUUUCUGAAGGUUCAUCUGAUGGAACAAUUCGUGUUUGGGAGGUUGAAACUGGUCGCUGUCUUAAGGUUUUGAACGUUGGUGCUGAUGUCCAUGAUAUUGCAUGGAAUCCUUCACCUGAGAGGCCCAUUCUGGCUGCUAUUGUGUAUGCAUUAGCUAUCCCAAGUAUAUAUUUUCUCUCCGUGAGCUUUACAUGUUCUUACCAUUCAUCUUGUUUAAUGCAGUGGCCAUGAUCUUCUGCUUCUUGAUGCUGAAGUGGGGGAUGAAGAAACUAAAAUGAGGACAAAAGAGCUCCUAUGUGUUGACGAACCGACUCCUGAAGAUGAUGCUGGUAAGCUGAGUUGUGACCCAACAAAUUCUUCUUAUGUCUCACUACCUAUACAGUGUGUUGUUAAAUAGUUUGUUAUAUUGCAGAUGGUAAGAAACCAGCUGUGAGGUGGGUGAAGCAUGAAAAAUUUGAUGGAAUCACGUUGAUUCAUCAUAAGGUAUAAUACUGAGUUACCACCUACGUUCUCUUUUCAAUUUCUUAGCCUUUUUAUUUGCAUGCUUACUUUAUUUUGUUCAGGCUGUGAAAACCGUGGAGUGGCAUUCGAAGGGAGACUAUUUCACCACAGUUGUGCCAACUGAUAUCCUUUAAAGCAUAUCUUGUUCGCUUUGUGUUUUUUCCAAGUCCUGCAUGAGCACAAUAACCAAGAGUUUUAUUAAUGAGUUUUCUCUAGUUCAAUCUCGCAGCCGGUGGUCUAAUCAUUUUCCGUAGUUCUUCCAGCCCCAUCAAUGAUGGCUAUUUUUCUUGUUUCAUGGAGGCUGGGUGCCUUUUCUUUCUUUAUUGGACUGGGCCUUUUCAAUUUGUAUUACGUACAUACGCAUGUACCAGCGUAGCGUCUGCACAAAUACUUCACGUUCAUAAAAAAUACUCUUCCGGUUGUCUACCUUAAUUCCUAUGUACGUGAGUCAAGGGCUGUACUGUUGCAUCAGCUCUCGAAGAAGCGUUCGCAUCAUCCUUUCCGUAAAUUGCCAGGCCUCCCUGUUGCAGCAACAUUCCAUCCAACCCAAAAGAUGUUCUUUGUUGCCACCAAGAAGUUUGUUCAGGUUUAUGAUCUCCAAAAGGCAGAGGUAGUCAAGAAGCUGGAGUCAGGUCUCCGUGAAAUUUCCUCUAUCUCCAUCCAUCCUGGUGGUAAGCAUCAAGUCAGCCGUACACUAAUUUACCAAUUGAUUCUUGAGGCAACCAAUGUAAGUGCAACACUGUUGGUUGGAUUGGAUUACUAAUGACUUCAUAACUCCUUCAUGUAGGUGACAAUGUUAUUGUGGGAAGCAAAGAUGGUAAACUGUGUUGGUUUGAUACCGAUCUAUCUACAAAGCCAUACAAGAUGUUAAAGUAUGGCUCCUCUUAUCUUGAAUCGAAGUCUCCUUUUCCCCCUUAUGUUUUCUGUGUAGUAUGUUAAACAGAUUUCUGUAUACAUGUCGAAGGUUAGUAUCAUAGGCUGAUAGGCAGUUGGUCACUGCUAUUUUCUUUUUAUGAUAAAUGAGUCUGCUCUUGUUCAUAGUAAGAAUGCAGACAAUUUUUGGUUCCCAUAUGACAGUAAUGAAAAGUGGAAAUUUAGAUGCUUCCAAGGCCAUAGUUUUGACUCUCUACUGUUUUCUUUACAACAAAUCUCCUUUUAUGGAUCGCUAAUGCUUUUGUUUGUGAUAAUUAUUUGUUGUUUUAGUGUUGCUUUGUUCGGUUUUUGUUCAACCAACUCAAUGUUUGUUAUAAUCCGUAUCGUGAAGUGUUUCUGUGUACCAAUCACUAAAUACUUCUUGAAUAGCAAUCUACAAUAUGGGCACAUGCUUUGCUGCCUGAUGUUGGCCAUUGCGUACUCCUUUACACUGCAUUCAAAUUCAUUCUGAACUUUUCCUUUUCUAAAGAACCAUUAAGCGGAGAAUUGAUCUCUAUUGAAGCAAAUCAAUUUGUAUGUUUUUCGUGGAUCUAGUGAUAUAUUGCCUCUUCUCAUUUUGAAAUCCUUUGGUAUGCGGUUCUUUUUUGGACAGUACCCUCUAGUUCUGCUGUCCUGGAUGAAUUUAUGCCAUGUGAUUCAUUUUCUUAAUUGCAGGACCCACAAGAAAGAUAUUACCAGUGUUACUUUCCACCGGAGAUACCCUCUUUUUGCCUCAUCGUCCGAGGAUUGUACAGCCUAUGUAUUUCAUGGAAUGGUCUAUUCUGAUCUUAACCAGAACCCACUUAUUGUACCAUUGGAAAUUCUCCGUGGGCAUUUGAGUCUUGACAGAAGAGGUAUAAUAAAUCCUUGCGUCCCUUGGCUUCUGUAAUUUGUCCUUUUUUUUACUGGUACCGGGAAAACAGCAGGAGAGGCUCCUACUGUGCUUGCUAUAUUAAAACAAUAGAGUUACAACAUAUGUUGUUCCUUUUGUAGAUUACAUACAUGCAUUUUUAACCUUCACCAAAGGCCAAAGCAGUUACAUGAUACUGACUGUAAACUCAGUUACAUUAGUAUAUUUUUAGUAGAGGGAUGGGACAGUAACAAGUUUUCUGCAUCGAACGUCACGUUCUGCAGUCCCUCGAUCCAUAUGAUGCCAUUUUGAAUAGAAGCAUAUGUGCGCCAUGUUUUGUGUUCUAUCUGUUUAUUCUGUGAAUUCUACAUUUGUUUAUAAGAACGAAGGUAGAUUCACCCAAUUGGAGCCUCGCAUUCUGCAAGGUGCAAUAUCAAUGUUUUGGCAGGAUAAAAAAAUUAUGCAUAGAAGGAGGUAAUGUCGUUAGGACAAAUUGGUUUUUUCUUGCCGAAAAUAAGUUACUCUCUCUGAUCCUAAAUUCUUGUUAUUGUUUUAGGUCAAAUACCCCUGAUCCUAAAUUCUUGUUGUUGUUUUAGUUCAAAGAAUUUAGGAUCGGAGGGAGUACUUAGUUUUUUUAGGGGUAUUUUGUUUGUGAUAAGUAAAAAAACUAAGUACAAAAUGAUACUCUUGGGAAUCAUCAUCUGACCCAUAGUUUUUUUAUUGUGCGUGCAGGAGUCUUGGAUUGCAAAUUCCACCCAAGACAGCCGUGGUUGUUCACCGCUGGUGCUGACUCGGUGAUCAGGCUUUACUGCGAGUAAACGAUGAUGAUCCUUUCAAGAAAAGGAAGGAUAGUAGUUGUUGAAUUGAGCAGGCGAUUUAAUUUUACUUAUGAUGAUGAAUGCCAGGAAGGAUGUUAUGUCUGGCGCCCGUCCUCAGAGGUCUAAUGUAUUCGCAAUUGCAGUUUUGUUCGAAGUGAUUGUUGUAAUUUUUUUUUUGUAGCUAUUUACAUUUAGUUGUAAGAAACAACAAGCAGCCGAGUGGGGACAAGUGUAUCUGCUGUGCAAAACACUAGUAAGAAUAGAAAAGGAGGUCAGUUUGAGCUGCAAGUAACUUUCGUAGUUUUGUGUUUGUGCGAAAGUUGUGAGUUUGAUGGCGGCGUGCAAGCAGCUCUUGCACAUUCAUUGCCCAUGGAGCUGCGGCGGGAAGCUGCUCUGGGUCGUCAUGAUGUCAAUUAGAAAGUUGUUUAACAAACAACGGUAGUCACUAAUAGAAAAACAAGUUAGUUUUAGCUAUUCCAGAAGCGAACUUUUUCACAUUGUACCAGUCGCACACCUUUCAUUUCCUUAGGCAAACCUUUCUUUCUUUCACAUCUUGACAAAAUACGAGCAGCAUUGUUCGAAUUUUUUUCUGUAUAUAUUUACAACCUGGGCCAAAAAGUAAAUUUUUACUGGACCAAAUUGCCCUCGUCUCCUCGUUCGGUCGCGACUCGCCAGUUCGGACAGGCGACGAGAGGGAAAGGAAGAGGCCGCCGCUAGCGCUCUCCCAGACGUCCCGUCAGCAAAAUGUUCGUUGGCUUAGUUGGCAAUGCAUCCUUUCAAUAAGAUGACACCAUCAUUGACAGCACGCAAAAUAGCACAACUAAUGAAGUUACUACGAUAAUACGGCAACGAUUUACCAUACCAAGUUCGAAACUCUUAGAACACCGUAUCACAUACCUAGCCCCAUCGACGGCAGGCUAGGCACUGUAACCACAAAAAAUAAUCCGACCAUAAAAGACAGUAACCAAGACAAGCAACUCUAAAACAGAAACUUAACGAUAAUAGACUUAGUCGACCUCCUCCAUCUUGCUCUCGCCGGCAUCAUCCUCCAGCGCGGGCAUAUCUGUGUCAUCAGCCUCGGCAGUCUCGUCCUCAUCGAUGCUAAGGCCAAGCUUGAGCAUGCGGUGGAUCCUGGUGCCGAAGGUGUUGGGGUCGUCCAGGCUGAACCCAGAUGUGAGCAGGGAGGUCUCAAACAAGAGCAUCACCAGGUCCUUGACUGACUUGUCGUUCUUGUCAGCAUCAGCCCGCUUGCGCAGCUCCUCCAUGAUGGCAUUCUCCGGGUUGAUCUCCAUGGUCUUCUUGCUGGACAUGUAACCAGCCAUGCUAGAGUCCCUCAGGGCCUGGGCCUUCAUGAUCCUCUCCAUGUUGGCAGUCCAUCCAUACUCACCAGUGACAAGGCAGCACGGCGAGUCAACAACACGGUCAGAGACAAUGACCUUCUCCACCCUGUCGCCGAGCACCUCCUUGAUAACCUUGCAGAGACCCUCAAACUUCUCCUUGAGCUCCUCCUUCUUUUUUUUCUCGUCCUCGGUGUCCUCGAGCUUCAGGCCUUCCUUGGUGGCAGAAACAAGUUUCUUGCCCUCAAACUCCUUGAGCUGGCCAAUGGCAUACUCAUCAAUGGCGUCAACCAUAUAGAUAACCUCAUAGCCCUUCUUCUUCAGCCUCUCCAGGAAGGGGGAGUUCUCCACAGCCUUCUUGCUCUCACCAGUGAUGUAGUAGAUGUCAUUCUGUCCCUCCUUCAUCCUGGUCACAUAGUCCUUGAGGCUGGUCAGCUCAUCACCACUCUUAGUGGAGUGGUACCUCAGCAGCUCAGCAAUCUUGGUCCUGUUGGCAGAGUCUUCAUGGAUACCAAGUUUAAGGUUCUUGGAGAAGGACUCAUAGAACUUGUUGUAGUCCUCCUUGUUCUCAGCAAUCUCAAAGAAGAGCUCGAUGGACUUCUUGACAAGGUUCUUGCGGAUGACCUUGAGGAUCUUGUUCUGCUGAAGGGUCUCACGUGAGAUGUUGAGGGGAAGGUCCUCAGAGUCAACAAUACCCUUGACAAAGGCCAGCCACUCUGGGAUCAGCUCCUCACAGUUGUCCAUGAUGAAGACACGGCGCACAUAGAGCUUGAUGUUGUUGGCCUUCUUCUUGGUGUCAAAGAGGUCAAAGGGGGCCCUCUUGGGGACAAAGAGGACCGCCUUGAACUCAAGCUGCCCCUCCACAGAGAAGUGCUUGACAGCAAGAUGCUCCUCCCAGUCGUUGGUCAGGCUCUUGUAAAAAGCAGCAUAUUCCUCCUUGGUAAUUUCCUCAGGCUUCCUCAUCCAGAUAGGCUUCUGCUUGUUAAUCAAGGACCACUCGUGUGAAACCUCCUUGAUCUUCUUUUUCUUCUUUUCCUUUUCUUCUUCCUUCUCUUCAUCAAUUUCCUCAACCUUGCCCUCCUCAGUGUCCUUUUUCUCUUCCUCAUCUUCAUCAUCAGAAAUUUCCUUCUCUGUUGUCUUCUCAGUCCAGAGAGAGAUCGGGUAGCUGAUGAACUCAGAGUGUUUCUUCACCAGAUCCUUAAGGCGACGCUCCUCAAGGUAUUCCAACUGCAGAGUAGAACCGCAAAUUGUUAGGGAGAAGUAAUCCACAAUAAGUUAUCAGUAACAACUUGAGUAUAAAAGACAGAUUUGCUGCAGUCUGAACAUGAAUACUGACAGUAACAGCACAGUACUAACAGAUUAUUAUAACGGCAAUGUAAAAUCUUUGAUAAUACAAUUCCACAUCAAUAGUUGUUACACACAAUUCCAUAGCAACAACAACAUUGAUAACAUUGCUCAGAUAAUAUUGGCUCAGUUUCAUAGCAACAGCAAACAAUAAAUUAAAUGCUGACACCAAAAUUCUGAUUCAGUUUCAAAGUAACAAGAAAUGAUAAGAACUGACUAAAUUUCAUAGUAAUGCCAAACAAAAAAUUCAAAGCUGGACACUAGCAAGAGUGCUCAAUUUAGUUGCAACAACCAAUCCUAAAUUCUAAAUUAGACUAUAGCAAGUAUCAACAGGGAACUCUUCCUGGCUCUUCAGUUUCUACUGACAGGGAUUUCUUAUACCCAGAUUUCAAUAUCAUCAACAAUAAAUUAACCCUCCAAGUACAACAACGAACGGGGGCCAUGAUCAGCACAGGACAUGAAUAUCACAUUAAAAUCUAGAACCAGCCACAUGAAUUAUGAAGACAACAUGGCCCAGGUAACUAGUGCAACUAAAAAAUGCUUUUGUUACAUGGCACAGGUAGCUAGCGCAUGUAGAUACUAACUUUCUUCUAUAGCACAUGAGGCGAGUAAAAAGUAAAUUAUUAUUUUGUGAGCUAUGUUUUGGUGUACCUGAUCUUCCUUGAGGUAGAGAGUCAUCUUAGUACCCCUUCCGAGGGACUCUCCAGUAUCACGGGUGACAGUGAAGGACCCGCCAGCCUGAGACUCCCACACAUACUGCUCGUCAUCGUUGUGCUUGGUGGUCACGACGACCCUAUCAGCAACAAGGUAAGCAGAGUAGAAGCCAACACCAAACUGGCCAAUCAUGGACACAUCAGCACCAGCAGCCAAUGCCUCCAUGAACUCCUUUGUACCGGACCUUGCAAUUGUACCAAGGUUGUUCACCAGAUCUGACUUGGUCAUGCCAAUACCAGUAUCAAUAAGCGUGAGUGUGUUUGUGGCCUUGUCAGGGAUAAUGUGGAUGAACAGCUCUGGCUGAGCAUCGAGCUUGCUCUUGUCAGUGAGGCUCUCAAAUCUGAUCUUAUCCAAAGCCUGCAGAUCAGAGCAUCCAAUUUAGUGAAAAGUACAUAAACAACAGUAAUCAACAAUGUAAAGCACUAGGACAUUAGCGGAGACUGAUUCUUUUAAGAAAAAAUCCCAUAAACAAUGGUUCUGCAGAAUGUGCACACAUCCUGUUUUCCCAAUUUGUUUAAAUAAAGCUACUUGGAAUUUUGAUGCUGUGGGAGUGCUUAACCUGAUUUUAUGUUCCAAGUAAUUCUAGCAAAAUUCAUAGGUGAGACACAACGACUUCUCAGAAAUUACUAAAAUCUUACAUCAAACACAGAUUCACCAUAAUAAUCAAAGUGAAUUCUUGUAGUCUGAAUAUUUCAGGUUCCAAUGAUCAAAGCAUACUCCCUCCAUUAAAAAACACAAGGCCAUCUUGGAUUGUCACAGGAACCAAUGGUUGCUAGGAUGUUUUUUUCGGUUUAGCCAACAAAUCCUCAGGAAUUUCUCUUGUGACGAGUAAUUAAGUUUCGCAUGCAUACACACCAAUCAGCAAUCAAGAUACUUGUUACAAGGAGUUAUGUACCAGGAAUACAGGAUGACGGGCAACUAAUUUAACUAAAAAAACAAAACGGCUUUGCAUAUUUGACGAAUGAUCUUGCAACAUAAUCCCAGAUUAGCCCUCUAAAUACAGCUAGUUUCACAUCUGACCGACCGCGGAGCUAAAAAAAUUAUUGCUACGUUCACGCACAGAACAGUAUGCAUAUCUCAGAUUCAUCUAUACGGAUCGAAACGUGCUUUCGCAAAACAGCGCCAAAACCGUGUGAGGACCACAUGAAAACACCGAUCUAUUUUUGACGGGACAAGGGGUAGCAGCGGGCAUGGAUCUAUGGCGGGAGAGGAAAAACAAUAAAAGUAAAGGGGCGCAGGGGAGGGAGCUUACAUCGGAGGAGUUGGAGAUGAGCUCGCGGAGGAAGAUCUCCUUGUUGGAGUAGAAGGUGUUGAUGAUGAGCGAGAGCAGCUGGUUGAUCUCGGCCUGGAAGGCGAAAGUCUCGGUCUCCGAAGCCAUGGCGCCGGAACCAGUAGAGUGGGGGCGCACGCGCGAGGGGAGAUGCCGAGAUGAAGACGGCUAGGGUUAGGGUUUUUGAGCUGGGUCAGAGAGGGGAGGGCCGGAGGGCGUGGGGGCGCGCAUUUAUAGUGCGGAGAGGGGGUUCUCGAACGUUCUACCGGGCGGAACGGGGUGGAUCUGGCCCGACGGUCCAGUUGCCCGCCCGUUAAGGUAUGCACGGGACUUCAUCUAUGAACGCUCAUUGGUAGCCGCCGGAUAUCCAGGAAUUCGUGGCGCAAACAAGCAUCAGUAGCCCAAUAAACUGCGUCAACGUCCCAUCAAUUGUACUCUCUCUAUUCCUAAAUACUUGUCGUGGAAGUACCUUGUAACGCAAAUACUCGGAACAAGAAAAGGUAUUCUAACAGACAACACAAUAGAAGCAUUGGUAAAAAAAAACAUAAUAGAAGAAAAUAAAAUGUAGCAGCAGAAUAAUAUCGGCAACAAUAUAAAAUGUCUAGUAUUAUGCCCCGUAUAAGUAUGUCAUUGAUUUAUACUUCUACAAUAUUCAUGGAGCAACAUUGUUGUCCAUGUCCACCAUUCUUGUAUCCAGACUCCAACAUAAUCCAUUGCUAUUUUGAAUCAUGUGAUGGAAUAGGUUGAGUCAAGUUGACUAAUCGUUGGGUCCGAGUCUCUAUGCCUUGUUACGGCCCAUAUGAUAAUGAUGAGUUAGGCUAGCUAGUUUAGAGCAUGUCCAAGGGUCUAAGCAGAUAGACCCAUGUUAAUGCUUCCAUCUUGCACGCUACGGAGUACAUUACAAAAACAAUCAAAUUCUUCUUCUUGCAAGCUAAAUUGGACGUGUCCUCGAUGAUGGCGGCAUGAACAUGCACAAUCCAAAUAAAACAACCAAGUAGAAUGUGGUUCGGGUGACACAUGGUGUACCGACAAGGAAUGCUAGCCCUCAUGCAGUGGUUUGACAAGCUUGCAAGUACAAAUGACAAUUUGAGUGAAUUGAUUAGGCCGAGCAGCCCACAUCACCAUUCCUCGUAAAGACAUGACCGACAUUGAAGCAUCCUUGAGCAACAAUAUCAACGUCGUCACGAAUUGGUCAUCCUGAUCACAAAGGAACGAUGAGGUCGGAGCUCCGAAUAUUGCCGAGAAUUGCGAGCCACCGUCGGAAGACACAAGCCAAUUUCCGUGCACAUUCAUCCAACCAAACACCUAUCCUAACGAACUCCUAACCGUCAAACCAAACAAAAAGCUUUCAAAUCCCGUUCACAUAACCAAACGCUCAAAAGUUUUUUUUUUGACAGCCCAAACGCUCAAAAGAUCAUCACACUUCCGACCCGUAAAAUUAUGGACGACCUAACCGAUCCCUCUCUGCUCUUCAACUAAACGCACCAGUUACACAACCUGAAGGAGAAGGCGCCUUUUCGUGGGGACGGUGGCGUAAGCCAGGUCUUCUUCUUCUCAGCCCGUCAGCAGUGACGCGAGCGACCGGAUUUAACCGCCGACAGCAUCCUCGUCGUCGUCGUGUUCCCGAACGUUCCACUCGCCUCCAUAUAACCCACCCACGAGAGCGGCGAGGCGGCCCGUAAAUUUCCCCACUUCCAUAAGCAACCUCCCUCCCUCCGCCGGCCGAUCAAUCUGCGGUGCCCUCCUUGGCUCGGCGACAGGCGUCUAUCUAGGUACGUGCGGUCGCUCAGUCGCCUCUACCCGCAAGCUUGAUCUGUUCAAUUGUUAUUUCAUUUGGUUAGAUCGUUGUCUGUUUGCGGCGAUUUUAGCCCGGAUGCUCGCGGUUCGGCGGGGAAUUAAUUUGGGGGGCGAAUUGGGGCAGUGUCUUAGGCGAUAAGUAUCUCAGGUUCUCAACUAGGAACGCAUCCUGAUUGAUGAGUGCAUGCGUUUCAAUGGUGUUACAGCCAUACCCAUAAGUAUUCAGCUGUAACCUGUGAGUCCAGUUGCUGUAGAAUAUAUAUUGGAUUAAAACAAACACAUGGAGGUAUUGAGGAAGCAAUACUUUUUUUUUUGCGCUGAUUGAGGAAGCAAUACUAAAAUACUAAUGAUGAAACUGUGAAAGUUCCGCCCCCUUUUGAUUAGGUUGUAUGAUUGAUGAAGCCUCCACUGGUUUGCUUCUGAUUCAAUCCCAGAAAUUGGAAGUUGUAUUACUUUGAUACUCUGGUAGCACCGUUGAUUAAGAGUUGAACUUUUCAGUUUGAGUUCAGGGUUGACCUGCUGGUAUUUAUUAUAUGUAUUAAGCUUACUCCCAUUGCUAGUUUUGUAGCUUUCCUUCUAGUUCUCACUGGUAAUUUGGUUGAUGACACUAUGAUAUUCUGGUAGGACAUAAUAGUAGAAAUGCAGGAUCACCAUAUUCUGUAGACAAAUACGUAAACCUGACAGCGUAAGGUUGUUUGAUGUCAGGAACAAAAUGGAUGGGAACAGAGUAGCUCGAAUGUCAGUCACUUGGAGAAGCAGGCAACUUGAUGUUGACGCGGAUCCAAACUGUACCGUGAAAGAAUUCGGCCAGCUGCUCCAAGAUUUGACUAACGUAAAACCAGAGACGUUGAAGCUCAUAGUUCCACAAUCUACAACUAAAGGCUCCAAGCUGAUCAUGCCAUUUUCGGAUUCCCAUUCAGGCUUAACGCUGAAAGAAGCUGCUGUUAGUGAGGUAAGAUGCACAAGCAUUGCACAUACUAAUCAAGAAUUCAAAAUGUUGUUAGGUUAGUUCAUAAUGCAAUGGUGAAUAACAUCAUUGGCAUGCACCUCUUCCGUUUUCUUGCAACAGGGUAAGCCUAUUAGAAUGAUGGGUGUCUUUGACGAUGAAAUUGAGGAAGUUUCAGACAAUGGCAAAAGACCUGAUAUGCGGAUAAUUGGUUUUGAUGAGGAAGAACAACGGCUGAGGCAACGAUCAUCAGGCAGGCCCAAGUUUUCACUCAAACUUCCACAGGGGCAAUACAUCUUCUGUGAUUUUCGGACACUUCACUUACCUGGGAUCGAGGUCAGUCAAACCCUGCUCUCAUAAGUUUUUUUUAGUUUAUAAGAAACAGACCCUUUGAUAUCAGUCAUUUCUUUCUGACCUUGUAUAUGUCAAGGCAUCAUAAAUCUUGCGUCUGCACAUGUUCCGUUGUACCUUUAUGCUACUGGUUUUCCUGCUUGAAUCAAGUGUACACACUUUCCAUUGGGGCAUUUGGGCAGUGUGUGUCAUAGAUACCAGAUGAUACCCCACGUGUUUCUGCUGGAGUUUGCUUAGACUAGAGUGUGCUUUGUAGCAUGGGUGGAUGCAAUGUAGCAUCAGGGAUAACUACGUCCAAGCAAGCUAAUAAGUCAUGGUAAAGUCCAUUUUUCUGAUUCGACCGGUAUAUAUUUAAGAUUAGAGAUGAAUGAUAUCUUGUAGCUCUGAGAUCUGUAAAGACAAGAACAAAAGAUUUGGAACUCAACAUAUCUUAGUAGCCUAGAUGACUACUUAGAAUUGAACGACAUGGUGAAUAUAGCUAAAAUUGCUUGCCAAGGAUUUCUUUUGAGCAAAUAUCAUUACUUCACUUUCGUGAAAAUCAAAGGACAAUGAUAAGAAAUCAGUGAUAGCUUAGUGUAAUUGACCUCAGUGAUAGCUUGUGUAUCAUGGAUCAUCUGACAUGAAAUCACUUGCACAGCAAAAGAAAAACAGCAGAAAAAGGAAAUAUUGGUCAUUUGGCAGAAUAGUUCAUCAAUAUAUUCAAAAUGAAAUUGUGUCAGCUGGCAACAACUUGGAAAUUUUGCAUUAAGUAUGUGUGACAUUGUCAUACCACACCGCUCCAUGUCUCUCUGUUUCAGUAUAUACAAAAUCAAAGGAAGAUUAGAAAAUGGAGAACUUUUUAUAUGUCUAGCGAAUCCAAUUAGGGAAAAUUUUAAAGAUGGAUAUUGAUAAACGUAAGAACCUGUGAAAAGCACCUAUUGCAAGACAACAUAGUCCAAUAUUUGAGAAAGUAUGAAAAUAUGUGAAGCUGCAAAAGUCUUAAAAUUGCACCUAGAGAUGUAAUUAAGCAUAAUGUUAAUUUGGAAGCAAAAUAAAAUGAUUGAAGUGCUACGGCAUAAUUGCGUAGUUCUCACACCGAUCAGCUAAUUUUCACCUCUGUCUCAACUUUUGCAACUACUAACAGAUCCUUGCAGUUUGGAUUACUGAGCGAAUACUUUGUGUGCCAGUUCACCUAUGUCCGUAUUUCCAACUUGUAGUGAAUGAUCCACCUGCUAGAAAGAUGUGCGGAUGGGAUUAAUAGGCAAUGCAUCAAUAUGAAAAGAUAGGUACCAGAGCUGGUAGAAUAAACAUGUGAACACUAUCUCCGCCCUUCAAUUGGUGGUAAAAUAGUCAAUAUGUGAGGCAAUAGAACGUUGGAUAUGCCACUCCACUUGCCGAAACAAACCAAAAACUUAUUCAGGCUGGUCAACCGGCAGCAGUUUUUUGUACCCUAAUAGUUUCGAGCAAAGUACCUACAAAUUGAGCGAUAACCGUUUGAUUCAUGCCGAACACUUUGUGGACCUGUGAGGACAGGGCUAGCAGAUGCAUGAGGGGAGGAAACAAUGGGAUAAAAUGGUAGCUCAGGGUGAUUAUUUGGCUGCAAUAAACCUGAUCUGCAUCUGCCUGACAUGGCGGAUUUUGAGACAGACGAUAACAGGGCAAUGGGGCUGGGGGACUCCACUGAUUUGCCUUCACACCGGCUGCUACCCGGCUACCCGCGCUGCAUCUCAUCCAGCCAUGAGCCCUUGUUGUGUGACCAGGAGGAAUGCAAGAGCAGCCCCUGAGUAGAACGAAGAUGAGAGUGAAUUGGUUGGUGCUGGAGACUCCUCAUUGAAGUUCUCUUGUGCUUGCCUCGUUGGAUAUGAUGCUCUCAGCACUUUCCAGAAUUUUACUGAUAAAACAGAGGAGGAAGAGAAAGGAACAAAUAGAGAAAUUUUUUAUAGAGUAACAGAUAGAAAGUUAAGGGUGAGGCAAGUGCUGCUUGGAAGAAGGCGAACAUUAGUUGCUUGAAUGGGCCUAAGCUGCUCGGCCAUUUUUCUUUUUUCAAGCUGCAAAGUGCGAAGGACCAGCCAUGCAUGAUUAGUGACAUCAGAUGUAAUUAUUGCUGCUGAUGUGGCUCGUCAAGGGAGCAGGAAAAUUACUUAGUGGGAGGCAACUAUUUAGUAAUAGAGGAUUGGCUUCCAUAAUAUGAAAGAAAUAGAUUUUUUAUUUUGCACAAAUAGCUGUUCGCAAGUGUAAGGAAGACCCAAAAGUUAAACAAUAUCGUGUGCUAAUUUCUCCAGUCGAAAAUAACAACCGUGAAACCUUUUGCAUUUCAUGACAAUAAUCUGCUAUGGCGAUGAAAAUCAUAAAAUAUGAUUGGUUCCUAGAUCAUAUCAGGUGUUACCUGUGAUACACUAGCUUCUUUCCUACCCCUUCCUGUUAGAUAAAUGGAUGCUUGUACUAGCAAAUUUCUUUCUGGUUUGUGGUAUCCAUGGAUAAGACAAUCAUGGCAGCUUAAAUUGUGUUGUGCUUAUUUACCUUUUCUUGGGUACCAGCUGAAUCCACCACCUUCAGAAGCUCUGAAAAGAAUGCACAUGCUUGCAUGUGAUCCUGGCAUAAUUGCGAUCAUGAACAAGGUAGUCUUUCAUUGCGUUUUCAUAUUUACAGAGUUUUUUUUUCUCAAACACAUACUUACACAGUUAUUUUUUUCAGCAUAGAUGGCGAGUGGGAAUCAUGACUGAAAUGGCACCAGUAGGCUAUGUAGGUGUUAGUCCAAAGUGCAUUUUAGGUUUCAAUAAGGUGAAAAGCUGUUUUCCCUGCAGUGCGUGUAUAGAUAUUUACGAUACAGCAAUUUCUGAUUUCUGAGAAUAUACCUUUGUGUUGCAUUAUUCAUAUAGAACAUGGGAGAGGAGAUAUCCCUUCGUCUAAGAACUGAUGACUUGAAAGGAUUUAGAAAAUAUGAAAGUAUCAAGAAGACUCUACUUCAUGAACUUGUAAGGUUUUUUGGUUCUUAUGCAGUAAAUCGGUUUUGCUAUAAUUAUGGGGUUUAAUAUUUUUGUACUUGUAUUUUCUUAUUUCAGGCACAUAUGGUGCACUCUGAGCAUGAUGCCAACUUUUUUGCUCUUAAUAAGCAGGUUAUUUUUCUAGAUACCCCUGAUGUCUUUGGUUGUCAUCUCUUUACUUAGAUUUUAAUCCGAUCCUGAAGCUGUAAUUAUUAUUUAUUCAGUUGAAUGAGGAAGCUGCUUCCUUGGAUUGGACCAAGUCAAGUGGUCAUGUGCUGAGUGGUCGCAAAAUCUUCGACUCCUAUGAAGAUGAGUUUGUUCUGGAACCGGAUGCUGAUGUUGUUGGUCAUAAGCUUGGGGGAGGAUCAAGUUCGUCAGCAAGUGCUGGUGUGUUGUCGGGGGCUGCUGCUUAUCAGCGUCUCUUGAAUGCAGCUUCAACUGAUUUAGGGAGUUCCCAUAAUAGAGUUGUUACAGCCACAAAGAGAGGUAAUAUGCAAGGCACACAAGUUGAACCUGACCCAGAUGAUGAUGACCAAGAUUUAGUUCAGGAAAUUGUGAAGGUCGAGCCUGACCCAGAUGACAAUGAUGCCAUGCAUGUAGAUAUAGCAAUUGUGACAUCAGGGCCAUCAGGUAAUAUGCAAGGCACACAAGUUGAACCUGACCCAGAUGACAAUGGCAAAGAUUUAGUUAACGGAAUUGUGAAGGUGGAGCCUGACCCAGAUGACAAUGAUGCCAUGCAUGUGGAUGUAGCAAUUGUGACAUCAGGGACAUCAGGUUAUUCCGAGCCUGAUCCUGAUGAUGCUGGCGAGAAAAACUCUUUAAGUAGCCUAGAACCUGAUCCUGAUGAUUCCCCUGUUGUUGGCAUUCUUAACAAGGAGAUGAAGAUUGAUGUGAAGCAUUGCAAAGAACCUGAUCCUGAUGAUGGUGCUGGUGAAUUUGUCCUGGAUUCGGGAAACAAGAUGGAAGUGGAGAGGGAGCCGAGAGGUAACACGUCAGUUUUGAAGUCUGAACCUGAUCCUGAUGAUUCCUCAAAUGCUAUUCUGAACAAGAAGGUGAGCAUUGGCGACAAGCACAUGAGAGAACCUGAUCCUGAUGCUAGUACCUGUGGAGCUGUUAUGAAAUCUGGAAAUAACAUCGAAGUGGAGAUUAGACCGAGUAACUCCUUAAUUUUGAAGUCUGAACCAGAUCCUGAUGAUCAUGCUGUCGAUUUAAGCAGCAAUGAGCUGCAAAGGAUCGAAGAGCCAGUUACCGCUCUCUUUUCUCGUCUCCAAAAGGCUAUUGAAAUGCUUCGGUUGCAAGCAACACCUCCAGAGGCAGCUACAGUACUUCAGACACUCUUUAAGAUUAUCAAGAAUGUGAUAGAAAACCCAAAUGACAUUCGAUAUCGGAGAUUGCGUAAGGUAUGAUUGGUUUUUUUUAUGCCAUUCUAUGCCCUUGAUCUACUAAAACAGAUUCUUACUAAUGCUCAUCUUUUUUGAACUUGUAGUCCAAUCCGCAUUUCCAAAGGAGUGUGGCGAAUUAUAAAGGUACAUCUCUUACCUCUGCAAACUAACUACCCCUUUAGUAAUGAUAAUCUGCUGUACACUGACUGUCACUUUCCUUACCCCUCAACCUCAGCUGCGAUGGAGGUCCUUGAGUUGAUUGGCUUCUGCGAGGAUGUCGUCUCGGAUGAGAUUGGUCGUGCAGAGGCUUACUUGGUACUGAAAAGGAACGAUCCUGGAUUGCUGUGGCUUGUAAAAUCCUCUCUCGAAGUAUCCAUGGCUUGAUAACUUCCAUCUAUAGUUCCAUCUGUAUACCCUGUUGAUUGUAUACCUGUAUAUCAUGGUUUUUCAUUCCCUAUAGUAACUGGUUUCAGUGUGAGUUUCCUGAAUGGAAAUUUGCUCAAAUUGUAUAAUGAGAAUGAGAGCAUCAAACAGUGUGUGUUGUUUGUCAGCUUCCCUUUUGUUCGUCAAAUUUGUGAUGGCAGAUAGAAUGUGAAGGCAAUCCCCAAAGAGGCAAUUCGUAGGGUAUUUUGUCAUCCUACGUUUUGCAGAACGGGCAUUGGAUGUUCACGGCCUCGGUGGUCCCGAUGACUCCAAUUUCGGCAAUUAAUAUGAGACGGUGGGAGUAUUAUUUUUGCAGCAAUCUUCGUAUAUUGAUUUGCGUUCAGAAUUCUGAACUUUUUUUUGAGAGAGAGAGGUGUUCAGAAUUUGAAAUUCGUUUGGUUUCCAGUGUCAACCAGGGACGACCGCAUCGGACGUUGUUUUCCCUACCAAUCCAAACCCUCUCUCGGCCGUUCGAUGCCUAUCGAACGGUCAAACGUAUCAGAAGCUUCAAAAUUCCGAACAAAAUACUCCCCUCCGCGGCGAAACCGGUGAUAGAAAUGGAAUGGCUCCGCCUCACCUGCUGCCGCUCCUCCUCGGCCGUCUCCUCGUCUCCGGCGACCUCCGCAGCAGCCCCGCGCACCUCCGCCGCCUCGUGCCCCUCCUCCCCUCCCACCCCCACCUCGCCGCCGCACUCUCCAGCCUCUACUUCCCGCUCUUCCCCUCAUCAUGCACUUUCCUCCACAACCUUCUCAUCCGCGCCUCCGCGACCUCCCCUUCCCCUCGCCUCGCCUUCGCGGCAUUCUCCUCCAUCCUCCGCUCCGGCGACACCCCGGAUCGGUUCACCUUCCCUUCCCUCCUCAAGUCGGCCUCCAGGCUCGCCUCAUUCCCGCGCACGGGCGCGCAGGUGCACGCGCAGGCCGUCCGGCGCGGGCUCUUGGUCGACGUCUUUGUGGUCAACACGCUCCUUGCCAUGUACGCCGCGUUCCGGGACACUCGGUCGAUGCGGGAGGUGUUCGAUUCGUGCGCGGGGGUCGCCGACCUGGUUACCUGGAACACGAUGCUCGGUGGCUACGUGAAGUGUGGGGAGAUAGGGGAGGCCAGGAGGGUGUUCGAGCAAAUGCCCCAGAGGAAUGGGGUGUCCUGGAGCGCGAUGGUGGGGGCAUACGCGGGUGCAGGGGAGCUGGAUGUGGCGAGGGAGAUGUUUGAUGAGAUGCCGGCCAUUGGGAGGAACGUUGUGAGUUGGAACUCGAUGAUAACGGGAUUUGCGCGGCAUGGGCUGCUGCCGCUGGCCAGGAAGAUGUUCGAUGAGAUGCCGGUCAGGAAUCUGGUAUCAUGGAACACGAUGGUCCGGGGGUAUGCAGUGAACGGUGAAAUGAAUGAUGCGAGGGAGCUGUUUGAUAGGAUGCCGGAGAAGGAUGUCGUUUCUUGGACAUGCAUGAUAUCCGGGUACGCGCAGGCUAGAUGCUACACGGAAACCCUUGAGCUGUUCAGGGCAAUGCAGAGCGAGAGCAAUGUCCUUCCUAAUGAGGUGACCAUGGUGAGUGUGCUGUCUGCGUGCGCACAUUUAACAGCUCUGGAAGAAGGGAGGUGGGCUCACGCCUUCAUUGACAAGCACAAGAUGGUGCUCGACAGUGAGUUCAAUCUUGGCGCUGCUCUCAUAGACAUGUACUCAAAAUGUGGGAGAACCGACUUGGCCGUCAAAAUUUUCCACUCCUUGGACCAGAAGAAUGUCUCUGCCUGGAAUGCACUCAUCACUGGGUUGGCAGUAAAUGGUGAUGUUCGGAGUUCCAUUGAUGUGUUUGAACAGAUGAGAAGGUCAGGAGAAAAACCGAAUGGCAUAACAUUCGUUGGUGUGCUGACCGCUUGUGCCCACGGUGGGCUGGUGGAUGAGGGCCGGCGGUGCUUUCAGAGCAUGGCAUCUACUUGUGGAGUGCAGCCAGAAGCGAAGCACUAUGGCUGCAUGGUUGACAUGUUAGGCCGGGCAGGGCUUCUUGAAGAGGCAGAGGAGCUGAUCCGGAGCAUGCCGAUGGUCCCGGAUGUAAUGAUUUUGGGCGCACUACUAGGCGCCUGUCGGAUGCACAAAAGAGUUGAUGUGGCCGCACGAGUUCAGAAUGAAAUACUUGGCCUCAGUACACAGCAAUCUGGUUGCCAUGUUUUGAUAUCUGACAUUUACGCUGCUGCUGGCAAAUGGGCUGAUGCUCUAUAUGCGAGGGGUGUUCUGCAGAAGUUUGGCAUCAGUAAGUUGCGCGGAUCAUCCAGAUCGAUGCAAUAGGUUUUGAGUUUCUUUACAGAAGCGUAGGCAAUGUCAUACUAGAUUACAUUCUUUAGCAAAAAUGUUGUGCUUUGUGGUUUAUGAAUACAAGUUAUUGAGAAUGGGAGUAGAUCAGUUAAAAAUUAUGUUGAAAAGAGUGCUCAACUACUCGUUGUCCUUCUGGACUGAAUUGGAAAUCAAAACGUGUAUUUCUCCUCAUGAGAUAAUCAAUUCUCUGAUCUACACUUGCUUAGAGUUGUCGAAAUUCACUGAUAGAGCUUUUGUUGACUUGCUUAUGUUGUCCUGGGCAAUUAGUGCACGAUUUCAUAAAACUGUCAACUUGGCUGUGUUUUUCUUCACAAUUUGUCCACGAAUUUCAUAAAACUUACAAUGGCAAAUUUUGAUUCUUCGGAACGCAUAUAAUAAUGUAUUAGUUUUUCAAAUUUCUGGGUGCAGACAAAUGAUCUGCUUAGGCUGUGGCUCAAAGGAAACAGUACUGCUGAAAAGACCUGUCAUGUAUUAAGAUGGUAUUACAGACUUGCAGCAAGUUGGAGAGAUCUUAAGCUAUCUGUAGAGAGAGUUUAUCGCCCAUCACAACUCCAGCAAUACUGGAGCAAAUGGAGCGGGAUGGUUCGGACUUCGGAAUCGGGGGAAGGCAUCAGACCGGAAUUGAGGAGCAAUUCCAGGACUUAAUUCUCAUAUCAUCCAAACAACCGAAUUUAAGGAAGGGAAUGCCAAUUCCGAAUUCUGCGCUGGAAUAUCUACUCCUGAUCUUGGCAAUACACUUCAUGGCGACAGGCCUGCACAAGCACAACAGAACUAAAGAAACAGGUACGCAUCUGGAACAUUUUUAAGCCGAAGGCGCUAAAAGGGAUUUAGGGCCAACAUGACAUCUGAAACGUUUUAAGUCGAAGGCACUAAAAAGGAUUUAGGGCCAACAUGACAAGCUGACUCUCAGGAUUGAGAGGCUGAAGAGCACAACAGAACUAGAGAAACAGGUACGCAUCUGGAAUGCUUUAAGUCUAAGACGCUAAAAAGGAUUUAAGGCCAACAUGACAAGCUGACUCUCAGGAUUGAAGCUGAAGAAAACUUUCACAGUUUUGAGGAAUUCGCACAUUUGGUUAGAAAAUCACUGAUUAUUUUCUAAAUGGGCCUCUGUACUAUUAGUAAGGGGCUUUGGAACAUUAGCUACAGAUACAUGAGGAAAAAUGCAAGGUAAAUAUAUAUUCAAAAGAAAUUGUAGCAAGAACCCGUACCUUCGUCCACGUAAAAGUAGCGUUUCUCACCAUUUUUGAGAGGUUUCAGAAAUUCCAAAGCUGUAUCUUGUGUAAACGUUGUACACAAGUCAAAUAGAAGUAACAGCAGGUAAAAUUGCACGAUUAACCGAAAGAUACUACAAUAAUAAUAUAAUAAUAUGGCAACGACAGGCAGUUCUAGUCACAUAGUAGGACACAGUAACCCAAUACAGGCUCGCUCUAAACAUAAACUUUGAUUAAAAAAAAACUAGUCGACCUCUUCCAUCUUGCUCUCCCCGGCAUCGUCCUCCAGUGCUGGCAUGUCAGUGUCGUCGGCCUCGGCGGUCUCGUCUUCGUCAAUGCUCAGGCCAAGCUUGAGCAUGCGGUGGAUCCUGGUGCCGAAGGUGUUGGGGUCGUCCAGGCUGAAGCCAGAGGUGAGCAGGGAGGUCUCGAAUAGCAGCAUCACCAAGUCCUUGACAGACUUGUCAUUCUUGUCAGCAUCCGCCCGCUUGCGCAGCUCCUCCAUGAUGGCGUUCUCCGGGUUGAUCUCCAUUGUCUUCUUGCUUGACAUGUAGCCUCCCAUGCUCGAGUCCCUCAGAGCCUGGGCCUUCAUGAUCCGCUCCAUGUUGGCAGUCCAGCCAUACUCACCAGUGACAAGACAGCACGGCGAGUCAACGACGCGGUCAGAGACAAUGACCUUCUCCACCCUGUCACCGAGCACAUCCUUGAUCACCUUGCAGAGGCCCUCAAAUUUCUCCUUGAGCUCCUCUUUCUUCUUCUUUUCAUCCUCACUGUCCUCAAGCUUCAGGCCUUCCUUAGUGGCAGACACAAGCUUCUUGCCCUCAAACUCCUUGAGCUGGCCAAUGGCAUACUCAUCAAUUGCAUCAACCAUAUAUAUUACCUCGUAGCCCUUCUUCUUCAGCCUCUCCAGGAAGGGAGAGUUCUCCACAGCCUUCUUGCUCUCGCCAGUGAUGUAGUAGAUGUCAUUCUGGCCCUCCUUCAUCCUGGUCACAUAGUCCUUGAGGCUGGUCAGCUCAUCACCGCUCUUCGUGGAGUGGUACCUCAGGAGCUCAGCAAUCUUGGUCCUGUUGGCAGAGUCCUCAUGGAUGCCAAGCUUCAGGUUCUUGGAGAAGGACUCAUAGAACUUGUUGUAGUCCUCCUUGUUCUCGGCGAUCUCAAAGAAAAGCUCAAUGGACUUCUUAACAAGGUUCUUCCGGAUGACCUUGAGGAUCUUGUUCUGCUGGAGUGUCUCUCUGGAGAUGUUGAGGGGAAGGUCCUCGGAGUCAACAAUUCCCUUGACAAAGCCCAGCCACUCUGGGAUCAGCUCCUCACAGUUGUCCAUGAUGAAGACACGGCGCACAUAGAGCUUGAUGUUGUUGGCCUUCUUCCUGGUGUCGAAGAGGUCAAAGGGGGCCCUCUUGGGGACAAAAAGGACAGCCUUGAACUCAAGCUGCCCCUCUACAGAGAAGUGCUUGACAGCCAGAUGCUCUUCCCAGUCAUUUGUCAAGCUUUUAUAGAAAGCAGCAUACUCCUCCUUGGUGAUCUCCUCAGGCUUCCUCAUCCAGAUAGGUUUCUGCUUGUUGAUCAAGGACCAUUCAUGAGAAACCUCCUUGAUCGUCUUCUUUUUCUUCUCUUUCUCUUCCUUCUCUUCAUCAAUUUCCUCAACCUUUCCCUCCUCUGUGUCCUUCUUUUCUUCCUCGUCUUCAUCAUCAGAGAUCUCCUUCUCGGUGGUCUUCUCAGUCCACAGAGAGAUAGGGUAGCUGAUGAACUCAGAGUGUUUCUUCACCAGAUCCUUAAGGCGGCGCUCCUCGAGGUACUCCAACUGCAGAGUAGGAUGGCAAAUUUCAGCAAUAAUUUGAGCAUAGCGGAAAGAAUUGCUGCAGUCUGAACAUAUUAAAAGUAACUACGCAAUGGUGCAAACAGUCAGAAUUGCAUUACUAACAUAUCAUUAUAGUGAACAUUUAUAGACCUUGACAUGUGUGGAUAAGUUAAGAACAGACCGUAUGACCAAAUUCAUUUGUUUGGAUUACUUUACUGAUUCAACUUCAAGCAAUAGCACACACAAUAUCAAAACAAUAGCAAACAAUAGUGCUGGCUCAAUACCAUAGCAGCAUCAAACAUAAAUCCAAUUCAUUCAAUUCAAUGUUGCAACAACUAUACUGAUCUAGUUUCAUAGCAACAACCCACAGUAAUACUGACACGAUUUGGAGGAGUGCAAAACAAUAAAUCCAAUGCUUAACACUAGCAAGUGUACCUCAAUUUCAUUGCAACAGACAACAAUAAAUUCAUUAAUAGACCAUAGCAAUUAUCAACAACUCUUAUUCACUUGCAUACCCAAAUUCCAACUUCAGUUAACACUCCCAGUUCAACAAUAAAUGAUCACCAAUAACAAAACCAGCACCUUUCAUUCAUUUUAAUAGCAACAGAGCAUGAACAGCACACAACAAGAAUGUGUCAUGAAAAGAUCAAACCAGCCACACAAACUAUCAAGACUAACAUACCAAACUAAGCUGCAAACAGAACGUAGCACAGGCAGCCAGUGCAUGUAAAUAAUAUUAUUCUUCUAAAAUAGCGCACCAGGCAAGUGCAUGUAUAUUAUCAUUUGGAGGGCUAUGUUUUGUUGUACCUGAUCUUCCUUGAGAUAGAGAGUCAUCUUCGUACCCCUUCCGAGGGACUCUCCAGUAUCACGGGUAACAGUGAAGGACCCACCAGCCUGAGACUCCCAAACAUACUGCUCAUCAUCGUUGUGCUUGGUGGUCACGACGACUCUAUCAGCAACAAGGUAAGCAGAGUAGAAGCCAACACCAAACUGACCAAUCAUGGACACAUCAGCACCAGCAGCCAAUGCCUCCAUGAACUCCUUGGUCCCGGACCUUGCAAUCGUACCAAGGUUGUUCACCAGAUCUGACUUGGUCAUACCAAUACCACUAUCAAUAAGCGUGAGCGUGUUUGUGGCCUUGUCAGGGACAAUGUGGAUGAACAGCUCUGGCUGAGCAUCAAGCUUGCUCUUGUCAGUCAGGCUCUCGAACCUGAUCUUAUCCAAUGCCUGCAGAACAGAGCAUCCAAUUUAGUGAAAAUUUCACAAACGGCAUCCAAUCAACAAUGUAAAACAACUAGGAUAUUAACCGGAGACUGAUGCUUUACAAAAACUAAGAAAACAAUGCUUGUUUAGAAUGAGCAUACAGCCUAUUUUCGCAAUUUUGCUCAAACUAGGCUACUUGGGAUUCCAAUGUUGUGGGAGUAGUGAAUUUAACUGAACAAAAUCAAGAGUAAUUCUAUCUACAUGCAAAUCUACCUUAGAGAUUUGAAGGUGGGAGACCAAUGAUUCUAAGAAAUUAAUAAAUCUUAAUAAUCAGCACAAACGCAAUCUAGUCGUCUUAAUAUUUAAGCUUAUAUGAUUGAAGGAUUUAAAGCAUAGCACAUACGCUCGAUUGAGCUUUCAACAGAGAGUAAUUGUUUUGAACGCUAGUUUAAUGGGCAAAUCAGCUCACUAACCACGGGAGUUUCAUAUUUGACAUACCACGGAGUCCAGAGAUCAAAAUAAUUUAAUGAUACGCCUUAUGCACAGAACGGUACACAUAUCGCAGAUUCACAGUAUGAUUGAAAAUCACACCGAUCUAUUUUUUAUGCAUCAUAACGUCCACAGAUCUAGAGCGGCAAGGGCAAACAAAAACAAAGGUACAGGGGCCGCGGGGUAGGGAGCUUACAUCGGAGGAGUUGGAGAUGAGCUCGCGGAGGAAGAUCUCCUUGUUGGAGUAGAAGGUGUUGAUGAUGAGCGAGAGCAACUGGUUGAUCUCCGCCUGGAAGGCAAAGGUCUCCGUCUCCGAGGCCAUGGCGCCGGAACCCGAGGGGAAGAAGACGGCGGCUAGGGUUUUUGAGCGGGUACCAGGGUUGCUGUAAGGCUAGGUCAGAGAGGGGAUGCGUGGGGGAGCGGAUUUAUAGUGAGGGGAGGGGUUCUGGAACGUUCUAUGCCACGCGAUGCAAUGGGGAGACGACGCGCGAGGUCAGGGUCAAGUUGACUAGUCGUUGGGCCCGAGUUCCUGUGGCCCACAUGUCAGUUAGAUAGUCUAAGUUGCUCUCCAGAAGCUUCUACGUUUUGUCUAUGAAUGAGUCAACGAUGAAAUGGGAAUGAAUUCAUUUCUUAUGCACAAUUUUCACAAUUUAGCAAACCAACGUGAUUUAAAUCUCUCUCAUGUAACAUACUACGAGACAAUUCAUUGAGAAUGUUGUUUAAGUUCAAAAUUGCGCUAAAUCAAUGCCAAUAAUUUAGGAUCGGAGGGAGUACUACCGUUGUUCAAACUAUAAGAUUUUAUAAUUUUGUCUUAAAUCAAACUUCUUCAAAUUUAUAUAAAACUACCGAUGUCUACAACUCUAAGUUAAUGUUAUUAAAUUCCCUAUAAAUCUUUAUAUACUUAUUUGAUAUUUUAGAUAUUGGUGUAUUUUUAUAGCGUUGGUCAAAUUUUAACGAGCGAAUUCAAAUUUUGCCCCAUGUUUGGUAAUUGUCAAAUGUUUACCCCGUUAUUUAAUUUUGUGCUAUAUUUUUAUCCUCUAUUUGUAAAUAUGAGUCCGUUUUUACCCAUCUAACCAAUUUGCCUGGUUUUUGACAUGUUGUACCACCUGUUGCUGUUGGGGUGACAUGGCUAGUCAAUGCCUAACAUGUUGAAAGCCUACUUUGGUAUGGCACUUUCUCCCUCUCCUUAACCGCCCCGGUUACCAACACCAACUCAUUUUCUCCAUGUUUUUUUUCUUAUAGUUAGGUCAUAGUUUUUGAGAAUUUCAAAUCUUCUACUCCCUCCGUACAACAAAAGAUGUCUCAAGUUUAUCAAAAUUUGGAUGUAUCUAGACAUGACUUAGGGAGCGUUUGGUUUCUUCGCUCAGUUGGCCCGUUGCUGAGCUAGCUCACCUAUCAUGGCUGGGCAUUGCUAGUUUUCCUGUGUCUUGCCAUUUGGUUGUUUGCUUUUGAGUUGACCAGAUUGUGGUUUCCGUGAGGAUCAGGCAGUUUUUCUUCUUGGGACCGCUUCUUGUCGUCGGAGGCGAGCCGAUCUGGCUCUCCCUUGCGGGCAAGGAAUUUCUGGCCCGUUUGAGCUAGCUUGCCUCCAAAAGUCAGGAUAAAUUGACAGAUCCAAACGUUGGGCCUUGCUGGGCUAGGCUAAUUGAGCUUUUGCCUGGGAACCAAACGAACCCUUAGUGUAUAGAUGCAUUCAAAUUUAGUCAAAGUUGAGACAUCUUUUGUUGGACGGAGGAAGUAUGAGUUUUUUUUGUCAAAUGUAAAAAAAUCAAAAUGUUGUUUCUCAAAAAGUUCAGAAAUUGUUGUAAAAUUUAAUGGAAAAAACUUUUUUUUGUGACCUAGCUAAAAUACAAGUCCAUUGCUUUAGGUUUUAGCACAUUUAGAGCACUGCAAUUCAUUAUCAUGUCCAUGGUACAAAACGCUUUUUUAUUUUAAUACAUUGAGGAUAGAACAGGCUCGUGUUGAAUACACGAUCAUUUACAUUUGUAACUUAAAAAAAAAUCUUUGAACUAUUGUAUAAUCUUUGAUGUUCAUCUCUCGAGCACAUGCUCCCGUUAGCUUUUGUGCCUCUCUGUCAUAUCUUGUUCUGUUUUUUUGUUCAUGUUCGAAGAUUUGAAGCAUCCUCCAAUUUAGAAAAAAAAAACGUGCAAAGAAGUUUCUGGAAGAAGGGGAGGCUCAGAGGACGCGGAGCAUCUCGUCAGCGAAAACUCCCAACGACCCGGAUGCGUACUCCAGAUGCGUUCAAUUCAAUCCAGUGGUCCAUUUCCAAGCUCCAACCAGGCCCAUGGAAACAAGACACGGGCAACUACAGCUGGUAAGGGUAAACGAAAACCAGCAAGAAAUUUCGACUUCGAGCGGUACUUAUCUCUGAACGUGCAUGCAGCAGACGGAGAUACAGUCAAACAAAAGAGGAAAAGGGCAAAAGAAUGAUACCUUGCUUCGCAGGGUAGUAGAAUCCGGGACCAGAUUGGUUGUACAUCCAACUCCAACUGUAAAGACUAGAAGAAGACACAAUUACAAGAGCUUCUUUGCAGAGAACUCUUUGAUAAGGGAGGUAUCGUUCCGUUUCAAAAAAAAAAAAAGACAAGGGAGGUAUCGUUUGUGGGACUCCCUUGAAAUAAAGCUUUCAGCAACAACAACAACAACAAAAAAAACUCCCUUGAAAUAAAGCUUUCAACAAAAGAAGAACUCUUCAGUCAAUCUCAGGAGUUUACAGGUCUCCAGGCCUAACAACUCAUUAGAUCAUGCUUUGCAUUCAGAGGGAGUCGGACCAGAAGGGAAUACUCAAGCUUAGGUAAGACUGAGGUACAAUGAGUGUCAGAUAAAAAGAAAGACUGAGGUACGAUGGACUGGAGACUCACAGGAUCGCGAUCUACAUCAUCGCUCAGAGCGAAUCGCUCUGGCCAUUACUAGGACCACUGGACCAACGAUCCUUUUUUGAGUUGUACAAAGUGGAGCAAGGCAGUGUAUGUCUGUCCAAAGUGGCGACACAGAAGGGUGUUGUAAGGAACAUUACAAGACUGUGAUUCCAAUGCAAAGAUGGAUUUUUGGUUGAAUACUGUAGUGAAAACUUAUAUGAUCCAAAGAAACUACGGAAAUUCGUGCGUGUCAGAAACGUUUGAUGCGCCUGCAUCCAGGAAUACCGGCACACCUUCUCUGGAUUUCUCUUGAGUUUUGGUUUGAUUUUGCUUGCGCUCGAAAUAGUUGGCGUGGCUGAUGAGCGGCAUGCACGAGUCGAGAGCACAGCAUUCUGGUUGCCCUGUUGGUGAAGCGAGGUGUGUGUUCUGCACAAGUGCGGCAUCAGUACCAGGAAAUUCCCGGAAAAACACUACUACACGAUGCCAUCGAGCUGCCUUCUGUUUUUCCAGCCGCAGUGUUCUUGACUCGAACAGAUUGCAGCUUCCUUCCUUCCAGAACGAUCUUAAUUCAUGUAAAAGUGGAUUGUUUCGAAUGGAGGCGUCCAAGUCGUCGGCUUGGUCGUCGAUUUUCGUUCUGCAGAUACUUCCUCUUGUUUCGAUCAGACAGAAACUCAACUUGGCGGAUCAUCGAGAACAACACCAAUCACGUGUAUGCACUGCUGUUCAAUCAGUACUCCGUACAAGAUUUGUUCGUUAACGCAACACGCUGGCGGAUCGAUGCCUGCCGACACCUAUCAAAUCACGCGUGCACUGCAGUGUUAUUCAAGCACAUGAUUUGUUUGUUAGGUGUGCACGUCAAAUUGAAGGCCCCCCAUGCAUGCAUCCUGGAUCACACGCGCAAUAGUACUACACGAUUGCCUUUCCCCCCUUUGUCUUAUAGCAAAAUCCCACAGAUGCAUAACGUGUUCAUUCCUCUUCCAUUAAUUUUCAGAAGAUUUUUCCUUGCCAGGGCCGGCCAUGAGAUAUCUACAUACUGUAUAUAGGUUCCGUCCAGGCUGCAGAGAAGCAAAGUCAUCAGAGAGGUACUGGAUCACCGGACCAAGCUAAUAAUAGUUGCUUAGCCAUGGUCACGAAGAUUUUUCUUGGUAUUUCCCUUUUCGUGAUAUCCAUCCAACUGGUCGCCGGCGACGACGACGGCAGGCUGAGCAAGGUCGUGCGGCAGGUGCCGGCGAUGUACGUGUUCGGGGAUUCGACGCUGGACGUCGGCAACAACAACUACUUGCCGGGUAACGAUGUCCCCAGGGCCAACAUGCCACCGUACGGCGUGGAUUUCAGAGGCUCCAAGCCCACCGGACGGUUCAGCAAUGGCUACAACAUCGCCGACUCUAUCGGUGCGUACAUAUAUAUACAUGUGUAUAACUGUACAUAUGUAUCCUGUAUUUAUAUGCGCACGUACGCAUGAGGCGUGAGAGACUUAUAUAUUACAGCAUACUGUACAUAUUUUUGCAGCGAGGACGCUGGGACUGAAGGAGAGCCCUCCGGCUUAUCUGUCGCUCGCGCCACGAAGCAGCAUCCGUCUGGUCCUCGCCGCGCUCAGCGAAGGCGUCAGCUACGCGUCGGCUGGAUCCGGCAUACUGGACUCCACUGUAAUCAAGCGAGCUUAAUUGCUUCUCAGCCUAUAAGCACUGUUGUCAAUGUUAAUCACGAUGGUUGAUGCAUCUAUGUCACCAUGUGCAGAACGCUGGGAACAACAUCCCGCUGUCGAAGCAGGUGAGCCACUUGGCUUCCACGAAGCGCAAGAUGGAGGCCACGGUGGGCGCCCGCGCCGUGCGCCGCCUGCUGUCCGGCUCCUUCUUCCUCCUCGGCACCGGCAGCAACGACGUAUCCGUCUUCGCCGCGACCCAGCCGGCGGCCGGUGACGUGGCCGCGUUCUACGCCAGCCUCGUCUCCAACUACUCGGCCGCCAUUACCGUAAGCAUCCAUCCAUCCACGCAGACUCGUACAAUACCAGAUGCAUUCUUAGACUAUUUACGUAUAUACAUACAGGAUUUAUACGAGAUGGGGGCGAGGAAGUUCGCGGUGAUAAACGUGGGCCUGGUGGGCUGCGUGCCAAUGGCGCGGGCGCUGAGCCCAACGGGCUCGUGCAUCGGCGGGCUGAACGACCUCGCCUCGGGCUUCGACGCCGCGCUGGGCCGGCUCCUCGCGAGCCUGGCCGCCGGGCUGCCGGGCCUGUCGUACUCCCUCGCCGACUACCACGGCCUGUCGACGGAGACCUUCGCGAACCCGCAGGCGUCCGGGUACGUGAGCGUCGACAGCGCCUGCUGCGGGAGCGGAAGGCUGGGGGCGGAGAGCGACUGCCUGCCGAAUUCCACGCUGUGCGGCGACCAUGAUAGGUUUGUGUUCUGGGACCGCGGCCACCCUUCCCAGCGGGCCGGCCAGCUCAGUGCCGAAGCUUUCUAUGACGGCCCGGCCCAGUUCACGGCUCCUGUCAGCUUCAGGCAGCUGGCUGACAUGGAUGCUAGCUAUUAGUAGAGGAUUAUUAUUGGUUUUGCAUGUAGUUAUGCUGAGCUACCUUCGAAUAAAAUAUGGUACUUCCCCCCUCUCAUAAUUCUGGUCGAAAUAUUACAUGUAUUUAGUUAUUUUUUAAAAUAAAUAUAUUUAUUUUUGGAUAAAUUUGAGACCGGAAUUAUGAAACGGAGGGAGUACCAAGGAUUGGAUCUUCGAUCUUCCAUGCACUCCCGUCGUAAGAACUUGAGUGAGGAUCCAUCAUGCAUUCUGGCUAAGGAUGUAAUUAAUUAUGAUUUCAAAUUUUCAACAAAUGCAACAACAAGAAUGGUCAUGGACUAUAAAUUAGAGACCAUUUGAAAUCCAUUUUACGCUCAGUUGCCACAAAGGGAUGAUAAAGUAGACCGUAAUCGUGUAGACCAAAUAACCGACCGAGUAAUAUAAUAAGUUCAAACCGACCGAGUACUUAUUUAUUUUUGAAGUUAAACUGUAAGGGUUGCGCGAUUGCAGUCCGACAGUAUAUAGAUAUAUAUAAUUCUACAAAAUGAGACACCAAAGUACGACCUUCGAAGAUCGAACUCUGGUGGGCUGUCAGCAUACCUGGCUAGCUGACCACCUAAACUAUGCUUGGUUCUCGACCUAGUACUUAUUGGAUUACUCGGUGGGUUAAGUGAACUUAUUGGAUUACUCGGUCGGUCAUGUGGUCUACUCGACUACAGCCUAAUUUAAAACUUCCCGCACACCUUGUUUAUGAACCUUGUGCUAGCUGUGGCAUGGCAGUAACUGCAGCUCUGCACGGACCGGAAUCAACUGAAGCUGCAGUUGGUGUAUUGGUCGGACUCGGAGUCAAAUUGAUCCCCGCGUGAUGCAUGGCGCCCGGGGUACAAAUAUGCCGUUGCCAUGCCUGCCCUCGAUCGAAAUCAAAACCGAAAUCGAAGGCUCUCGAACCGGCCCCCGGCCGGCGCUUCGACGUCACCGUUCGGCGGCGAGGCCAUGCCCAUACCCCAACGGCUGGCUGUCGUCGUCAAAACGCCGCCUCCACGGCCGGAACGGCAGCAGCGAGCACCGUGGUCCGACCGCGGCCCUGCCGGCCGACGUCCUCUCGCUGAUCCUGGCGCGCGCGUCGUCGGGCGCCGCUGACGUGGCGGACACGCACGCCGCGCUCAUCUGCCGCCGCCCUCUCGAUACCACACCCGCCUUGCCCUCGGUUUCUUCCACCAGCAACACGAACGCGUCCGCGCCGUCUUCCCCAGCCGCCGGACGACGACCGCGCAGCCCCGCUUUGUGCCCACAGCGUCCGCCUCGCGCCUCCUCCUGGGCCCGGGCUCUCAUCAUCUCGAUCCAGGUCCAGGCCCACCAGGCCUGUUCGACUACGCCCGCCCGGUCGCGUCCCGGAACGGGCGCGUCGUGCUGGCGCUGCGGCGACGGGCUGACGCUCAGCGUGUUGAACCCCAUGACCGGGGACGUGUCCGUGCUCCCCGCGCUCUCGGGCGACGACUGCCCGGGGCAGUGCUACGUGUGCGCCCUGCUCACGAGCGACGACCUCGCCGAUCGAACCACCGGCGCCCGCGGGCUUCUUCUUCCGGGUGCUCCUCGUCUACAACGGCCGGCGCCGCAGCGGCUUCACGGCGCUGCUGGCCUUCUCGUCGGACACCGGCAUGUGGGGCCCGGAAGGCCGGAAGCCGGGGCCCAAGAUGAAUGCCGCCAGGCUGCGCCGGGUAGGCCCCGCGCGCCGUGGCCGUCCGCGGAGUCGUCCAGUAGCGCCACCAUGGACGUGAGCUUCGUGCCCUACAGCACCUCCAGCCUGUACUAUUUCCCGGACUACCGCGUGCUGGGCGUGUCACCGGAUGGGAGCCUCAGCUUCGUCUACGCGACUCUCAAUGGACUCAGCAUCUUUGUCGAGACCCUAGAGCCGCAGGCGGGUCAGUGGGAGACGCGCGAAUGGAUCAAACUGCCCCAGGUCCAGGUGAGCCAUGCGACGACCGCGGUUAAGCUGCGGUGGUUCAACGAGAAGAGCGGCACCGUGCUCUUCACCUUGAGACAGCAAGACGGAGACGACGCCACCAGCGGCGCCUUCCUGUUGAAUAUCGCCACGAGGUCGCUGGAGAAGCUUGCCGGCGGCGUCGAAUGCCAUGGGUGGAGGAACGUUUGCGGAUAUGAGAUGGACCGUGUGGCGCUCAUUGCGUCCACUGCCCGCUUCUGAUCUUCGUACGACACGUACGUACUUUUGGUUCUAGCCAUCGAGAAGAAAACAAGACAUGGAUGUUCAGCAAUUAGUGCUGUUUAACAUAGCUAUAAAGAAUAUGUCAAAUUAUUUUAUUUUGAUAGAAUCUAUCCGAUAAUUACAUAUAAGCUCAUUGACAUAAACUUGAGAGGAGCUGAUCCCAAACGUCACCUCUCGGACCCCAAAAUGUCGCUUGAGAAAACAGCUUAGUUUACAACAACCAUCCACGAAUUCGGAAGCACAAAGGUAGUUUUUUUGAGAGUUCUCCCAAAGGAGGCCCGAGGGGCAAUACACUUGCCGGAGCAAAAUAACCUUCUAGGUAGAAGCUAAGGGAUGCAGCAUAGGUCAUGAUGUAACCACCGAACUGGGGAACACGAUCAACAGAAGGAGGACUGUCAUGGGCAGCCAGAACGCCACAAGACAGCACCAGAGUGCAGUGAGGAUCAAACCAGAUAGCUCAAACAAAACAUGAAAACUACUGGCAAGAGAAACCACAAGCAUCAUCAUUAAGAAGACGCACCAAUGUCAUCUCAUGACAAAAGAUGACGCUGGCUCAUUAAGCAUGAAGAGAUUGCACAAAGUCUUCACCGGAGGGUGGGUUGUCCGAGAGAAGGAAAAGUAGUAAUAUGGUGGUGACAUGCUCUCGAAGAGUGCCACUAGUGUAAAAAUGUCUCCCCAAAGGGGGGGUGAGUUACCCAAUUGAGGAGUGUAAAAGGAGGGCAUAUACGACGACAUAUGAUGACAACAAGGGCAAUCCUGACAGAAGUUUCGAGAUUUGGAGAAGCUAAAUGGAGUUGGAUGAAAUGGGGUGGCGGAUGGAUAUCAGAUCGACCAAAGUUAGCACAACGCACUCUAUCACGGCAUCUCCGGCAGGAGGAAGCCGUCUCCAUGGCAGCCAUCUGCGAAACCAUGGAUCUUGGAAGCACAGCAAUCAAGUUGGUAUAGAGACCUCCAAGUAUAAGCCACGACACCAGGCGUUAAACUAUUGGUGCCGCCACCACAGCUGCCACCUGCAAACCAUGGUUACCGAGGGCAUGGCAGUGCCACAGGCAACGGAGGGAGGGACGAGGAGCAGCAUCACUCUAAUCAAGGUGAACAUCCGGAAAAAUUUGCAAUCUGAGGUGGCAGCGGGUUGGUGGAGUGGGGAGCAAUGAAUGAAGGGGGCGAUACCAGCACUGAAGAUGGCCGAUGAGGAGGCGAAAAUCGGAGUUGGAGGAGCCGUGGAGGGCAGCUUCGGAUCCUGGGACGCGGGCGGAGGCGACGGGCCAGGACUAGGCCGAGCGGCCCGCGGGAGGCGAGACCUGGGCCGGUGUGGAGCCCCAGACGGCGAUGUCAGCGGGCGCUCGGCCGAGCAGACGCCUGAUCUUGCCGUCAGACAAGCCAUCUCGGGAGGGGAGGAGGUGGGUACCGUCGACAGCGAGGUGGGCAGGAGCGGCAGGAGGGAGCAGCGAGUCAGCAGUCCGCCGGAUCUGGCCCGCGCCCGCCGGAUCUACCUUUAUCACGGCGACGACGAGCAUAGGCUACGAGGGAGCUAGGCUAGUCGGAGGCGCGCGGACGUGGCCUUGGCUGAGGACGAUGGCGAGACGACGAUGAGGGGCGGUGCGAACGUGAACCUGCGGCGCAACGCUCUGGAUCAGGAAAGCACCACACAGAGCAGGCCCUUGCACGGGAGAUGGGGUCGAUGGCGAGGCGAGGGGUGGUGAUGGGCGGCGCAGAUGAGGACCCGCGGCGCAGCAUUCCGGAUCUGGACGGGCACGCUGCUCGCCGAAUCCGGCCACCGCAGGCAGGGGGACGAGGCCCGGAAAGCACCUAGGGCCGCAGCCUCGCAGAGCAGGGCGCUCGCAUGGGACAAGCGGCAGCAGCAGCCCCGCCGCCACCAUCCUCGUCCGCUGCGCGAUUUCCGGCGACCAACUCUGAUGGCGACGAGGGGAAGCAGGUGGAGGGAGGCGGCGCUCGGAGGGAAACCUAGUCGCCCCCGAGUCGCUCUCGGGAGGACGACGCGAGGGACGCGUUUUUCCACAAAGGUAUUUAUAUGAGUUGCAUCUGACUAACUGCUUGACAUUAAUAGUUUAUCACAACACAAAUACAUACAAACAGCAAGAACCUUCUUAAAGACUUUCCAGAUCGGAUGAAAUGCGGAUCACUUACUAAUCAAAUACACAGCUGAACUAUCAUGAUGUACUAUAUGCCAAAUAAUCCUAUGCGAUUUGGAAUGAAGAAGAUUGCCGUGAUGAUCAACAAUAUUAACAACAUGAGGUUCAAUACACGAGUAAUUUACAAAAAUCACUGCACAGUAGCUACCAUCAGUCAGUGGCGGAGCCAGGAUUUUGUCAAGACCAGGACAGUUGCUCCCAAUCGCUAGAAUUAGCAAGUAAGACCCAGACCAAAUCGUGAAAUCAUCAAAAUUACCAAAGGAAAAAGCUUCUACGCCCUGGGCCGCGGUCUCCGCCCCUGCCGUCAGGAGCAUUUCUUGAAAACGGGAAACUUGCUUUAAGACAUGAACAAUAAAUUUAAGCACAAAUAAAAAGCAUGAAGACACAAUUAUCGAAUUGUGAUGUAAAGCUUUGUUUUCUUUUUCUAUAAACCAUUUUAUAUUGAUUUGAAGACAGGUUGUGUUCACAGGAAAUCACAAUGCCGGCACCUUGAUUGGAUGAAAACUUUGUUUCUUUUCUUCUAUAGACCAUUUUAUAUUGAUCCGAGGACAGUGUAAAGCUUUGUUUUCUUUUCUAUAAACCAUUUUAUAUUUAUUUGAGGACUGUGUAAAAGGACUCGAUACAGAAACAUCGGACCCGAGGUUUAGGCAUGGAGGUAACAUUGAACAUAGUACAUACAUUAGUAUUUUAACAGGGUUGUACAACAUCAAUUGGCUUAAAACGAACAGGGCGUAUAGGAGCUUGGCCGCUUGGAAUGGUGGACUCCGGAUAAAGUGGGUUCAGUUGCAGUAUUGAACAGGUUUCAGAGAAUACAACGAAGUUCAUGAAAAGGUUGAAGUGCUUCGGGAGCAAUUCCGCAACAAAAUUGGUCAAAUUAAGGUAGUAACAGCAGGUGAUGCGACUUCUCACUUCACUUCUCAGUUCAAUAAAGCUCCCUUUAUCGGAAAAAAAAACAAAAAUUAACAGAAAGAUACUAAGAUAUCUAUACCAAUAUAUUAAAUUGGAGUAUGUGGUGAUGGUACGAGUGUCGCGGUGCAUCACUUCACCAAAAUUACGAAUCUGCCAUCGCUGUCCCACGUGUCUUUUAAUCCCGGCUCCCGCAGUCCUCAAGCGCAGAAAAAACACGUACCACAAAAAAAAAUACAAACUAACAGAGCCCUCAUCGCGCCUCCUCCUCCUCUCCUACGAAUCUCACCCCCACCCCCUGCCCGAUCCGGAUCUCGCCGCCGCUCUUGGUUGCCUCCACCGGCUCGUGCGUGUCGGCGGCGUUCGUGUGCGGAAGGCGGCUCCGUCACGUGCUCCAACCGCCGCCUCCACCGGCUCUUGCGCGCCGGUGGCUCCCCGCGGGACUUGGACGGCGAUGAGACGAGCCUGAGGCCGGGAUGGCGGUCGCUUCGCACAAGGCAGCAAGGACUGCGUCGGCGCGAGCCAUCGGUGGCCCUCUGCACGGGCAGUGGCACGCGGCAACUAGUGGCCGGACGCGAUGUGUGGCGGCGCGCGGGCGCGGCGAACGGGCGGACAAGGCUGCGAGAGGGCGCAGGCGGACGGCGCACAGGCGGCAAGUGGGAGCAAACGGCGCAUGGGAGUGGACGGGCAGCGGGAAUCUACGGGUGGAGGCGGGGCGCACAAGCGGACGGCCGUGCAUGGCGACGUGAUGUUCGGUGGCAGGAUGAAUCGGGACGGGGAGAGGAGGAGUUUGCACUCAGUGUGAAUGGAGAGGAUAGUCAGAGAGAGCGAGAAAUUGAGAGAAGAUAUUUGAGAAAUAAAAUACGGAGUAGAAGUAAUAGUAGAGCACAAGGAGAAAUGUAGAAGACAUGUGGAAAAAAAAAAGAAACUAGUGUAUAGCCCACGAAAAUAAAUAUAUCAUAAGCGAUAUAUACAUAUGUACUCAAUUUUCCGUUGUUCCGGACCAACGUACGGUUCUUUUGCUAGUACUACGUAUACAGGAGAUGAUUACCAUACGCAGUUCGAAACUCAUAGACCCCCACCACCAUAUGACACCCUUAACCCCAUCUACUUUCUGCACAUGACAUCUAUGAACUGACCCCAUCUACUUUCUGCACAUAAAAACAAGUGAAGGGGAAACCUGGUAGAAUCAGGCGCUGACCCUUUAUAAUAGCGCCAUUCAAUAAGAUAAACUGAGCUUUGGUUGGAGAAUAAAAUCUGCACAUGACAUCUAUGAACUGUAAGAUAUAAUCAGAAAAUGCUCUCUAACAUAAAACAAAGCAAUAUUGGUUUACAGUAAAACUAUAUCUCUUGACUGAGGAUUCACACUUGACUUCCACAUAUUGUGGGAAAUAGGAAUGAGCCCAGCAAAACAUUCCCGAAACUAAGUCACCUUUAGAUGCCUAUGAUAUAAGUUAUAACACUAAAAAAUGUAUAAGGAAAUAAGGAACCACUCAGAUUUCAGCCUUGAAAGUAAUUACCAUCAUUCAGGCAAGCAAGAAGGCGUCAACAAAAAUAAUACCUGAGCAAUAACCCAGGCAAAGAUCAGAAGCUUUUCCUGUAAAAGAUAUUUACUGUUUCCCACUAUUUGGGCGGUAAGGUGUAUUACGGAGUAGCACCUUUGGCUUCCUUCUUAAAGUCAAGGCAAGCACAACGAAGAUUGCAACCUGACAAAAGCAAUGUUCAGUCACAAACUGACAGUCAAACAUCAACACCAACAAGAAACUGACGUCAUGCAUUAUUGUAAUUACAUGCUCAAUAAUCAAGAGUUAGAGACUUUUAAUGGUCAAAAUACAAGAGUAAAAUCUAUUUUGAACCUUGUCUUUGUAGAGGUUGGCUAAAUCAAACCCUGAACGUGCAAAUCCCCGAAGUUGCCACCCUCACCUCCCUAAUCCCGGUCUAAAAUUGCUUUAAAUGCGUUUAGAAGCCGGGAUCGCUGACGUGGCAGAGCCAAACCCGGGAAUCUUGACUUCUGUUGAGCUCAGUUUCCUCUCAAGUUGUGUCCAUUCAUCUCAAUUUGGUUGCGACUCGUAGCAAAUUCUCCUCUUCUCUGUCUCAUGGUUGUUAACUGUUCAUUCUGAACAACACGGUUGUUGUGGAUAUAUGGAGUGGCAUGAUGGCCCGAUGAUGCCGUUUCUUCGGCAAUUGCUACUCGAUCUAUGCAAUACAAUACAGUAUGGGCUUGUGAUGUUCAAGUUAAUGUGGAGCCAAUUGAAGCACAAAGAGCAAGAAAUGUGGCUGUUGCUGCACUAAGACAGGAGCUUGUUGAGAAGAAUGCAGAGAUUGAAGCUAUUAGGGCUAGAAAUGAGACAGGGGACAGGAAGAUGUAUGAACUUGUUGUGUAUGCAGUCCUGUUUUUUCUUGCUGGUUUAGUGGCAGGAAUUCAGCAUUGAGUUGUAUUGGUGUAUGGAAUUUCUGGAAGAAUGGCAGGAAUUAAUCAGUCAUCUGUAUGUGCCUUUGCUGUGAAAGAACGGCAGAUUCCAUGUGAAUUUUGACAGCACAUACUUGUGUAUUUCCUAUGUAUUUUUACAACACUUUUCUGUAUAUUUUGACAGCAGAAACUGAACUGAAUAAUGCAAAGAAAAGAUCACAGUUUUCUGAACAUUAUGACAGCACAUGUUGACAGGAAGAAAAAACAGACCCGAUCAAUCCAGCGUUCAAUCAUUCCAAAGAGACCACAUGUUGACCGGAAGCACAAACUGGGACUGAAAAUAAGCUGCUGGCGCCACUUUAUGGACCCCUGUUUGGAAAACCCGUUUUAGCAUCUUUAGACCGGGAUUUGGAAGUUUAGGGUGCCAACUUUAGGGAUUUGCAAGUCAGGAUUCCAUCUACAUUUCUACAAAGACAAGGUUUAAAAUAGAAUUUACUCGAUUACCAAUCUAUAUUUUAUCAUAUCCAAGAUCUCUAUGCAAUGCAGAAUGUCAGCAAAUAAAAUAUACAAUUUGCAGAACCUACCUAUUAAAUGAAUGAUGGUUGUUCGAGAACCAGGUCUUUCUACCUGAAUCAGCACUUCAUUGCAACCAAAAUGGUGCUAGAAUCGGUUGACAAGGGUCCAGUAUUGAAACAUAACAUUUGCGAUUAAAAUAUAGUUUGUGUUUUCCUUCAUGAACCUACGAUACAUAUGAUGAACAGGUGAUAGGUAAAGUCAUCAUGGAUUGAAUGCUACCUGGGCUUUGGAGUUCGUUGGACAACCUUCUCCGAAUUUUCCGGUCCCACUGCUUAACCUGACAACUCAGAAAUGAUUUUAUCCAUACACCACAAAACGAAUUCCCCCAGGGCAUUGGGAAAUCUCUGAUUGAUCCAAUCACUCGCCAUCUUGCAAACUGGCUCAGGAAUAUAGCACAAUGGUAUCUGCUCAAUACAUCAUACAACAACCAAUUAGGCGCAUCGCAAAAACAAUUCAAGUAUAAAGCAAGGUAAUUCUCAUUCUUAAAUAUCCUGAUGUAAGGUAAAUGUCAAUCACAAUGGUGAUGCAGAAACACAUGCAAUCUCUGCUAGUCAUUGAAGCAUGCAGGUGAAAGAGCAAUAACUAAAGAUGAGCUUGCAGAUUAUUCAACAAGUGAAGAUGAUCAAGCAUUCAAGCCCAAGAUCAAAAGGCGAGUGAAGGUGAAGCUGGAGGAGGAGGCGAUGGUGGUUUUGAAGUGGAUGAUGGCCUUGGUUUAAGCGACUGAUAAUAUAAUAGUAUGGUGCUGCAGACUGACAUAUAGGUGUUGGGCUGGUGUGCCUUCUUUUGGACAUACAAAUCUAGGCUGCCUCAGAUGAUCAUAAAAUAACUUCAUUUUUCAUAUAGCCAUACACAACUCUGCAUUUGUUACUUAAAGACGACGAACUGAAAAGAUUGUAUGACAGCACGUCCUACACAGUACUUUUCUAAGACAAGUAAGCUUCCUCAAAGUAGCGUUGAAACAAGUCGUUCCGCAAAUAAAAACAACUCAUUAUGCAAAUAAAAGAUUCUGCACAACGAAUACAAAUGAGGUGAACGGGUAGGCCCAUACCUGGAAUUCAAGGCUUACAUUCAACAAUAGUGGACACAAGAGCCUGUUUACCAAUAAGAUGAACAAUUUAUUUUUCGGUAGCAUCAUCACCAACUAAUAUGAUUUGCUCAGCACCAAAGCCAUGCAGGUUACCAUGUUUACAUUUGUUUUCUCCAAAAAUAUUCACAGUUGCAUUUUUGUCAUUACCCGUUUCCAGGACUCCAGCAGCACAGGAAGUUCUCCAUAUACCGGACCAGUCUCUGGAUUAGCUUGUCAACACACUUGAUGGGAAAAAGCACAAGAGGUAAAUGAUACUUUGGGCCAUACAAAGAAUUCCACAAUGCAUGCGAAAAUUUUGGAACAUAUCGGAGAGAUGGCGUAGCUUGUUUUCCAUGUUUAUUUCCUUGCAUGCAUGCUUAAAGUGAUCGAAUAUCUUCAAAUCCCCCUUGCUAUAGUAUGCUCAGUGUCACCGGCAAAAUGGAAGCCCUCCUCAAAAUUUCUACGGACAUACUUAACAAGUGCUAUUUGUGUCAUGGUCAGAUCCUGUACCUCAUCUACGUAAACAAAAUCCACCAUAUCGCCAUUGUGUAGCCCUCAGAAACUAGACUUCCAUGAAGACAAUUCACAAAAUAUUGUCUGCAUGAUAUGCUGGUUACAAAUAAUGCCCGAAAAGAGAUUCUUUGGUUAUUGGGGUUAGACUAUCCUCAAUUGCUCCUAGGUGAUGCACACAAAAUAUUCGACAUACUCUAUCCAAAAGACCCAAACUGGACAUUUUAGUAGCAAAAUGCAUAAAUACCGAUUAACAUGACCAUCCAUACUCACCAAAGAAGACAUCUAAGGUUUCUUUCCCUGGAUACUAAAUAGAAUGCAUAGACAUUGUUCAGUUUCUUUUCAUAAUUAUUAUUAUACAAACUAAUGCAAGUCUUUAUACUCUACUGACCCGUAAAAUAUGUGAUAUAUAUAAUUAUUUCAUUUUCUUUUCUCUAGAAAUCUCUGAUCAGAAGAGAUUAAGUUAAGCCAAUGCUGAUCAAAGUACAGCAUGCAAGAAAAAAAAAACUACAGCAGGUGAAAUGGCAAAGUUAACAGGAUGAUACUAAGAUAUACUACAUAUAUAUAGGAGACGAUUACCAUACGCAGUUCGAAACUCAAGACCGCCACCAUAGUGACAAUAUGAUAUCCUUAUCCCCAUCUACUUCCUGUAGGCUAGCACAGUAACACAAAAAACCGAACCGACCACAGAACACAGCAAAUCCAAGGCAAGCUUCCUAACACUUGAUGAAAAAAAAAAUGAAUGCAGACACCUAGUCGACCUCCUCCAUCUUGCUCUCGCCAGCGUCAUCCUCCAGUGCUGGCAUGUCGGUGUCAUCAGCAUCGGCGGCCUCAUCCUCAUCGAUGCUCAGGCCAAGCUUGAGCAUACGGUGGAUCCUGGUGCCGAAGGUGUUGGGGUCGUCCAGGCUGAAGCCAGAGGUGAGCAGGGAGGUCUCGAACAGCAGCAUCACCAAGUCCUUGACAGACUUGUCAUUCUUGUCAUCAUCCGCCCGCUUGCGCAGCUCCUCCAUGAUGGCGUUCUCCGGGUUGAUCUCCAUUGUCUUCUUGCUUGACAUGUAGCCUCCCAUGCUCGAGUCCCUCAGAGCCUGGGCCUUCAUGAUCCGCUCCAUGUUGGCAGUCCAGCCAUACUCACCAGUGACAAGACAGCACGGCGAGUCAACGACGCGGUCAGAGACAAUGACCUUCUCCACCCUGUCACCGAGCACAUCCUUGAUCACCUUGCAGAGGCCCUCAAACUUCUCCUUGAGCUCCUCCUUCCUCUUCUUCUCAUCCUCACUGUCCUCAAGCUUCAGGCCUUCCUUGGUGGCAGACACAAGCUUCUUUCCCUCGAACUCCUUGAGCUGGCCAAUGGCGUACUCAUCAAUGGCAUCAACCAUGAACAGGACUUCAUAGCCCUUCUUCUUUAGCCUCUCCAAGAAGGGAGAAUUCUCCACAGCCUUCUUGCUCUCGCCGGUGAUGUAGUAGAUGUCGUUCUGGCCCUCCUUCAUCCUGGUCACGUAGUCCUUGAGGCUGGUCAGCUCAUCACCACUCUUGGUGGAGUGGUACCUCAGGAGCUCAGAAAGCUUGGUCCUGUUGGUGGAGUCCUCAUGGACGCCAAGCUUGAGGUUCUUGGAGAAUGCCUCAUAGAACUUGUUGUAGUCCUCCUUGUUCUCAGCAAUCUCAAAGAACAGCUCAAUGGACUUCUUAACAAGGUUCUUCCGGAUGACCUUGAGGAUCUUGUUCUGCUGGAGCGUCUCUCUAGAGAUGUUGAGGGGAAGGUCCUCAGAGUCAACAAUUCCCUUGACAAAGCUCAGCCACUCAGGAAUCAGCUCCUCACAGUUGUCCAUGAUGAAGACACGGCGCACAUAGAGCUUGAUGUUGUUGGCCUUCUUCCUGGUGUCAAAGAGGUCGAAGGGGGCCCUCUUGGGGACAAAGAGAACAGCCUUGAACUCAAGCUGCCCUUCCACAGAGAAGUGCUUGACAGCUAGAUGCUCCUCCCAGUCGUUUGUCAAGCUCUUGUAGAAUGCAGCGUACUCCUCCUUAGUGAUCUCUUCAGGCUUCCUCAUCCAGAUAGGCUUCUGCUUGUUGAUCAGGGACCACUCAUGAGAAACCUCCUUGAUCUUCUUCUUCUUCUUUUCUUUUUCCUCCUUUUCUUCAUCAAUUUCCUCAACCUUGCCCUCCUCACUAUCCUUUUUCUCUUCCUCAUCCUCAUCAUCGGAAAUUUCCUUCUCAGUUGUCUUCUCAGUCCACAGAGAGAUAGGGUAGCUGAUAAACUCAGAGUGUUUCUUCACCAGAUCCUUAAGGCGCCGCUCCUCGAGGUACUCCAACUGCACAGUAGAAGCAAAUUGUUAGGGACAAUUAACACGCCACAAGUUAUCAGUAACAAUAUGAGUAAAGAAGAAUCUGCUGCAGUCUGACCUAUGUGCAGUGAUACUUAAGUUGAGAAAAAACUUGCUCGAUGAAUUAUUUUGAUUAAUUUUACUGAUUCUACAUAGUAAUAGUGAAGCCAACUUGAAAGCAACAACAUUCUCCAAAAAAAAAACUUCACAGCAACAACAAAGCAACAGGAAAUAAUUCCGUUUCAAACUAGGGAUGCAAACGGGACCCUGCAAAGGCCCACUACUAGUUCAAUCGUCAAAUCUCCUAUUCGAAAUUUGAAUGGGAAAUGAAAUUCAAGAAUUGAACGAAACAGGAUCACAUUUGCAUCGCAAUUCAAUACAACAACAAACAAUAAUGCUGAUUAAUUUCAUUCCAAAGGCCAAACAAUAAAUUAACUUAGCAAGUAUAUUCCAUUUCAUUGCAAACAGAUGGCCAUAAAUUCAAAACAUAGACCAUAGCAGGUACCAACAGGGGACUGAACCAACAGGAAAUUCUUAAACCCAAAUUCAACAUUCAACUUCCAUUAAAGCUCACAUUCCAACAGUGAAUUGAGCAUAUGAAGAAGCAGGAAAUUCUUGUACCCAAAUUUGAACAUCCAACUUCAAUUAACCCUCACAUUUUCAGCAUUGAAUUGAGUAUCACUAACAAAGCCAGGGACCAUUUGGUCAUUACAACAACAGUAAUACAACAAGGGAGGGAAAUGAGCAGCACACGAUAAGGAUAUCUCAUGAGAAGUUCUAAUUAGCCACACAAACAAUCAGCACUAUCCAAAUCAAACUAAGCUGCAAACAGGACAUGGCUCAGGUAAAUUGUGCAAGCACUUUAGCUAUUGGCCAGGUAGCUAGUGCAAGCAAAUAUUUAUUUUCUCCUAACAUUACCCAGGUAGCAGGUACAGGUAGUAAAUUAUUAUUCGGUGAGCUAUAUUUUGUUUUACCUGAUCAUCCUUGAGGUAGAGGGUGAUCUUGGUACCCCUUCCAAGGGGCUCUCCAUCAUCACGGGUGACUGUGAAGGACCCACCCGCCUGAGACUCCCACACAUACUGCUCAUCGUCGUUGUGCUUGGUAGUCACAACGACCCUCUCCGCAACAAGGUAAGCAGAGUAGAAGCCAACACCAAACUGACCAAUCAUGGACACAUCAGCACCAGCAGCCAGUGCCUCCAUGAACUCCUUCGUCCCAGACCUUGCAAUUGUACCAAGGUUGUUCACCAAAUCUGACUUUGUCAUACCGAUACCACUGUCGAUGAGCGUGAGUGUGUUCGUGGCCUUGUCAGGGACAAUGUGGAUGAAUAGCUCUGGC
This 94287-nucleotide long non-coding RNA is filed under the name Brachypodium distachyon (stiff brome). RNAcentral's name for it is "long non-coding RNA (BDIS_LNC003756)". The stretch from base 40650 to 40786 matches the Rfam family "MIR1120/MIR1122 microRNA precursor family". Lineage: Eukaryota; Viridiplantae; Streptophyta; Magnoliopsida; Poales; Poaceae. The record is from RNAcentral.